AAAUGGACGAGGAGAAACUUAAAGUAUACGUGCAGGAGGCACUCCGCAAGGACGUGGCUUAUCACCGUCGUUCAGGGCUGCCAUCAUCCUGGUCGGCAUUUUACAAGUACAUGGCUGAGAGCAAUCAGUCGGCAUUUUACAAGUACCUGGCUGAGAGCAAUCGUUCAGGAAUGUCGACAUCCUCGGCAGCGGAAAACUAAAGGAGUUGAGUGAGCUCUGCUCGAUUGGUUUUUGUAGUUUCUUUUUUUUUUUUCCUCAAGUGAUCUGGCAUGUAUCAAUUAGUUUGUAAAGUUAUUGUAUUGUCUCAAGUCCGGUAAGAUGCGCGAACGUAUAGCAUGGAUCACAAACUCAUUUCAUAGAUUAUUUUUUUGUAUAAUUAUAUAAUUUAUAGGCUUUGCUUAAAAAAUUAAAAAAGAAAAAAAGAAUUGUAUUACAAUUGGUAUGAGGCAUGCUUGUGUGUGUCAUAUCAGUUGCUGAACAAACUUUGCCUUUUAGUUUUGUAGGCACUACCAUCUCAAAUUCUUUGUUAUCAUGAAUGAGUAUUUUUUUUCUUUUUUUUCUUUUUUAACAAAUCAUAAAUGAGAUUAAGAUAAUCUUUUUUUAAAAAAGAAAAAAAAUGGAGAUUUCUUUUAUUUUUCCUUAAAAAACUGAAGACAAAUUUAGAAGGAAGUGAGAGACGGAGAAUUAAAGCAAUUUUAUUCACAAAUGUAAUGUAUUUGGUGCAGCAAUACAAACUAAUAAAUUAUAAUUUAUGAGACUAGUUUACAGAAUCUUAUAUAUAAAAUUAUAUCCUCUGAAUAAAAAUCUUCUCACCUCUUUUGACUUCUCAUCUAGUUUACAGAAUCUUAUAUAUAUAACACAUUUUUAUAAAACAAAACAGAAAAAAAAAUUAUAUAUAAUUGUCACAAGGACUAUUUCAUUUGCACAUAGUACGCAAUUGGUCACUAAAGUUAUUUGAGGAGAAAAUUUACAUGAGAUGGGUACAUCAUAUUAUCAGUAUUUUAGUUUAAAUUUGAACAUACUAGAAUGGUCUCUCAUAAAUUUUUCUCCAAUUUGAGAGAUGGUGGGGGAGUGGGGUUAAAGUGCAUCUACAUAGGAUUAAUUAUAAUUAAAUUUAUUUUUUAAAACUAUUUUAACUAGAAGCAGUGGUAAUUCUUUUUAUUAUUGUUAUUCAAAUUAUAUCAAAAUCUCGUGACUCGUGAUCAAAUUAAGUAGUUCAUUAAACUUUUUUAGGUGACGUAUGGUAUGGAGUUUUUAUAAAUCUAUAAAUAUAGUAAAAUAUUUAAUUUUGCUUGUCGUAAACUUUUAAUUUGCAUGGGUUAAAAAAGAAAAAAAGAAAUUCACUUAUUACUUAAUUAACAAUUAUAGAAAGAAUAAAUAGAAAAUUAUAGUUGCGUGAGAAAACCCUCGUGAAAAGGGCUCCGGAUUUCCUUUCCAUGGCUUCGUGCGUUUCCUUUUGCCCUUUCGAGCACGAAUUCGAAUCCAGUACUUUAUAAUAAAGAUAUAAUAUUAAAAAAUAAGAAAAAGAAUCCCAAUUUUUACUGGUAUAUAACGCAUAGCCUGCAUUAUGAAACACUCUUUUACUAUUCUUUUCUUUUCUUUUCUCUUUUGCUGUAAUUUUUUAUGAAACACUCUGUUUCAGUACUGUUUCUGGUUUUGUUUCGGUUUAAUAUUAUUGGUUCGGUUCGGUUCUGCUCUGUUCUACGUCGUAUGUAUAUAUGUAUAUAUUUUUGGCCUCGAAUUGCUUUCAUCACCGGUUUUGUUAUUCAUUUAUCGUGAAUUUUAGAUGACUUGUUCGGCCAUGUUACAUUCAGCUACCAUCUUCAUGGUGGGUUUGUAAGAUAGUCUCUGACUAACACAUGGCAUUGGUUAUGAAUGAUGGUUUUGUGAGAUACAUCAUACAGACGUUAACUCGUGUUAAUUUGUACUUACAUCAUUCAAAAGAUUAGUGUUUUUCUCUCUUUUUUUUAAAAAAAAAAAAAAUUGAAAUGUCCCUUUUCGCAUUUUAUAGAUGAAAGGAAGAAACAUAAUAUCGCAGAACUAGAAUAAAGGAGCCUAUUGUGGUACCUAUUGUCCGAGGAACCUUCUGUAUAUUCGGUAGGAACUACCAUGGGAAGUCAAAUCUUACCAGAGCCAGGCGGAGUCGUUGCUGAAGGAAUAUAUAUUAGCAGAUCCAUUUGUCCCGUACACUUCAAUUGUUGGUAGCAUUUUUGCUUGCACGAUGGUAUGUUUGUCAUCGUUACUGCGCGGUGGUAUUUACUAGAAAAUAUUUUGAAUGCAUAGUUUUUAUACCCUCUGUUUUCCAUAAGAAUGUGUUCCUUUUCAGGUCUAUGAUCUUGCCCAAUUGAUUAGUGUGCUGUUCACUUUAAAUCUGAUUCCAGUUUCUCCAACAUACAGCGGGUCGAGUGGAGUAACAGGUGAUUGAAAAUUUUCAUUUAGUCCAAUUGUCAUUUCUUUCUCAAUCGGUAAAGUUUAAUCAUUUUCCUUAAAUCGAUAACUUAUGCAGGUCCAUAUCAACUGUCCAUGACAUUUUUAUUACAACGAUGUCUUUGUACUUUGUGUUUUGGUCGGAUCUCAGAGUUUGUGCAUAGCACACUUGUUUCUACUGUUUGUUUGUCCCUUCAUAGACAUUUCGAUAAACUGUUAUUUUUGUUCAUUGGAAGUGAAUAUUUUCAGCAACUAGAACUCCAAAGCAUCUGGAAUGAUCCAUUUUAUCAUUCUCAAUACCUAUAAAAGAAUGUCAUAGAAAACAGUUUCCAAAGCAAGUGGCAUGUGUUUGGAAUUUGUCUUUGCAAGCCACUAAUUNNNNNNNNNNNNNNNNNNNNNNNNNNNNNNNNNNNNNNNNNNNNNNNNNNNNNNNNNNNNNNNNNNNNNNNNNNNNNNNNNNNNNNNNNNNNNNNNNNNNCGGGUUUUUUUUUUCUUUUAAAACAAGGGGAGUUUGGGAACCCCCCCCUUUUUUUUUUUUAAUUUUUUCCCCCCCCCCCCCCCCCCCCCCACCACACCAAAAAAAAAAAAAAAAGAAUUGAGAUACAAAAUAAUUUAUUCCUAUCAUGUAUGAGUGCCAUAAAAGCUUCUUAAUGUUUUGCAGUGUUUUUUGCGCGGUGGCUGUUUCCUUCUGAAUCUAGAAUAGCUAUGGACAUAGCAGAUGCAGAUGCCACCAAUAUUUGCACUGGCCUUUCAGCAUCAAAAUCAAAAGGAUCAAGUGGGAACUUAAUGGAGGUUGAUUUGAAUGAAACACCCUCUAUGCAAGCCAAGAGACUCCAAUUAAGACUGCAUGCUUUGCUUAAAACAGGUAUUUAUAUACCUUAUUAGUUUUUGUAUGUUUAUAAUUACUGAUUUUUGCAUCAAAAGAGAGAGGUUAAUUUUUAGUACAUUUACUGAACUUUCUAUGAUUGCCGUGGAGACAGGUCGACGCUACUUCCCUCGUUGCUCAGAAAUGGUUGAUAAAUUUUAGGAUUGUGAUUGGUCCGAUGCUUCCCUCCUAGAAAAAGGGUACUCCUAAAGAGCAGAGACUCAAAAGGGCACGCUUCAUGGAACUUAAAGAAGACGUGAAGAAGGCAUUUUACAAGGACAUGGCUGAGAAAAAAUGGCUCAGGUUUGUAGUCAUCCUCGUUUCUCCGAAGGAAGGAGUAAAGUGUAAGGGUAGGAAAAGGUGAUGCUUAGCUGCUUGUCUUUGUUAUUCAUUUAUAGGCAACUAAAAGAGAUUUAGUGAGUUGGAUUGUUACUUGUAGAGAGAUACUCUUCGAGCCUAUGUUAUGGCUUAUGUUGUAUAAUAGCAGAGGAACUUCAAGCUUGCGUAGUUGUAUUUUCUCUGGUAUUUGGCAUGUAAUGCACUAAAUGACAAAGAAUUUUCUAAUUUUAGAGGGAAAAGUUAUGUCAGUUAAUUAUUUAUUUAUUUUGUCUGUUUAAUUCAGUUUAUAAUAUAGCUUUUUUUUUCUUUCUAAAAAAAAAAAAUUCUCCAUAUCUUCAUCUGCAAUUUAAGUCAUUCGUUACUUGUUUCAGGAUGGGGAGAGAAAAAAAAAAGAAAAAAAGAAAAGAAGCAUUUGUAAGUAUAUUUUACAGUACUGAUUUUCCUACAUAAAUUGGUUAAGGUGACAUUAAUGUUCUUUUAGGUAGACGGAUGUGCAGAUUUUUCGUCGAAAUUGAAAUUAGAAAUGAAUGGAUAUGCAGAAUUUUUUAAUAGAAUUUUUAUACAAAAAUUUGUAGCUCAUUACUCUCUAAAAGGAAAAAAUAAAUUUUUGAUUGUAAAUAUUAAAUUUUAAAUUUAUAAUAUAAUAACUUUGUGAGUUAAGGUGCACAAUACCCAUAUAUUAAUAAUUAAGAAAAGAAAAAAAAUUAAAAUUUGUAAAUUACCAAUUUUUUCUUGAAAUUUGAUAUUCUAUAUUAACGUAGGUGUUGCAUGGACUGGGUUAGUACAAUUGAAAGAAACUAACUAAAGUAAAACAAAAUAUCAUUAAAAAUAUGGCAAGCUUCUCAUAUUUUUUAAGUGAAAAAGAGACGAAAACUAAAAUUAAUUAUUUUUAUACCCAAAUUCUAGUGCUUGAAGGCCGCUGGAAUUGACCAUUGCAGUUUUGUCAUCCUCAUUAUUCACCGGCCAUCGUGGCCUUCCUCCAUUAAAAAAAUAAAUGACCAUUUUUUUGGACCACGACAUAUUAAAAAUAGUAUUGAUUAGUACUAAUAAAUCUCUUUUUUGAUUAUUUUGCAGUGUGAUAGUCGAGUGAGGGCAGUGCCCAUCGUAGCACUUGAACAUGUGGUAAAUUUCUGCCAGUCUUUGUAAAAUAAUUUUUAAAUUAUGUAUUAACCAGAUAGCUCAAUGAAGAUUAUCGCUCACUAAAUCAUUACUUUAUUUUGUAUAUAUUUAUGGGAAUUGUUGAAAAGAAAAAUGUAAAGUGAGAUUAAUGAACGUUUAUGAAUGUGGAAAUUAACACAACCAGGAUUUAUGAUGAAAUAAUUUUAAGUCAAAUGAGCAUAAAUUUGUAUAAAUAUUUUUUGAAUUGUCAUAUAUAUACAAGUUUGUCACUAAUAGUAAACUUAAUUAUGAAUAUUUUAAUAAUUCAAAAUUUUAUUUAACCAUCGGUGUUUAUAGUGUUUUUCAUAAUACAAAAUUGUAAACAGUCUCAUCCUGAAUAGUAUAAUGCCAAACUUUUUAAAAAAUUUAUUUUAUUAUAAUCGUCUUAGUCAGUUAUAUUUAUUUCCAAAUUGAAGAUAAAAAUAAUACUUCAUAUAUCAUACAUUACUUCAUACAUUACUUAAAAGUUUUUUUUUCAAUCAAAUUAUGAGCAAGUGAAAGGAUGCAAUAAAUUACGACUAAAAUUGUAAAAUUUACCAAUGGCUAUAUACAAAGUCUGAUUCUUAUGAGCUUAAAAGAUGGGCUUUGAAUGAUGUAUGGUUCUCAAAACUCUACUUUUAUUAAUAUGAUUGCCCUGCUUCCUUCAUGACGGGUAAUUUUUAGUUUCUUCCCCUAAAGUUUGGCGUAUCUCCAUUUUAAUAGGAAGUAUUAGCGUAUCUCCCACUUUUCUCCCCUGCCGUUAGGGAUGGCAAUUGUACCCGCAAACCCGCAAACCCGCCCAAACCCACCCGCCAAAACCCGCCCGUUGCGGGUAAUUUUAUCCGUUGCGGGCGGGUUUAGUAUUAUAAAUUAAAACCCGCAUAUGGAUGCGGGUGGGUUUGGUAUUAACCUUAUACCCGGUGGAUACCCGCAUGGAUAUCCACCAAACCCGCAAUAAUUUUUUUCAAAUAUUUUUAAUUUAAUUUAAAUAUAAAAAUAUAUAAAGAAAAUAAUGUAAUUAAUCAAAUUACCAAAUAGUAAAAGGCUCAAAGUUGUGUAUGUGUGUAUAUGGCUCAUCUCUUAUUCUAAAGUCAUAACCUAAAGAAAACUAAAGGCAUUUCCCUUCGAAUUAAUAUUUGAAAAUAUUAAUCUUAAUUAUUAUUUUAGGCAUUGUGUUAGAUGGGUGCUUAUGGUGGUGAAUAAAAUAAAUAUAUUCUCUUUGAUCUUGUUUUAAAUGAUAAUAUGAAAUGUAAUUAUUAUUUUUAGAUAUUAGUUUGUGUUUUUUAAAUAGAUUUGUAUAAUUUAUACUUAAAUUUGAGAAUUUGUGUUGAAUUGAUGUGGAAAUUUUAAUUUUUCAUUUACAUUGUUUAAAUAUAAAAUUGAAUAUGUUAUAUGGAACUUGAGGUUAUUAUUAUAAAUUUAUAUAUUAAAUAUUUGUGAUUUUAAAUACGGAAACCCGCAAAAAAUCCGCCGGAUACCAUUGCGGGUUUGGUAAUUGUUAAAACCCGCUGCGGGUGGGUUUUUUUAAAAAAAUUAAAACCCACUGCGGGUUGCGGGUGGGUUUGGUAAUUUAAAUUUUGUGCGGGUUUGGGUUUGGUAAUGGCAAACCCGCUGCGGGCGGUGCCCAUUGCUAUCCCUACCUGCCGUUUGUAUACCGUUUCAUAUUGUUAAUGGACGAAGCUACAAGUCUUCUCUUUCAUCAAAUCGAUCCAUAACAAAUACGAGUCUGCUUCACCUAACCAAAACACACACAUACUCCAUCUCUAAAUGCUUUGAAGAUAAACAAAUCAACCGUAAUCCUGCAACUUUAGCUCAGAGAAUCGGAUAAGAAAAGAACAGGUGAUGAAUCAAGGGUAAUGGCGCCGAGUGAGUGUCGCCUGCGGUCGGCGUUAGAGGCGACUGUCACUCAAUCGCGUACAAGGUUAGUCUUUGAAAAAACUCUUUGCACGUUAGAAAUCAGUGAUUGGGCAUUAUUUUUUUUAUUUAAAAAUGAAAAUGGGUUUAUUAGUUUGUCGAAGAAUCUGCUCUGUUGCCGGUGUUGUUUGUUGAUUAAAAUGAAAAUGGGUUUGUUGAUGUGUUGAAGAAGUUGCUCUACUGCUGGUGUUUUUUUAUUAAUUAAAAUGAAAAUGGGUUUGUUAAUUUAUUGAAUUGUGACUUUAUUUAUCCAAUUGAUGAGCUUAUGAGCUAAUAGUAUUGUUUGAUCAAGCUUGUGUUCUUAAUAGUGGAGUUGAUAUUCUUAAAAAUGAAUUUAUGAUUAUGAGAAUAUGAAAAUUGAAUGGCAUCGUAGAGGUCUGGAUUAAUCACCAUCGAAUAUGUUUCUAAAUAAAGGAAUAAGCAGCAAUCUGAUUUGAAACUUAAGACUUUAGGGAUAUGUAUGUGCAACUGAAUGAAUCAUCAGUUGCUAUCUUGUAAGUCAAUACUAGCAUAUUACUUAAUGGCAAGUGAAGCUAUUUUAUGUGUAUUGCUGCCUAUCAAAAUGUUUAUGUUUGAAGUUAUCUCCUUUUAGGAAAUUGAAUGCUUCUGUGAGUUCUCUGGUAAGGGCUAUACAACUAGCUCUAAUAGAUUCCUUCAUGUGCAUUAAUUAGCUUAGUAGUUUAUUGACCUAUAUCCAAUGUCUAUUCUCCUUUUCUGUAGCCGUCUAGUUUUAUGAGUGUGUGAAGUGAACUUUUGUUUUAUGUUUCAGGACUUGGGAUUAGAGUGUAUAACAUUCAAUAUCUUUAUAUCAAAGAACUGAUAUAUGUCAAUGUAGUGCGAUCUGGUCUUUAUUAGCUUCUUGAUUUGCCAGGAUGUUUGACAACCAUCUUUGACUAUGAUUGCCAACAUAUAAGCUGCUACAUAGUGUCUCAGGAAUCACAGCAAAUUAUUAUCAUAAUAUGGUGAUUUUGAAUCCAAAACUUGGUAGUGUCAAGAAAAUAGACCCAUGUUUAUUUAUCUUCAUGUUUUGUAUGCGCCUGCAAUAGACUAUUAUAAGUUACUUUUAGUUUUAUCAAGUUUUUUUUUCCUUAAAUUUCAUCGAGUCUUGGAGUCUUUGUAAUAUAGAGUCUAAGUGAAGAAUACUUGGGUGAAAUCUUGUAUUCUCUCUUCCAGUAAUAUAAUCAUCCUUUGUGUUUUUAUCUUUUUAUUUUGGUAUCAGAGCAUACUUUAUUAUAGAAGGACUUGGACUCUAUAUUACAAAGACUCAGUGGUUUCUUUUAACUGAGUUAAUAGUGUUGUUAGGUUAAACUAAGUUUGGCUUCAUAAGAUUCAUAGUAGAGUGUAGAACUGGGUACAAUUUUGGGUUAAGACAAGUCAAAAGUCUUCUCAAGUAAUUGUUCUGCUUACUGAUUUGGUAAUUGCAACAUUGCUAAAUAGUUCAAUUUGUCCUUUUUUUUUGUUGAAUUUAUUGUAUGUCAUAUUACUUCAUUUAAUUAUUUUCUCAGAUCUUGUAGGUGAAAAUUUCAGCUUCAAAGGCCAAGCUAAUCAUCCAGCAAUUCAGUGAAACCAAGACACAGUGGCUCAUAAAUUGUUGUUGGUGAUCGAGCCAUUCGGGUGCUUGCCAGUCCUAGAUGAGAGAACUUUCAACGCGGCGCAUAAAUUGUUGUUGAUCUGUUUUAUAUAUUUUGACCUUUGUGAUUUGUGAAUACAUGGUUUGAUUCCAGUGUUUACAACUNNNNNNNNNNNNNNNNNNNNNNNNNNNNNNNNNNNNNNNNNNNNNNNNNNNNNNNNNNNNNNNNNNNNNNNNNNNNNNNNNNNNNNNNNNNNNNNNNNNNNNNNNNNNNNNNNNNNNNNNNNNNNNNNNNNNNNNNNNNNNNNNNNNNNNNNNNNNNNNNNNNNNNNNNNNNNNNNNNNNNNNNNNNNNNNNNNNNNNNNNNNNNNNNNNNNNNNNNNNNNNNNNNNNNNNNNNNNNNNNNNNNNNNNNNNNNNNNNNNNNNNNNNNNNNNNNNNNNNNNNNNNNNNNNNNNNNNNNNNNNNNNNNNNNNNNNNNNNNNNNNNNNNNNNNNNNNNNNNNNNNNNNNNNNNNNNNNNNNNNNNNNNNNNNNNNNNNNNNNNNNNNNNNNNNNNNNNNNNNNNNNNNNNNNNNNNNNNNNNNNNNNNNNNNNNNNNNNNNNNNNNNNNNNNNNNNNNNNNNNNNNNNNNNNNNNNNNNNNNNNNNNNNNNNNNNNNNNNNNNNNNNNNNNNNNNNNNNNNNNNNNNNNNNNNNNNNNNNNNNNNNNNNNNNNNNNNNNNNNNNNNNNNNNNNNNNNNNNNNNNNNNNNNNNNNNNNNNNNNNNNNNNNNNNNNNNNNNNNNNNNNNNNNNNNNNNNNNNNNNNNNNNNNNNNNNNNNNNNNNNNNNNNNNNNNNNNNNNNNNNNNNNNNNNNNNNNNNNNNNNNNNNNNNNNNNNNNNNNNNNNNNNNNNNNNNNNNNNNNNNNNNNNNNNNNNNNNNNNNNNNNNNNNNNNNNNNNNNNNNNNNNNNNNNNNNNNNNNNNNNNNNNNNNNNNNNNNNNNNNNNNNNNNNNNNNNNNNNNNNNNNNNNNNNNNNNNNNNNNNNNNNNNNNNNNNNNNNNNNNNNNNNNNNNNNNNNNNNNNNNNNNNNNNNNNNNNNNNNNNNNNNNNNNNNNNNNNNNNNNNNNNNNNNNNNNNNNNNNNNNNNNNNNNNNNNNNNNNNNNNNNNNNNNNNNNNNNNNNNNNNNNNNNNNNNNNNNNNNNNNNNNNNNNNNNNNNNNNNNNNNNNNNNNNNNNNNNNNNNNNNNNNNNNNNNNNNNNNNNNNNNNNNNNNNNNNNNNNNNNNNNNNNNNNNNNNNNNNNNNNNNNNNNNNNNNNNNNNNNNNNNNNNNNNNNNNNNNNNNNNNNNNNNNNNNNNNNNNNNNNNNNNNNNNNNNNNNNNNNNNNNNNNNNNNNNNNNNNNNNNNNNNNNNNNNNNNNNNNNNNNNNNNNNNNNNNNNNNNNNNNNNNNNNNNNNNNNNNNNNNNNNNNNNNNNNNNNNNNNNNNNNNNNNNNNNNNNNNNNNNNNNNNNNNNNNNNNNNNNNNNNNNNNNNNNNNNNNNNNNNNNNNNNNNNNNNNNNNNNNNNNNNNNNNNNNNNNNNNNNNNNNNNNNNNNNNNNNNNNNNNNNNNNNNNNNNNNNNNNNNNNNNNNNNNNNNNNNNNNNNNNNNNNNNNNNNNNNNNNNNNNNNNNNNNNNNNNNNNNNNNNNNNNNNNNNNNNNNNNNNNNNNNNNNNNNNNNNNNNNNNNNNNNNNNNNNNNNNNNNNNNNNNNNNNNNNNNNNNNNNNNNNNNNNNNNNNNNNNNNNNNNNNNNNNNNNNNNNNNNNNNNNNNNNNNNNNNNNNNNNNNNNNNNNNNNNNNNNNNNNNNNNNNNNNNNNNNNNNNNNNNNNNNNNNNNNNNNNNNNNNNNNNNNNNNNNNNNNNNNNNNNNNNNNNNNNNNNNNNNNNNNNNNNNNNNNNNNNNNNNNNNNNNNNNNNNNNNNNNNNNNNNNNNNNNNNNNNNNNNNNNNNNNNNNNNNNNNNNNNNNNNNNNNNNNNNNNNNNNNNNNNNNNNNNNNNNNNNNNNNNNNNNNNNNNNNNNNNNNNNNNNNNNNNNNNNNNNNNNNNNNNNNNNNNNNNNNNNNNNNNNNNNNNNNNNNNNNNNNNNNNNNNNNNNNNNNNNNNNNNNNNNNNNNNNNNNNNNNNNNNNNNNNNNNNNNNNNNNNNNNNNNNNNNNNNNNNNNNNNNNNNNNNNNNNNNNNNNNNNNNNNNNNNNNNNNNNNNNNNNNNNNNNNNNNNNNNNNNNNNNNNNNNNNNNNNNNNNNNNNNNNNNNNNNNNNNNNNNNNNNNNNNNNNNNNNNNNNNNNNNNNNNNNNNNNNNNNNNNNNNNNNNNNNNNNNNNNNNNNNNNNNNNNNNNNNNNNNNNNNNNNNNNNNNNNNNNNNNNNNNNNNNNNNNNNNNNNNNNNNNNNNNNNNNNNNNNNNNNNNNNNNNNNNNNNNNNNNNNNNNNNNNNNNNNNNNNNNNNNNNNNNNNNNNNNNNNNNNNNNNNNNNNNNNNNNNNNNNNNNNNNNNNNNNNNNNNNNNNNNNNNNNNNNNNNNNNNNNNNNNNNNNNNNNNNNNNNNNNNNNNNNNNNNNNNNNNNNNNNNNNNNNNNNNNNNNNNNNNNNNNNNNNNNNNNNNNNNNNNNNNNNNNNNNNNNNNNNNNNNNNNNNNNNNNNNNNNNNNNNNNNNNNNNNNNNNNNNNNNNNNNNNNNNNNNNNNNNNNNNNNNNNNNNNNNNNNNNNNNNNNNNNNNNNNNNNNNNNNNNNNNNNNNNNNNNNNNNNUACCCCCCCCCCGGGCGGGGGGUGGGGGGUUUGGAGAUACGCUGAUACUUUCUAUCAUACUGGAGAUACACCUAACCUCAGGGGAAGAAAACUACACCUUUACGACGGGUGAACUUGGGUCAAACUUUCAUAUUUUAAUCAAGUAGGUCGAUCAUGAUUCAAGCUUCAGUCAUAAGCCUUUCGUUAUGAUUGAUAUUAUUCUUUCUUGAUAGUAUCAUGGAAAAUGCAAACGAAAAGGCAGCAUCUUUGAGUUUUGUCUCAUCAUAUCCGACUUGUUGGUCUACUAAUCAAUCGACAGGCCCUUUUGAUCUUGAUAAUUUGAACUUAAGGAGGCAAAGCAGCAAUCCCGAAGAGCCAUUGCUUGAUGCUGAGAUCGUUGUUGACGGCAAAUCAGUGGCAGUUAAUCGCAGCAUAUUGUCUGCACGCAGUCGUUUUUUUCAUUGGCUUUUUCAUUUGAGCAGUGAUGGUUCUGUGAGUGAGGGGAAACCCAAGUAUCUUAUGACUGAUUUGGUGCCUUAUAGGAAGGUUGGAUAUGAAGCUUUUAAUGAUAUCUUGCAUUAUCUUUACACUGGAAUGCGUAAGGCGCCUCCUUCAGAAGUGUUCACGUGUGUUGAUGAUACUUGUGUUCAUCUUGUUUGCCCUCCUGCUAUUAAUUAUGUUAUUGAGUCGAUAUAUGCUUCUGCUGCUUUUAAGAUGACAGAGGUCGUUUCGGUUUAUGAGGUAGUUGCGCUUCCCCGCUACUUGUAUUGCUUAAAUUUAUGCUUAUUGGUAUAGUUUUAACAUAUGUGGGAUUGAAAUCAAUUUCAGUUGUGACUUGCAAAGAGCCAAAGAAUCUGUUGUUUUAUUUUGAAAGAGACAAAGAUGAUGAUGAUGGGCAGUGAACUCUAGGAAUCAAUGCUUGCUGACACUGACACCCAAGAAUGAUAAAAACUAACCAAAAAGGUAUAUAGAUUACAUGAGUCUGAAUUUGAUAAGUGCACCUAUCCUAUCACAAAAAGCUUUUGCGUUGAGUUUCGAACCAAGGAAAAUUGUCACUUCUGUCUGUAGGCUUCAUAGAUUUGUUCAAGCCUUCAAGGAUGUCUAGCUGUUACUUAGGGUCCAACAAUGGUGCUACAUUUCUAGUGGAUGAUAUGUUAUCUACAUCUGUAUAUUGCAACUUUGACAAACUUCGCCUUUCUUUUGUUGAUACACUCGUCUCACUUUUAUUAAAUUGCCUGAUUAUGAAAUGGUCUAUUGGAGACUAGCAUUGGAAGGUUUCUUCUGGAGAAAAUUUUACUUGCCACCAAUUUUCAUUUUGGUCGGUGUCAGUUCAUGCGCUGGCUUGAUUGUGCUGUUAUUUAGGUUGUUUUAUCCAUAUUUUCUCACUAUCUUGAUAGUUAGUUCUCUCAUACUUCCAAUCUCAGCAGUGAAUGCGAAAGAUUCUCUUUUUCCCGUCCAGGUUAUAACCUAGCAAAUCAAUAAUGCUGUAGAAUAACAUCUUGUGUAGGUGAGCUUAUGUCUCUGAACAUUGGUCCACCGGCAUUUAGGUUCGAUAAGCAUGGCAUUGAUUUUCCCCCUCAUUGUUAUUUUCCUGCACAGAUUACCCCCUUUAAGUAUUUGAAUUUUGAAUACAUUAUUCUGAAUCAAAACUCUAUACGUCCGUGUAGCAUUUUAUAUAUGCUUUAUGAUAUUUACCAAUAAUUACCCACUGCGAGGUAUUUGAAUUUUGAAUAUAUUAUUCUGAAUCAAAACUCUAUCUGUCCGUGUAGGAUUGGCUUCUGAAGGUGGUUCGGGAGGCUCUUGUGGAAGAUGUAAUACCAAUUCUCGUAGCUGCCUUGCAGUGCCGACUGUACCCGCUCUGUUCUUUCUGCAUCCAGAGAAUUGCAAGGUCAAAUAUUGACAAUGUUUGUCUCGAGAAAGAGCUUCCUGAUGAAGUUUCAAGUCAAAUCAAAUCACUCCGGGUCAAAUCUAACCAGGAGUCUGAAGCUAACAUAAAAGAAGUGGAUCCUAUGCAUGAAAAGAGAGUCAGAAGAAUCCACAAGGCGUUGGACUCUGAUGAUUUUGAACUGCUGAAUCUUCUUCUGAAUGAAUAUAAAGUCACUUUAGAUGAUGCUUACGCUCUGCACUAUGCUGCUGCCUACUGCAACCCUAAGGUUUUUAAGGAAGUGCACAAUAUGGGCUUGGCUGAUAUCAAUCUUAAGGAUGCAAGAGGACGUACGGUGCUUCAUGUGGCUGCAAGGCGUAAGGAGCCAGAAGUGAUAGUGGUUCUGCUGAGCAAGGGAGCAUGCUCAUCAGAAACUACACCAGAUGGGCAAACAGCUGUAGCAAUCUGUCGGAGAAUGACAAGGCGAAAGGAUUAUAUUGAAGCUACAAAGCAGGGGCAGGAAACUAACAAAGACUGGUUAUGCAUUGAUGUCCUUGAGAGAGAUAUGACAACGAACUCCACGUCUGGGAACUUGGCAAUGUCAUCAGAGGUGAUAGAUGAUGUUUUCCAAAUGAAUCUGGACUAUCUGGAAAAUAGAGGUGAUAUUUCUUUACUGGUAUUAGUUCAUCACCUUCUCAGAGUUUGUGCAUAGCACACUUCUUUUUACUAUUCGAUUGUCCCUUCAUCUUAGCAUCUCAAACACAAAUGGGCUCAGUGCUUGGAGCACACUGUUGGCCAGUCAUGUGAUUUGAUCCCUUUUUUGGAAUAGACAAUUCUGAAUACUGGUCUAGGCUUGGCGGUUUGCACUGAACUGGUUUUUGAUGAGUAAUUGCACAAGACUUUGUCAUCAAAACGUUUUUUUUUGGUUUUUUUUCCCCAAAAGUAAUGAGGUACAAAAAAUUUUUUGCCUAUCCUGGAUGAGUGCCGCAACAGCUUCUUAAUAUUUUGCAGUGGCUUGUGUACGGUUGUUUCCUUCUGAAGCUAGAGUAGCUAUGGAAAUGGCAGGUGCAGAUAUCGCCAUUGGCCUUUCAGCAUUAGGUCGGAAAGGACUAAGUGGGAACUUAAAGGAGGUUGAUUUGAAUGAAACGCCCUCUAAGCAAGCCAAAAGAUGCCAAUUGAGACUGCUCACUCUGCUUAAAACAGGUAUUUACAUACUUUAUUAACUUUUGCGCCUUUCUAUUUACUGAUUAUCUUUAUAAUUAAAUAAUACAUGUAUCCAGGUUUCUCCUUCCAUUUCAUUAGAAGUAAAUUGGAAUCUCUUUAUAGUGCUCUGUUAGGUGUAAUCAGACGUAUCAAAAGAGACAGGGUAAUUGUUAGUACAUUGAUAUCUCAACAAAAUGGUAAAACCUUNNNNNNNNNNNNNNNNNNNNNNNNNNNNNNNNNNNNNNNNNNNNNNNNNNNNNNNNNNNNNNNNNNNNNNNNNNNNNNNNNNNNNNNNNNNNNNNNNNNNAACACUAAAUCUCACUAGAUCAACUCUUUACCUCUGGACUGAAGGUGUGACACCCAAACCCAAUUAGGGCUUAGAACACAUAUCGAAUCUGAGCGAAACUAAAUGCUUGUAAAUCCAAAUCUCCAAAAUAUCAAAAGGUCAUCUACUUUCUCUUUUCAUAGAUUUCACAAAAUUUUGAAAAACUGAUUCUCAAUCAUAAACUAUGCCCAGCUAAUUAAUCAACAUAUCACUAUACAACAAUACUUCCUCAUAAGCAAAUAAAUCUUACAAUCCUUCUUCCAUGAUUUAAAAAAAAAAAAGAAAUAGUUCUAGAAGUCUUCUAAAUACAAACAUAAACAGAAUUCAACUGCUAAAACUGUGCCAAAAUACUAGCUUCAAUCAGUAAUACACACGACUAAUUAUUAAAUCAGUAAUAUACACGACUAAUUAUUAAAAACAUCUAGCUAGAAACCUUAUGAAAGCUCAAUCCUUCCGAAGCAUUCUUCGAAUUAAUAAUUGCUACCAUCUGUGAAAAAUAAUUGACAAGGGGUCAGCUGUUAACUCAAUCAGUAGAAACACUAAUAAUGAACAAAAAGAAUUCUUUGUGCAAUAUUUUCAAAAAAUUCAUUUAACCUUUCAAAUGAAACAGAGUAAUUUUUCAAACACAGUCAGGACUUAUAUAAAAUAUAAACAUUUCCGACAGAAGCUUUUUGGAACGUAAAUUUUGCUUCUUUAAACAGAAAGUUAUACAUUAGUUUGAUUUUAAAGGGAGGUUAUUGGGAAGUUAAAAUUGGCAGUUGUGGUAAAAGAGUAAUAGCAGUUAUAAAAUCUCUUUAAAAACAAAUUCGAAUCAAGUUUCAAAAUUUGGAAGUACUUAAUUCAAUAAACUAAGGAAUAAAUAAAGCAUUCACUGAAACAAAACUAAGUAAAUUCAUUUAAAGCAAAACCGGAUGGGAGCAUUACCUAAGGAUUCUUGACCAUACCAUGUUUACCCGCAGUCAGAUAGCUGGGAUCUUGUUAUUUGGGGACAAGACUUGAUUGUGCCAUGUCUUCCGCAGCCAGAUAUCUUUUACUUCAUUAUUUCCUAGACAUUUGUGGAUAAGAGAACCCUAAGCCUAUAGAGAAUAAAUUAUGUAAUCCAAGACUCUUCAGUCCUUUCAUUUGUGGCUAAUUAGUUAUAAAAUUUGUGAAUUUCAUGCCCCACGCCCCUUGCAAAAUGCAUUUUAUAUCCUUAAAAUGCCAGUGGAUGAACUGAAAUAAUAAAAAAUGGAAAACAGACUUAAUGUUGGUAGCAUUUCUUAAGAAAAACUUGGGAUGUUUAUAAUUUUCUUAGAGCAUUUGCUGAACUUUCCGUGAUCGCAGUCGAGACGGGUCAACGCUAUUUCCCUCAUUGCUCAGAUGUGGUUGAUAAGUUUAGGUAUUGCAACCGCCCUCAUUGCUCAGAAUUGAUUGAUGAGUUUUUGGAUUGUGAUUGGUCCGAUGAUUCCCUCCUAGAAAAGGGUACUCCUGAAGAGCAGAAACUAAAAAGGGCAGGCUUCAUGAAACUUAGAGUAGACAUGCAGGAGGCACUCCGCAAGGACGUGGCUUAUCACCGUUGUUCAGGGCUGCCAUCAUCCUGGUCGGCAUUUUACAAGUACAUGGCUGAGAGCAAUCGUUCAGGUAUGCCGACAUCCUCAGCAGCGAGCAAUUAAGCAUCACCUUUCCCCAAAAGUUAUAUUUGACACCUGGGAAACUAAAAGAGUUUAGUGAGCUUGAUUGGUAUUUGUAGUUUUUUUUCCCUCAAGUGAUCUGGCAGAUUUCAAAUAGUUGNNNNNNNNNNNNNNNNNNNNNNNNNNNNNNNNNNNNNNNNNNNNNNNNNNNNNNNNNNNNNNNNNNNNNNNNNNNNNNNNNNNNNNNNNNNNNNNNNNNNNNNNNNNNNNNNNNNNNNNNNNNNNNNNNNNNNNNNNNNNNCAAAAAACAGUAAAACUGAGAGAUUUCUUUUAUUUUUCCUUAAAAAAUAAGAAAAAUUUAGAAAGUAGUGAGAGAAAUAAAGUAAUUAUAUUCAUAAAUAUAAUGUGUUUGGUGUAGCAACACAAACUAAUAAAUUAUAAUUUAUGAGAUUAGCCUAGAGAAUCAUACAUAUAAAAUUAUAUCCUCUGAGUAAAAAUCUUCACAUCUCUUUUAACUUCUCAUUUAGAUGUCCUUUCUAAAAUCUCUCCAGAGAUAAAUACAUUUUUAUAAAACAAAACAGAAAAAAUAUAUAUAUAUAAUUGUUCAUAAGGACUAUUUGUUCAUAGUACACAAUUGGCCACCAAAGUUAUUUUGGGAGAAAAUUUGCAUGAGAUGGGUACAUCACAUCAUCAGUAUUUUUGUCUCAGUUUGAACAUGCGUCUGUUGUACGAAUCUUACGAGAAUGGUCUCUCAUAAAUUUGAGAGAUGGUGAGGAGUGGGUUAAAGUGCAUUUACAUAGAAUUAAUUAAAAUUAAAAUUUUAGUUUUUUAACUAUUUUUAAUUAAAAGUAGUAGUUAUUCUUUUUAUUAUUGUUAUUCUCAUCAUAUCAACAUCAAGUGACUGGUGAUCAAAUUAAUUAGCUCAUUAAAUUUUUUAAGUGACGUAUGUUAUGGAGUUUCUGUGCAUCUAUUUAAAUAGUAAAAUAUUUAAUUUUGCUUGUCGUAAAAUUUUAAUUUACGUGGGUUAGAAAAAGAAAAAGAAAAAAAUGAAAAAAGAAAUUGACUUAUUAAUUAAUUAACAAUUAUAGAAAGAAUAAAUUGAAAAUUGUAGUUGGGUGAGAAAACUCUCGGGAAUUCCUUUCCCUGGCUUCGUGCGUUUGCUUUUGCCCUUUCGAGCACGAAUUUGAAUCCAAUACUUUAUAAUAAAGAUAUAAUAUUAUUAUAAUACUAAUAAUUAACAUUAAAAUAUUAAAAAAUAAGAAAAAAUUCCAAAUUUUUCUGUUUCUGGUUUUAUUUCAGUUUAAUAUUAUUGGUUCCGUUCUGCUUUGUUCUCGGUUGUCUGCAUAUCUGUAUAUAUUUUUGGCCUCGAAUUGCUUUGAUCACCGGUUUUGUUCUUCAUUUAUCGUGAAUUUUAGAUACCCAUUAAACUUGUUUGGCCAUGUAUGCACUUGAUUGUUACAUUCAGCUGUCAUUUUCAUGGUGGGUUUGUAAGAUAGUCUCUGACUAACAUAUGGCACUGAUUAUGAAUGAUGGUUUUGUGAGACACACCAUACAGACAUUAACUCUGUCAAGAUUGAUAUCUUUUCUAGAUAUUCAAACUUUCAAUAUCAAAUUCAAAAUUCUAGAUAUUCAAAGUUUGAAUAUCAAACUUUGAACUUUGAAUUUUGAAAAAUAAUAAAUAAUUAAAAAAAUACAUGAAUAGUAGCCAAGAUUUUGGCUAUAAAUAGCGGGGCUCAUAUAGAGGGGCUCAUUCCCUCAUUUGCUCAUCCAAUUUUGAGAAGAGUUUUCUUGUAUUUAGAGAGAGUUUAGAGAGCUUGAAAUUAUAAGCUCUUGUUUUAGUGUUUUGAGAGUUUGGGUGUAUUGGGGUUUUGGAAAGUGAGCUAAAAUACUACAAUACUUGUAACUCCUUUUCACUAAUAAAAUAUUUUCCUUCUGUCUUCACCUGUGGACGUAGACUAAAAGUCGAAUCACGUAAUUUCUGGUGUUCUCUUUUAUGCUUGUUCUUUAUUUUCUUCCAAUUUCAUUUUAGCUGCGGCCUGCUGCACCCAUCAAUUUCCUAACAGUGGUAUCAGAGCUAUUGGUUGUAUUUUUGGAGUUGGGUACUAUUCACGUGAAGGUACUAUUCACAUAUACGGUACUGUUCAUGUAUACGAUAUUAUUCACGUAUACGGUACUGUUCACGAUACGGUACUGUUCAUAUAUACGAUAUUAUUCACGUAUACGGUACUGUUCACGAUACGGUACUGUUCAUAUAUAGGCACUGUCCACGAAAAACAGUGGGAGCGAUCCAAGAAUUUUGCGGUGCAAAGCAAGGAAUAGUGGUGUGAGUAAAGCAAUUGUGUGAUUUUGUACAUGUCUAAGAAAGUUCUGUCACAAAGGCGAUAAGAACUUAAGAAGUCUGGGUUUUAAGUGGGACCAUUGUGACCCCUCCAGUCUUUCCUGGGAACUUUCCUAGUGUGCAUAUUCACACAUACUCACAACUAUUCGACGUGAUACACUAGUUUGUGUCUAAUAUUUAUCAACAAAAUGGCGGCAAAGUAUGAAAUUGAGAAGUUCAACGGGAAUAAUUUUUCGUUGUGGAAAAUGAAGAUGAAAGUUGUAUUAAAGAAAAAUAAUUGAUUGACAGCAAUUGGAGGAAGGCCCAUGGAGAUAACUAAUGACAAGUGGAACAAGAUAGAUGGCAACGCCAUUUCUGAUCUACACUUAGCACUUGCGAAUGAAUUAUUAUCUAGUAUGACAGAAAAAAAUACAGCGAAGGGAAUAGAGAUACUCUCACAAAAUUGUAUGAGACCAAGUCACUACACAACAAAAUUUUCUUGAAGAGAAAACUUUAUACUCUUCGAAUGGCGGAAUCUACAAUGGUGACCGAUCACAUCAAUACCUUAAAGACUCUAUUUUUACAACUCACAACGUUGGGUCAUAAUAUAGAGGAGAAUGAACGUCCAGAGCUUCUACUUUAAAGUCUACCAAAUUCGUAUGAUCAACUCAUCAUCAACCUGACGAACAACAAUCCAGCGGACAGUCUAGUUUUCAACGAUGUUGCAGCCUCCGUAUUAAAUGAAGAGAGCAGACGAAAAAAUAAGGAAAACAGACAAGCAAGUUCACAGCAAGCGAAGACGCUAUCGAUGACAAGAGGGAGAUCAACGGAACAUGGCCCCAGUGGGAGUCACAAUCAUGGUAGAUCAAAAUCGAGAAGUAAGAAGAAUGUUAAAUGCUACAACUGUGGCAAGAAAGGGCACGCCAAGAAAGAGUGUUGGAGUAACCAGAAGAGAAAAGAUGGCAAAGAUCCUAAAUCAUCAAAUGCUCAAGGAUGUGUAGCAAGUACCUCGGAUGAUGGCAAAAUUCUCUACAAUAAGAUAACAACUAUUUCAGAAGGUAGAAAAUAACUAUCUGAUGUAUGGCUUAUAGACUUAGGAGGUACCUGACACAUGACCUCUCGAAGAGAAUGGUUCCACACAUAUAAACCUAUCUUAGGAGAAUCUGUAUAUAUGGGUAACGAUCAUGCCUUGGAGAUCGUUGGUAUUGGUACUAUCAAAAUAAAAAUGUUUGAUGGUACAAUUCGCACAAUUGGGGAGGUACGACAUGUCAACGGCCUGAAGAAAAAUCUAUUGUCUUUGGGACAAAUGGAUAGUUAUGGGUACAAAACUCAUAUGGAGAAUGGAAUUAUGAAGAUCAUUAAAGGCGCGCUUAUAUUGAUGAAGGAAGAAAAGAUCGGUGCUAAUUUAUUCAUACUUAAAGGAGAAAUACUACAGGAGGCUGAUGUGUGUGUCGCGUCAAAUGGAGAAGAAUCAAUAAUGAUGUGGCACCUUAAACUUAACCAUAUGUCAGAAUAAGGUUUGAAAAUUCUCUCUGAGUGAAAAUUGCUUCUAGUGCUCAAAUCGGUAAGUUUACCAUUUUGCGAGCAUUGUGUUACAAGUAAGCAUCAUAGAUUAAAAUUUAGUAGAUCUAUUGCUAUAAGUAAAUGCAUUCUAGACUUGAUUCAUUCUGAUGUUUGGGAAUCACCGGAUAUGUCCAUGGGAGGUGCAAAGUACAUGGUGAUUUUCAUUGAUGAUUAUUCCAGGAGAUGUUAGGUGUAUCCAAUUAAGAAAAAGUCAGAUGUGUUUUCAGUGUUUAAAAAAUAUAAAGCGCGGGUGGAACUUGAAUCCGGUAAAAAGAUCAAGUGCUUGAGGACGGAUAAUGGUGAAAAGUAUACAGACGGUGAGUUUCUUGCUUUCUGUAAGUAAGAAGGUAUUCAGAGGCAGUUCAAUGUAGCAUAUACUCCUCAACAAAAUGGAGUGGCAGAGCGGAUGAACAGGACUCUUACAGAACGAAUAAGAGUUAUGUUGAGGACUGCGGCUCUACCUAAUUCAUUCUGAGCAGAAGCAGCCAAAACUGCAUGUUAUAUAGUAAAUCAGUCACCAUCUACAACUAUGAGGCUGAAGACAGCGAUGGAAAUGUGGAUUGGAAAGCCAGCUGAUUACUCAUACCUACAUGCAUUUGGAUGUCCUGUGUAUGUGAUCUACAAUGCCCAAGAAAGAACAAAGUUGGAUCCAAAAUGUAGAAGAUGUAUUUUCUUAGGGUAUGCUAAUGGAGUAAAGGGGCAUCGUCUGUGGGACCCCCACUGUCCACAAGAUCGUCAUCAGCAAAGAUGUUAUCUUUGUAGAAUAUCAACUAAAAAGGAGAGAUGAGGAUGAUAACACUAUAAAAGAAAAGUCAGAAACUGUACCGGUGUAUGUGAAAAAUAAUCUGGAAAAAGAAGAUUUAGAUUCUUCUGAAGUAGCACUAGAGCACGAGGGACAAGAACUAGUUGAGUCCGAGGCUCCAGAAGUUUGUCGGUCAACUGGUGAGAGACGACCGCCAACAUGGCACUCGGAGUAUGUCACAGAGAUCAACGUUGCAUACUGUCUUCUAACAGAGGAUGGAGAGCCAUUAACUUCCCAUGAAUCUUUAAACAGCUCAGAUGUUAUUUUGUGGAUGAUAGUAAUGAAGAAAGAAAUUGAAGCUCUACACAAGAACAAGACAUGGGAACUUGUACCACUACCAUAUGGAAGAAAAGCCAUUGGUAACAAAUGAGUCUACAAGAUCAAGCGUGAUGGCAAUGACUAAGUGGAGCAGUAUCGUGUCAGAUUGGUGGUGAAAAGAUAUGCUCACGAGAUAUUUUCUCCAGUAGUUCAACUCACAACAGUCAGAAUAAUCUUGGCAAUGUGUACUAUAUUUGACUUACAUCUUGAGCAGUUGGAUGUGAAAACUGCAUUUCUUCAUGGAGAACUUAAAGAAGAAAUUUAUAUGCUCUAACCAGAAGCUUUUGCUGAAAAGAAAAAUGAGAACUUGGUUUGUAGGUUGAACAAAUUUUUAUACGGUCUCAAACAAGCGCCGAUGUGUUGGUAUAAGAGAUUUGAUUCCUUCAUCAUGAGCCUUGGAUACAAUAGACUCAGUUCAGACCAUUGUGCAUAUUACAAAAGGUUUGAAGAUAAUGAUUUCAUUAUUUUGUUGUUGUAUGUGGAUGACAUGUUGGCAGCAGGCCCCAACAAAGAUCGAAUCCAAGAAUUGAAGGCAUAAUUGGCUAGGAAAUUUGAAAUAAAGGACUUGGGACCAGCAAACAAGAUUCUAGGGAUGCAAAUUCACCGAGACAGAAAUAACAUGAAGGUUUGACUUUCUCAGAAGAACUACUUGAAGAAAAUCUUGCGACGCUUCAACAUGCAAGAUUGUAAGUGAAUUUCUACCCCACUACCUGUUAAUUUCAAGUUAUCCUCAAGUAUGUGUCCUAGUAAUGAAGCAGAGAUGAAGGAGAUGUCUCGAGUACCGUAUGCAUCAACGGUGGGAAGUUUUGUGUUCGCUAUGAUAUGUAUUAGACCAGACAUUGUACAAGCAGUGGGAGCAGUUAGUCGAUACAUGACGAAUCCUGAUGGAGAGCAUUGGAUAACUGUGAAGAGGAUUCUGAGAUACAUCAAAGGAACCUCCGAUGUUGCAUUAUGUUAUGGAGGAUCAGAGUUUACUGUCAGGGGCUAUGUGAAUUAAGAUUUUACAGGAGAUCUUGAUAAAAGAAAAUCCACUAUUGGCUAUAUGUUUACAUUUGCAGGAGCAGCUGUAAGCUGGGUUUCAAAACUGUAAAUUAUUGUGGCCCUAUCUACAACAGAAGCAUAAUACAUGGCAGCUACACAAGCUUGCAAUGAAGCUAUUUGGAUACAAAGGUUAUUGGAGGAGCUCGGGCACAAACAACAGAAAACUCUUGUAUUUUGUGACAAUUAGAGUGCCUUGCAUAUUGCAAGGAAUCCAGCCUUUCAUUCCAGGACAAAGCACAUAAUGGUACAAUAUCACUUCGUUCGAGAAGUUGUGGAAGAUGGAAGUGUGGAAGAUGGAAGUGUGGAUUUACAGAAAAUCCAUACCAAGGAGAACCUAGCAGAUGUUUUGACCAAGCCAAUCAAUGCUGACAAGUUUAUCUGAAGUAGAUCCUCUUGUGGCCUAGCAGAAACAUAGGCAACAUGAUAAUGGCAAAGAAAAAAGGAUGGUGUGAAGAUUGAUUGGUUCUCAAUCAAAUCUCCAAGUAGGAGAAUGUCAAGAUUGAUAUCUCUUCUAGAUAAUCAAACUUCGAAUAUCAAAUUCAAAAUUCUAGAUAUUCAAAGUUUGAAUAUCAAACUUUGAACUUUGAAUUUUGAAAAAUAAUAAAUAAUUGAAAAAAAUACGUGAAUAGUAGCCAAGAUUUUGGCUAUAAAUAAAGGGGCUCAUUCCCUCGUUUGCUCAUCCAAUUUUGACAAGAGUUUUCUUUUAUUUAGAGAGAGUUUAGAGAGCUUGAAAUUAUAACUUCUUGUUUUAGUGUUUUAAGAGUUUGGGUGUAUUGGGAUUUUGGGAAGUGAACUAAAAUAGUACAAUACUUGUAACUCCUUUUCAUUAGUAAAAUAUUUUCCUUCUGCCUUCGCCCGUGGAUGUAGGCUAAAAGUCGAACCACGUAAUUUCUGGUGUCCUCUUUUAUGUUUGUUCUUUAUUUUCUUCCAAUUUCAUUUUAGCUGUGGCCCUGCUUCACUCAUCAAUUUCCUAACAAACUCGUAUUAAUGUGUACUUACUUCAUUCAAGAUAUUAGUGUUUUUCUCUCUUUUUUUCUAAAAAAAAAAUUGAAAUGCCCCUUUUCGCAUUUUAUAGGUGAAGAAGAAACAUAAUAUCGCAGGACUAGAAUAAAGGAGCCUAUUCUGGUACCUAUUGUCCAAGGAAGCUUCUGUGCAUUGAGUCGGCACUGCCAUGGCAGUCAAAUGUUACCAGAGCCAGGCGGAGUCGUUCCUAAAGGAAUAUAUAUUAGCAUAUCCAUUUGUCCCGUACACUUCAAUUGUCGAUAGCAUUUUUGUUUGCAAGAUGGUAUGUUUUUUGUCGUUACUGCGUGGUGGUAUUUACUAGAAAAUAUUUUGAAUGCAUAGUUUUUAUUUAAUUAGUUAUAAAAUUUGUAUACCCUCUGUUUUCCAUAAGAAUUUGUUCCUUUUCAGGUCUAUUAUCUUGCCAAAUUGAUUAGUGUUGUUCAAUUUAAAUGUUAUUCUAGUUUCUCCAACAUACAGUGGGUCGAGUGGAGUAACAGGUGAUUGAAUAUUUUCAUUUAGUUCAUUUUUCAUUUCCUUUUCAAUCGGUAAAGUUUAAUCAUUUUCUUAAAUCGACAACUGAUGCAGGGCCAUAUCAACCGCCCAUGCCAUUUUUAUAACAGCAAUGUCUUUGUACUUUGUGUUUUGGUGGGAUCUAAGAGUUUCUUGGAUAAACAAUUGUGUAUCCUAUGAUCUAGGCAUGGUCGUUUGGACUGAACUAGUUUUAAAUAAAUAAUUGCCCAAGGAUUUAGUCUCAGUGUUACAGCCCAGUCUUUGUUGUCCAUACUCUUUCGCCCAUCGUGGAUGAGUGCCAUAACAGCUUCUUAAUGUUUUGAAGUGGCUUUUGCACGGUUGCUGUUUCCUUCUGAAGCUAUAGAGUAGCUAUGGAUAUAGCAGAUGCAGAUGCCACCAAUUUUUAUACUGGCCUUAUGAAAAGGAUCAAGCGGGAACUUAAAAGGAGGUGGAUUUGAAUGAAACACCCUUUAUGCAAGCCAAGAGACUCCAAUUAAGCCUGCAAGCUCUGCUUAAAACAGGUAUUUAUAUACGUUAUUAGUUUUUGUACCUUUACAAUUAGUGAUUUUUGUAUCAAAAGAGAGGUUAAUUUUUAGUACACAGGGGCGGCUCUUCCUCUAGACAACUGCCUAGAGCCCCACUAUAGAUGAAGACCCUAAAUUUUUCUCUAACAUUAUAGCUAUUAAAUUAUUCAUUUAUUUUUAUUUUUAUUUUUAUUAUUCUAUAAUAAUCUUUGUUCAAAUAAAUUAUCAAGUCCCUACCAAAUCUCUUUUUAACAUUGGAAUAAGCAAUGUUAAUCCUAUUUACUCCUACAAAAUCUCUACUUAAUGUUAUUUCAUUUAAAACUCCAUAAAAGUCACACAUUUGUUAACUUGUUAUCCAUUAAUAUUUUUAUCCAUAAAAAGAAAAAGCACGAGACAUUCAAUGCUUCAAUUCAUAAGGAAAAAAAGAAGCUUUUUUAAUUUUUACUUAAGAAAAAAAUUAACUAUUUCCAUUGACCGUUGCUGUUUAAAACUUCAAUCCAUCGAAAUUAGAGUUUCAAAUAUCCAAGUUUUUUCUUCCUAUUCUCUUCUUAAUCAGUUGUGUUAUUCAAUUGUUAUUGUUUCUUUUUUAAAUAUUAUUGUUGUUUUCUUUUAAUUAUCCAGCAUAAUUGCUUACUUGUUUUCUCUUCUUUCACUAAAAAAGAAAAAAAUGUCUAAUAGAAAAUGUGCAUCAAGAUACAAAAAACUUGGGAAAACAAAAAGAGAAGAAUAAAAAAGUUAGUUCGAUCUAAAAAAUGAGCUCUUGAUAAGUUUGUCAAAAAUAGUAAAAAAAAGAUAUGAAUUAUAGUGAAGAAUUAGUGAUUGAUGAAAUUUUUCAAAAUUAAAAUUAAUAAAAAUUUAUUUAAGAUCAAAUAAGUCGCAAGAAAAGUUAAUGAUUUAGCUAUAUUGAGAAGAAUGUAUUAGCGAAAUUAGAAAUAAAAAUUUGAGCAAUAAUUUUGCACCUAAGAAAGCUAGAAAAUUUGAUUUUAAAUAAAUAACUUUUUAGUAAAACAAAUACAUAUAUUUGACCUCAAAUUUUUUAAAAAGCCUAAUUAAAGCAAUUCAUCUAAGGCCCCAAAAUUAGUUGAGCCGCCCCUAUUAGUACAUUGAUAUCUCAACAAAAUGUUAGAACCUUUGUAGCACUAGAGACAUUUUCUUAGAGCAUUUACUGACCUUUCUAUGAUUGUAGUGGAGACAGGUCGACGCUACUUCCCUCAUUGCUCAGAAGUGGUUGAUAAGUUUUUGGAUUGUGAUUGGUCCGAUUCUUCCCUCCUAGAAAAGGGUACUCCUGAAGAGCAGAAACUCAAAAGGGCACGCUUCAUGGAACUUAAAGAAGACCUGAAGAAGGCAUUUUACAAGGACAUGGCUGAGAAAAAUCCGUCAGGUCUGUCGUCAUCUUCUCCGAAGGAAGGAGUAAAGUGUAAGGGUAGGCAAAGGUGAUGCUUAGCUGCUUGUCUUUGUUAUUCAUUUAUAGGCAACUAAAAGUGUUUUAGUGAGUUUGAUUGUUACUUGUAGAGAGAUACUCUUAGGGCCUAUGUUAUGGUUAUGUUGUAUAAUAGCAGAGAAACUUUAAGCAUGCAUUGUUGUAUUUUCCCAGAUAUUUGGCUUGUAAUACACCAAAUGACAAAGAAUUUUCUAUUUUUAGAGGGGAAAGUUAUGUCAGUUAAUUAUUUAUUUAUUUUGUCUGUCUAAUUCAGUUUACAUAGCUUUUUUUUUUUUUUUCCUUUCCAAAAGAAUCUGCAUAUCUUCAUCUGCAAUUUAAGUCAUUGGUAACUUCUUUCAAGGAGGAAGGGAAAAAAAAGCAUUUGUAAGUAUAUUUUACAGUACUGAUUUUCCUAAAAAAUUGGUUAAGGUGACAUUAAUGUUCUUUGAAAUAGAUAGAUAUGCAGAAUCUUCAUCGAAAUUGAAAUUAGAAAUGGAUGGAUAUGAGUGACUUAUAUUAAGAAUUUUUUAGUAGAAUGCUUAUACAAAAAUUUGUAGCUCAUUACUCUCUAGAAGGAAAAUAAAUUUUAGAUUGUAAAUAUUAAAUAUUAAAUUUAUAAUAUAAUAAAUGUGUGACUUAAGGUGUACAAUACCCAUAUAAUAAUCAUUAAGAAAAGAAAAAUCAAAUUUUGUAAAUUACCAAUUUUCUCUUGAAAUUUGAUAUUCUAUAUUAACGUAGGUGUUGCAUGGAGUGGGCUAGUACAACUGAAAGAAACUAACUAAAGUAAAACAAAAUAUCAGAAAAAUACGACGAGCUUCUCAUAUUUUUCAAGUAAAAAAAAAACUAAAAUUAAUUAUUUUUACAACCAAAUUCUGAUGCUUGAAGGUUGCUGGAAUUGACCAUUGUAAUUUUGUCAUCCUCGUUAUUCGCUGGCCAUCGUAGCCUUCCUCCAUUAAAAUGAGAGUUGUUUUUCGAACCACGACGUAAUAAAAAUAAUAUCGAUUAAUACUAAUAAAUCUAUUUUGAUUAUUUUGUAGUGUGAUGGUCUAGAAAGUAUCAGGACUUAUCCUAGCAUCCGAACAUGUGAUAAAAUUAUGCGAGUCUCUAUAAAAUACUAUUUAAAUUGUGUAUUAACUAGACAGUUCUAUGUAGAUAUUUCGUAUAUAUUUAUGGUAAUUGUUGAAAAAAAGAACGUAAAAUGAGAUUAAUGAACAUUCAUAAAUGUGGAAAUUAACACAACUAAGAUUUAUGAUGAAAUAAUUUUAUGUCAAAUGAGUGUAAGUGAAUGGAUGUUAAAAUAACUUGUAAUAUAUAUUUUUUGAACUGUUAUUUACACAAGUUUGUCACCAACAGUAAAUUAAAUUAUGAAUAUUUCAAUAAUUCAAGAUCUCAUUCGAUGUUUAUAGUAUUUGUCAGAGUACAAAAUUGUAAAUGGUCUCACCCUUCAUAGUAUAAUGCUAAACCUUUUCAAAAAUUUAUUCUAUUAUAGACGUAUUAGUCAGUUAUAUUAGAUUAUAGACGAAAUUGAAGAUAAAAAUAGUACUCCAUCUAUCAUACAUUACUUUCAAUUUUUUUUGUCAAAUUAUGAGCUGGUGAAAGGAUGCAACAAAUUACGUCAAACAUUGUAAAAUUUAUCAAUCACUAAAUAAAUAUCAUGUUAUAUGUGUGUGUGUGUGUCUCUCUCUCUAUCUAUCGAUAUAUAUAUAUAGGGGUGGGCAUAAACCCACAACCCAUGGGUUUAUCCAAACUCAAACCAAAUUAAAUGGUUUGGGUUGGGUAAAUCAUUAAAAUGGGUUAGAUGUGGGUUUUAUGUAGAAAACCAUUUCAUUAUGGUUUGGGUAUGGUUUACCCAUGGGUUAUGGACAAAACCCCAACACUCAAAUUUUCAAAUGAAAUAAAUGAAAACAAAAUAAAUGAACACAAAUAAGUGAAAAACCACCAUUAAAUUUUUUACAGCGUGAUCAAUUGUCAACAGUUAGAAAAUGAAAAUAACAGUAAAAAUAAAUUUAAAUUAAAUAAAUAUUGUUGUAAAUAACAUAAAUUUUUUUUCUUAUUUACAAAAAUAAUUCCUCCCACAUGGAAGGAUCAUCAUAGAAAGAGCAGGAGACUCUACUAAUGAUCAAUAAUAACUCGGCUUAGACUGGGUCCGAUAUGCUAGAUGGCGGCUAAUUUUUUGUCAAUAAUUGAAUGUAAUGCCCAUAUUAAGUAUUAAAACAAGAAAUAUAUGUUUUGAUAUGAGCAGAAAAAUUAAUAAUAAAAUUUUUUCUUGUAAUUAUUUAUUUUGUGAACAUUUUCUUAUAAUAAAUAUUUUGUAAUAUUUUAAAAUUAAAUGUAAAAAGUAUAGGUAAAAUAUUUUAUUAUUUAUCUUAUAAUAAAUUUUUAUUUGUCAAUCAAGUUUUCUUAUAAUAAUUUUUUUAUCAUUUGACUAAUAAUUUUCUUAUAUAUUUAUUAUAAGAAAAUUUUCACAAAAUAAAUAAGUAUAAAAAAAUUUUAUUAUUAAUUUUUUUGUUCAUAUCAAAACAUAUAUUUCUUAUUUUUAAUGUUUUAUUUUUUAUUUAGUUUCUAUUCAUGUGAUUUAUUUAAUUUAGAAUAAAUAUAAAUAAAAGAGUAGUUGAAAAUAAGGGUAAUAUUGUAAACGUAUACUAUUAGAGGAGUUUUUGGCCAUUAUAAAAGCAGAAGGGGGAAAAAUAAUAUAUAUUGAUUACUGUAGGGGGGAAACUGACAAUCUCCCUAAAAUUAAACAUAUAAGUAGACAAUAUAACGCAAAACUACCAAAACGAUAAAUAAAAACAAAUAUUGCAUAAUUAAAUAAAUAACAAGUGGUAAAAUUUAUUAUUAAAUUGUUAAUGUCAUGUUUGUGAAAGUUUAUUAUUAAAGUGUACUUUCUUAUUUAUUGAGAAAUAAUAAUUUUUGUGAUUAAACUUUAUUUUGAUUUUCUAGUAUUCUUUAAUUUAAGGAUUAAGUUUUUGUAAAAUUUAUAAUUUUUAUCCACUAUAUUUUUUUAUAUUUUAAUAUUAAUUUAAUAAUUAAUAACAAUUAAUAAUUAUUAUAAUUUUGAUAUAAUUAAAUUUUAUUAAAAUAAAAACUAUUUUGAUAAUAAAAUUCAAACCAAACCCAAACCAAACCCAAAUGGUUUGGUUUGGUUUGGGUUAAAAAUAUUUGGGUUGGUUUGGGUUGGAUCCAAAUUUUUAUGGUUUGGUUUGGGUUGACUUAAAAUCCAACCCAAACCAACCCAUGCCCACCCCUAUAUAUAUAUAUAUAUAUAUAUAUAUAUAUAUAUAUAUAUAUAUUAUACAAAAUCUGAUUCUCAUGAACUAAAAGGACAGGCUUUGGAUGAUGUAUCAUACUCAAAAAUCUAUUUUUAUUAAUGAUUAUACUAACAUUUAAAGGUGUCUGUAAGCUAUAUUAUAUAUUUACUAAUUACUGUUAAGCUUACACUGCUUCCUUCUCAGAAAAUCAUCUUUUGGCUUUUUCUAUUUUUAUGCUUUUUAAAAGUUUUUUCAAGAUUUUUUUUUUAUUGCUUUACCAAGUGGGCAGUUAAAAAAUCUUUUUUUUUUUUUUUUUGUGUGUUGCUUUUGAUAGAAACAUAUGAUUCACCUCUGUUUCUUCGAUGCUUGCUUGCUUCAUGAUUGGUCAACUUGGGUCAAACUUUCAUCUUUAAAUCACAUAGGUAGAUCAUGAUUCAAGCUUCAGUUAUAAGCCUUUCAUUGUGACUGAUAUCAUUCUUUCUUGAUGUACAUAUAUAUAUAGAUUCAGUUUGAAUGUGGUCCUUGAUAGUUUCAUGGAAAAUGCAAACGAAAUGUCAGCAUCUUUGAGUUUUGUCUCAUCAUAUCCGUCUAGUUGGUCUACUAAUCAACCAACAGGCUCUGAAACUUGCUCUGAUCUUGAUAAUUUGAACUUAAGGAGGCAAAGCAGCAAUCCUGAAGAGCCAUUGCUUGAUGCUGAGAUUGUUGUUGAGGGCAAAUCAGUGGCAGUUAAUCGCUGCAUAUUGUCUGCACACAGUCAAUUUCUUCAUUGGCUAUUUAAUUUGAGAAAUGAUGGUUCUGUGAGUGAGGGGAAACCCAAGUAUCUUAUGACUGAUUUGGUGCCUUAUGGGAAGGUUGGAUAUGAAGCUUUCAAUGAUAUCUUGCAUUAUCUUUACACUGGGAAGGUUAAGCCAUCUCCUCUAGUAGUGUCCACGUGUGUUGACGAUGCUUGUGCUCAUGAUGCUUGCCCUCCUGCUGUCAAUUAUGCUAUUGAGUUGAUGUAUGCUUCUGCUGCUUUUCAGAUGAAAGAACUCGUUUUGCUUUUGCAGGUAAUUGUGCUUCCCUGCUAUUUGUAUUGCUUAAAUUUAUGCUUCUUGGUAUAGUUUUAACAUUUCGGUAUAGUUUUAACAUUUAUGGAAUUGAAAUCAAUUUCAAUUGUGCGAAAGCAAGUAAAUGUGAAGCAACUUCAGUGAUUCGCAAUAUUAGUCAUCGCAGGAGAUCCAAAAUUUGUAGAUACUGUAGAAUUGUAGAGCCCAAAACUUCAUCUUAUCUUGCAAGAGUUUGUUGUUUUAUUUUCAAAUAGACAAAAAAAAAAUGAUGAUGGGCAGCGAACUCUAGGGAUCAAUGCUUGCUGACCCUGACACCCAAUGCUUGAUGUCUAGCUUGCUUAUUUUUCCAACAAUGACACUACCUUUCUAGUAAAUGAAAUAUUAUUCUACAUCUAUGUAUUGGAACUUUGACAAACUUCGGUUUUCCUUUGUUGAUUCACUGGUCUCACUUUUAUUCAAUUGCCCGAUUAUGAAAUGGUCUAUUGGAGACUAGAAAUGGAAGGUUUCUUGUGGAAAAAGUUUUACUUGACCACCGAUUUUCAUUUUGGUGGGUGUCAGCGCAUGCUCUGGCUUGACUAUUCUGUUAUUUAGGCUGUUUUAUCUGAUCUUCUCACUCACUUGAUAGUUAGUUCUCUCAUGCUUCCAAGCUCAAAGAUUAAUGCAAGAGAUUCUCUUUUUCCCCUCUAGACUAUAACCUAUCAAAUCAUUAAUGCUAUAGAAUAACAUCUUGUGUAGGCGGGCUUAUGUCUCUGAACAUUUGUCCAUCGGCAUUUGCAAUAAGCAUGGCCCUGAUUUUUCGUCUCAUUAUUAUUUUCCUACCCAGAUUGUCCCCUUUAAGUAGCAUAUUGAAGGAGAGCAACAUUCUUAUAUAUGUUUUAUGAUGUUUACCAAUAAUUACCCACCACGGGGUAUUUAAAUUUUGAAUGUAUUAUUCUGACUCAAAACUCUAUCUGUCGGUGUAGCUUCAGCUUCUGAACUUUGUUGAGAAGGCUGUUGUGGAAGAUGUAAUCCCAAUCCUUGUGGCUGCCUUGCAUUGCCACCUGAACCAGCUUCGUUCUCUCUGCAUCCAGAGAGUUGUAAGGUCAAAUCUUGACAAUAUAUAUCUCGAGAAAGAGCUUCCUGAGGAAGUUUCAAGUGAAAUCAAAUCAAUCCGCAUCAAAUUUCACCAGGAGUCCGAAGAUAAUGCAGCAGAAGUAGACCCUGUGCAUGCAAAAAGAGUCAGAAGAAUCCACAAGGCACUGGACUCUUAUGAUUUUGAACUGCUGAAUCUUCUUCUGAAUGAAUAUGAAGUCACUUUAGAUGAUGCUUAUGCUCUGCACUAUGCCGCUGCCUACUGCAGCCCUAAUGUUUUUGUGGAAGUGCUCAGUAUGGGCUUGGCUGAUCUCAAUCUUAAGGAUGCAAGAGGUCAUACGGUGCUUCAUGUGGCUGCACUGCGUAAGGAGCCAGCAGUGCUGCUGGCCCUGCUGAGCAAGGGAGCAUGCGCAUCAGAAACUACAUCAGAUGGACAAACAGCUGUAGCAAUCUGUCGGAGAAUGACAAGGCGAAAGGAUUAUAUUGAAGCUUCGAAGCAGGGGCAGGAAAUUAACAAAGACCGGUUAUGCAUUGAUGUCCUAGACAACUUCAUGUCUGGGAACUUGACAAUGUCAUCCGAGGUGAUGGAUGAUGAUUUCCAAAUGCAGCUGAACAAUCUGGGAAAUAGAGGUGAUAUUCCUUUAUUGGUAUUAGUAAAUCAUCUUCUCAGAGUUUGUGUGUUCCUUCAUCUUAGCAUGUCAAACACACAUGGGCUCAUUGCUUGGGGCCAGUCAUGUGAUUUUUUCCACUUUUUUCGAAUAGACAAUUGUGAAUCCAUUUGAUCUACGUUUGGUGGUUUGCACUGAACUAGUUUUUGAUAAAUAAUUGUACAAGACUUUGUCAUCAAAACUAUUUCAUUUCCAAAAGUAAUGAGGGACAAAAAAAUUUAUGCCUAUCCUGGAUGAGUGCCAUAACAGCUUCUUAAUAUUUUGCAGUGGCUUUUGCACGGUUGUUGUUUCCUUCUGAAGCUAUAAUAGCUAUUCGUAUAGCAGGUGCAGAUACCACCAAUUUUAAUACUGGCCUUUCAGCAUUAAAUCCUAUAGGACUGAGUUGGAACUUGAAGGAGGUUGAUUUGAGUGAAACGCCUUUGCAAACUCUGCUUAAAACAAGUGUUUAUGUACUUUAUUAACUUUUACACCUUUCUAUUUACUGAUUAUCUUUAUAAUUAAAUAAUACAUGUAUCAAGGUUUCUCCUUACAUUUCAUUAGAAGUGAAUUGGAAUCUCUUCAUGGUGCUCUGUUAGGUGUAAUGAGAUGUAGCAAAAGAGAAAGGGUAAUUGUUAGUGCAUUGAUAUCUCAACAGAAUGGUAGAACCUUUCUUUAUAUCACUAGAGACAUUUGUUGUAGGGAUGCCUCCAUAAUCAGUGUGCUUUAAAACUUUCCAGGAGUUAGCUACGCCUACCUCCGGACCUAAGGCGUGACACACAGACCCAAUUAGUGCCUAAAACACAUAUCGAAUCUGAGCAAAACUAAAUGCUUGUAAAUCCAAAUCUCCAAAAUAUCAAAAGCUCAUCUACUUUCUCUUUUCAUGGAUUUCACCAAAUGUUUUUAAAAAUUCAUUCUCAAUCAUAAACUAUGCGCAUCUAAAUAAUCACCAUAUCAAUAUACAACAAUACUUCCUCAUAAGCAAAUAAAUCUUACAUUCCUCUUCUUACAUGAUUUAAAAAAAAAAAAACUUUUAGAAGUCCCCUAAAUACGAACAUAAACAGAAUUCAGCUGCUAAAACUAUGCAAACACAAGCUUCAAUCAGUAAUACAUACGACUAAUUAUUAAAACAUCUAGCUAGAAGCCUUACAGAAGCUCAAUCCUUCCGAAGCUUGUUUCCAAAGAACCUUCAAAUUAAUAAUCGCUACUAUCUGCGAAAAAUAAUUGAUAAUGGGGCAGUUGUUAAUAAGUAAUUAAGUAGAACCAUUCAUAACGAACGAAAAGAAUUCUUUGCGCAAUAUUUUCAGAAAAUUCAUUUAACUUUUCAAAUGAAUCAGAGUAAUUUUUCAAACGCAGUCAGGAUUUGUGUCAACAUAAACGUUUGAGACAGAAGCUUUUUGGAACAUAAAUUUUGCUUUUAAUAUAAAGUUAUACGUUGGUUUGAUUUUAAAGGGAGGUUAUUGGGAAGUUAAAAUGCACAGUUGUGGUAACAGGGUAAUAGCAGUUAUAAAAUCUCUUUUAAAACAAAUUCGAAUCAAGUUUCAAAUUUAGGAAGUAUUUAAUUCAAUAAAAUAAAGAAUAAAUAAAGUUUUCGUUGAAGCGAAACUAAGUAGAUUCAUUUAAAGCAAAACAGGAUGCGAGAAUUACAUAAGGGUUCUUGACCCUACCAUGCAGUCAGAUAUCUGGCACCUUGUUAGCACUUGAUUGUGCCAUGUUCUCCACAGCCAGAUAUCUUGUUCUUCAUUAUUUCCUAGACAUCUUUGGAUAAGGAACCCUAAGCCUAUUGAGAAUAAAUUCUGUAAACCAAGACUCUCUUCAGUUCUUUCAUUUGUGGCUAAUUAGUUAUAAGAUUUGUGAAUUUCCUGCCCCAUGGCCCCUGCAAAAUGCAUUUUAUAUCCUUAAGAUGCCAAUGGUUGAAUUGAAAUACUAAAAACCGGAAAACAGACUUAAUGAGAUGUUUAGAAUUUUCUUAGAGCAUUUGCUGAACUUUUUGUGAUCGCAGUCGAGAGGGGUCGACGCUACUUCCCUCAUUGCUCAGAGGUGGUUGAUAAGUUUUUGGAUUGUGAUUGGCUCGAUGCUUCCCUUCUAGAAUCAGAUGCUCUGGAAGAGCAGAAACUUAAAAGGGCACGCUUAAUAGAACUUGAAGAAGAUGUGCAGGAGGCAUUCUGCAAGGACAUGGCUUAUGACAAUCGUUCAGGGCUGCCAUCCUCCUCGUCGGCAUUUUACGAUUACAUGGCUGAGAACAAUCGUUCAGGCAUGCCGACAUCCUCCGCAUCGAGCAAUUAAGCAUCACCUUUUCCAGGAAGUGAUACUUCGACGCCCGGGAAACUAGAAGAGUUUAGUGAGCUCGACUGGUACUUGAGAGAUGGUCAGAGCCUAUGUUAUGGCUAUGUAUUGUCUAGUAGCAGAGAAUAUAUUAAUGAAUGAUGGAUGACUUUCUUGUGACUCUUUGAUGCAAUCAUGUAACGAUUUGAGUAAUGCUAACAUUAUCUCAUAUAUAUAUAUAUAUAUAUAUAUAUAUAUUUUUUUUUUUUUUUUUUUGAGUGAUCUGACAUUCAUCAAUUAGAUUGUAAAAUUAUUAUAUUGUUUCAAGUCCAGUGAGACACAACUUAUAACAUUGAUGGAAUGAAUCGCAUUAUUCAUAAACUCAUUUCAUAAAAUAUUUUUAUAUAAAAUUGUAUAAUUUAUAGGCUAUGCUUAAAAAGUUAAGAAAAAAAAAAAGGGUGUACUACAAUUGGGAUGAGGCAUGCAUGAGUAGUCACAUUAGUUGCUGAACAAACUUUGCCUUUUUAAUUUUGGAUACAUUACUAUCUCAAAUUUUCUAUUAUCAGUAAAUGAGAUUAAGAUAAUCUUUUUUUUUAAAAAAAAAAAAAGAGAGCUGGAGAUUCUUUUUUCCUUAAAAAAAUGAAGAAAAAUUUAGAAAGUUGUGAGAGGGGGAGAAAUAAAGUAAUUAUAUUCACAAAUAUAAUGUGUUUAAGGUGUAUUUGGCACACUGUAUUGUAUUAUGCCGUAUUGCAUUAUUUUAAUGCAGGUGUAUUGUAUUAUUAUGUAUUGUUUUAGCACUGUAUUAUAAUAAUGUUAUACAACGUUUGGUGCUACACUGUACUGUAUUAAUUUUUUGUGAUUAACUUAAAUAAUAUAUUUAGAAAAUAAUAUUUAUUAGUACCUAGAAAAAUACUAAAUAUAUAAGUCUUAAAUUUUAAAAAUUUAACAUUAUUUUUUAGUAUAGAUGUUAAAAAAUAUCACAAUUUUUUGUAAAGAUCGAAACUUAUAGCCUUAUAUUUUUGACAAUGUAACAUUGAUUUUUCAGUAUUUCCUAAAUAUAUAACAUGUGAAAUAAAGAUCGAAGUAAAUAAUUUAAUCAAAUAAUCUCUAAAUAAUAUCAUAACUUAAUGAUAUUUUAUGUUAUUAUUUUUAUUGGUAUUAAUUUUAAAUUAAUAUUAUUUAAAUUUAUUCAUACAUAAAUAUUUAUUGUUAGUUAUAUUAAAUUUUUAAAUAAUAAUCAAUUUUUAUAUAUUAAUUAUUAUAAAAUUAAAUAAUGCAUUAUUUAGUUAUAUUUUUAAUAUAAUGAAAAUUAAAAUAUGAAUAAUAAAUAAUAAAAUUAUUAAUUUAUUUCAAUAAUUAUGAUGUGAACAGUGUUAUAAUAUACUAUAAUCACAUGCACCAAACACACCCUUAAUGCGGCAAUACAAACUAAUAAAUUAUAAUUUAUAAGAUUAGUUUAUAGAAUCUUACAUAUAAAAUUAUAUCCUCUAAAUAAAAAUAUUCACACCUGUUUUGACUUCUCAUUUAGAUGUUCUUUCUAAAGUCCCUCUAGCGAUAAACACAUUUUUAUAAAACAAAACAGAAAAAAUUAUAUAUAAUUGUUCAUAAGGACUAUUUGUACAUAGUACACAAUUGGCCACUAAAAUUAUUUGAGGAGAAAAGUUAUAUGAGAUGGAUUCAUCAUAUUAUCAGUAUUUAUUAGCAGAUCCAUUUGUCUCGUACACUUCAAUUGUUGGUAGCAUUUUUGUUUGCAAGAUGGUAUGUUUUUCGUCGUUACUGCGAGGUAGUAUUUACUAGAAAAUAUUUUGAAUGCAUAGUUUUUAUUUAAUUAGUUAUAAAAUUUUUAUACCCUCCGUUUUCCAUAAGAAUGUGUUCCUUUUCAGGUAUUCAUAUGCCUUAUUAGUUUUUGUACCUUUACAAUUAGUGAUUUUUUUAUCAAAAGAGAGAGGUUAAAUUUUAGUACAUUGAUAUCUCAGCAAAAUAUUAGAACCUUUGCACCACCAGAGAUAAUUUCUUAGAUCAUUUACUGAGCUUUCUAUGAUUGCAGUUGAGACGGGUCGACGCUACUUCCCUCAUUGCUCGUUUUUGGACUGUGAUUGGUCUGAUGCUUCCCUCCUAGAAAAUGGUACUCCUGAAGAGCAGAGACUCAAAAGGGCACGCUUCAUGGAACUUAAAGAAGACGUACAGAAGGCAUUUUACAAGGACAUGGCUGAGAAAAAUCGUUUAGGUUUGUCGUCUUCUCCAAAGGAAGGAGUAAAGUGUAAGGGUAGGAAAAGGUGAUGCUUAGCUACUUGUCUUUUGUUAUUCAUUGCUAGGAGACUAAGAGAGUUUUACUGAUUUUGAUUGUUACUUGUAGAGAGAUACUCUUAGAGCCUAUGUUAUGGCUUAUGUUGUAUAAUAGCAGAGGAACUUCAAGCUUGCAUUGUUGUAUUUUCCCAGGUAUUUGGCAUGUAAUAUAUACUAAAUGACAAAGAAUUUUCUAAUUUUAGAGGGAAAAAAUAUGUCAGUAAAUUAUUUGUUUAUUUUAUCUGUUUAAUUCAGUGUAUAAUAUAGCUUCUUUUUUAAAAAAAAAAAAUCUCCAUAUCUUCAUCUGCAAACUCAGUCAUGUGCAACUUCUUUCAGGGAGAAAAGAGGGAAAAAAAAAGGCAUUUGUACCUGUAUUUUACAGUAGUGACCCUCAUACAGAAAUUGGUUAAGAUGGCAUUAAUGCUCUUUGAAAUAAAUAGAUAUGCAGAAUUUUCAUCGAAAUUGAAAUUAGAAAUGGAUGGAUAUGAAUGAUAUAUAUGCAGAAUUUUUAACAGAAUUUUUAUACAAAAAUUUGUAGCUAAUUACUCCCCGAAGAAAAAUUUUCAAUUGUAGAUAUUAAAUUUUAAAUUUAUACUAUAAUAAAUGUGACUUAAGUUGCACAGCACCCAUAUAAUAAUAAUAAUUAAGAAAAGAAAAUUUAAAUUUUGUAAAUUACCAAUUUUUUAAAAUUAAUUAUUUUUAUACCCAAAUUCUCAUGCUCGACGGCCGCUGGAAUUGGCUAUUGUAAUUUUGUCAUCCUCAUUAUUCACUGGCCAUUUUUGGACCACGACAUAAUAGAAAUGACAUAGAUUAAUACUAAUAAAUUUCUUUUGAUUAUUUUGUAGUGUGAUGAUCUAGUGAGUAUCAGUGUCCAUCAUAGCACCUGAACAUAUGAUAAAAUUUGUGAUUUUCUGUAAAAUAGUAUUUAAAUUGUGUAUUAACUAGACAACUCUAUGUAGACCACCGCUCACUAAAUCAUUACUUUAUUUUGUAUAUGUUUAUGACAAUUGUUGAAGAAAAAUAUAAAGUGAGAUUAAUGAACAUUCAUGAAUGUGGGAAAUUAACACAACUAGGAUUUAUGAUGAAAUAAUUUUAUGUCAAAUGAGUGUAAGUGAAUGGAUGUUAAAAAAACAUGUAUAUAUUUUUGAAUUGUUAUAUAUACAAGUUUGUCACUAACAGUAAAUUAAAUUACGAAUAUUUUAAUAAUUUAAAAUCUCAUUCAACCAUAGCUAUUUAUAGUGUUAUUUGGAGUACCAAAUUGUAAAUAGUCUCACUCCUAAUAGUAUAAUGCUAAACAUUUUCAAAAAUUUAUUUUAUUAUAAUCGUCUUAGUCGGUUAUAUUUAUAUCCAAAUUGAAGAUUAAAAUAGUACUUUAUAUAUCAUACAUUACUAAAAGAAUUUUUUUUUCUUAAUCACGUCUAAAAUUGUAAAAUUCAUCAAUCAUCAAAUAAAUUAAAUAUCAUGUCUCCUGGGCUUAAAAUAUAGGCUUUGAAUGAUGUAUCGUACUCAAAAAUCUAUUUUUAAUUAAUUAUUAUAGGAACGUUUAAAUGUAUCUCUAAGCUAUAUUAUAUAGUUGCUAAUUACUAUUAAGCUUGCACUUCUUCCUCCUCAGAAAAGCAUCUUUUGGCUUUUUCUAUUUUUAUGCUUUUUUGGAAAUUUUUUUUUCAAGAUAUUUUUUUAUUGCUUUACCUAGUGGGCAAUUAAAAAAUCUAUAUAUAUAUAUAUAUAUAUAUAUAUAUAUAUAUAUUUUUUUUUUUUUUUUUGCUUUUGAUAGAAACAUAUGAUUCCCCUCUGUUUCUUUGAUGCCUGCUUGCUUCAUGACGGGUGAACUUGGGUCAAACUUUCAUCUUUAAAUCACAUAGGUAGAUCACGAUUCAAGCUUCAGUUAUAAGCCUUUCAUUCUUUCUUGAUAUAUAUAUAUAUAUAGAUUCAGUUUGAAUAUGGUUCUUCAUAGUAUCACGGAAAAUGCAAACGAAAAGUCAGCAUCUUUGAGUUUUGCCUCAUCGUAUUCGACUUGUUGGUCUACUAAUCAAUCAACAGGCCCUGAAAUUUGCUCUGAUCUUGAUAAUUUGAACUUAAGGAAGCAAAGCAGCAAUCCUGAAGAGCCAUGGCUUGACGCUGAGAUUGUUGUUGAGGGCAAAUCAGUGGCAGUUAAUCGCAGCAUAUUGUCUGCGCACAGUCAAUUUCUUCAUCGGCUUUUUAAUUUGAGAAAUGAUGGUUCUGUGAGUGAGGGGAAACCCAAGUAUCUUAUGACUGAUUUGGUGCCUUAUGAUCGGAAGUUUGGAUUUGAAGCUUUCAAUGAAAUCUUGUAUUAUCUUUACACUGGAAUGAUUAAGGAAUCUCCUUCAGAAGUGUCCACGUGUGUUCAUGAUGCUUGUGUUCAUAGUACUUGCCCCCCUGCUAUUAAUUAUGCUAUUGAGUUGAUUUAUGCUUCUGUUGCUUUUCAGAUGACAGAGCUCGUUUCGGUUUUUCAGGUAAUUGCGCUUCCCCGCUAUUUGUAUUGCUUAAAUUUAUGCUUCUUCGUAUAGUUUUAACAUAUAUGGGAUUGAAAUCAAUUUCAGUUGUCACUUGCAAAGACCCAAAGAAUCGAAGCAAGUAAAUGCGAAGCAACUUCGAUGGUUCGCAAUAUUAGGCAUUGUAGUAGAUCCAAAAUUAGCUUGUUAAAAGUGUAGAGAGCCCAAAACUUCGUCUUAUCUUGCAAGAGUCUGUUGUUUUAUUUUGACAGAGACAAAAAUGAUGAUGAUGGGCAGCAAACUCUAGGAAUCAAUGCUUGCUGACACUGACACCCAAGAAUGAUAACAACUAACCAAAAAGGUAUAGAUUACAUGAGUCUGAAUUUGAUAGGUGCACCUAUCCUAUCGCAAAAAGCUUUUGCGUUGAGUUUCUAACCAAGGAAAAUUGUCACUUCUGUCUGUAGGCUUCAUAGAUUUGUUCAAGCCUUCAAGGAUGUCUAGCUGUUACUUACUGUCCAACAACGGCGCUACAUUUCUAGUGAAUGAUAUGUUAUUCUACCUCUGCAUAUUGGAACUUUGACAAACUUCGCCUUUCCUUUAGUUGAUUCACUCGUCUCACUUUUAGUAAAUUGCCUGAUUAUGAAAUGGUCUAUUGGAGACUAGCAUUGGAAGGUUUCUUCUAGAAAAAAUUUUACUUGACCACCAAUUUUCAUUUCGGUGGGUGUCAGUUCAUGUUCUGGCUUGACUGUUCUGUUAUUUAGGUUGUUUUAUCCGUAUUUUCUCACUCACUUGACAGUUAGUUCUCUCAAGCUUUCAAGCUCAACAGUGAAUGCGAGAGAUUCUCUUUUUCCUGUCCAGGUUAUAGCCUAGCAAAUCAUUAAUGCUUUAGAAUAACAUGUUGGGUAGGUUAGCUUAUGUCUCUGAACAUUGGUCCAUCGGCAUUUAGGUUUGAUAAGCAUGACACUGAUUUUCCGCCUCAUUAUUAUUUUCCUGCACAGAUUAUCCCCUUUAAGUAUUUGAAUUUUGAAUAUAUUAUUCUGAAUCAAAACUCUAUUUGUCCGUGUAGCAUUUUAUAUAUGCUUUAUUAUGUUUACCAAUAAUUACCCACUAUGGGGCAUUUGAAUUUUGAAUAUGUUAUUCUCAAUCAAAGCUCUAUCUGUCCAUGUAGCUUUGGCUUCUGGAAGUGGUUGAGAAGGCUCUUGUGGAAGAUGUAAUCCCAACUCUUGUGGCUGCCUUGCAUUGCCAACUGAACCAGCUCCGUUCUUACUGGAUCCAGAGAAUUGCAAGGUCAAAUCUUGACAAUGUUUGUCUCGAGAAAGAGCUUCCUGAUGAAGUUUCAAGUGAAAUCAAAUCACUCCGUGUCAAAUCUAACCAGGAGUCUGAAGCUAAUAUAGCAGAAGUGAAUCCUAUAAAUGCAAAAGUAGUUAGAGGAAUCCACAGGGCACUGGACUCUGGUGACGUUGAACUGUUGAAGCUUCUUCUGGAUGUAUCUAAUGUCACUUUGGAUGAUGCUUAUGCUCUGCACUAUGCUGCUGCCUACUGCAACCCUAUGGGUUUUAAGGAAGUGCUCAAUAUGGGCUUGGCUGAUCUCAAUCUUAAGGAUGCAAGAGGACGUACGGUGCUUCAUGUAGCUGCAAGGCAUAAGGAGCCAGCAGUGAUGGUGGCCCUGCUGAGCAAGGGAGCAUGCGCAUCAGAAACUACAUCAGAUGGGCAAACAGCUUUAGCAAUCUGUCGAAGAAUGACAAGGUGAAAGGAUUAUAUUGAAGCUACAAAGCAGGGACAGGAAACUAACAAAGACCGGUUAUGCAUUGAUGUCCUUGAGAGAGAAAUGAGAAGGAACUCCAUGUCUGGGAACUUGGCAAUGUCAGCAGAAGUGAUGGAUGAUGAUUUCCAAAGGAAGCUGGACUAUAUGGAAAGUAUAGGUGAUAUUUCUUUACUGGUAUUAGUUCAUCACCUUCUCAGAGUUUGUGCAUAGCACACUUCUUUCUACUGUUUUUUUGUCCCUUCAUCUGGAAAAUAAAGGUGAUAUUCCUUUGCUGGUAUUAGUAAAUCAUCUUCUCAGAGUUUGUGUGUCCCUUCAUCUUAGGAUCUCAAACACACAUGGGCUCAUUGCUUGGAGCACACUGUUGGCCAGUCGUGUGAUUUGAUCCCUUUUUUGGAAUAGACAACUCUGAAUCCAUCUAAUCUAGGCUUGGCGGUUUGCACUGAACUGGUUUUUGAUGAAUAAUUGCACAAGACUUUGUCAUCAAAACUUUUAUUUUUUGGUUUUUUUGCCCCAAAAGUAAUGAGGUACAAAAAAAUCUAUGCCUAUCCUGGAUGAGUGCCAUAACAGCUUCUUAAUAUUUCGCAGUGACUUGUGUACGGUUGUUUCCUUCUGAAGCUAGAGUAGCUAUGGAAAUAGCAGGUGCAGAUACAACCACUGGCCUUUCAGCAUUUGGUCGGAAAGGACUUAGUGGGAACUUAAAGGAGGUUGAUUUGAAUGAAACGCCCUCUAUGCAAGCCAAAAGAUGCCAAUUGAGACUGCUCACUCUGCUUAAAACAGGUAUUUAUAUACUUUAUUAACUUUUGCACCUUUCUAUUUACUGAUUAUCUUUAUAAUUAAAUAAUACAUGUAUCCAGGUUUCUCCUUCCAUUUCAUUAGAAGUAAAAUUGGAAUCUCUUUAUAGUGCUCUGUUAGGUGUAAUCAGAUGUAUCAAAAGAGAAAGGGUAAUUGUUAGUACAUUGACAUCUCAACAAAAUGGUAGAACCUUUCUUUAUACCACUAAAGACAUUUGUUGCAGGUAUGCCUACAUAAUCGGUGUCCUUUAAAACUUUCAAGGAGUUAGCAAUGCCUAACCCUUGAAACACUAAAUCUCACGGGAUCAACUUUUUACCUCUAGACCGAAGGUGUGCACCCAGACCCAAUUAGGACUUAGAACACAUAUCGAAUCUGAGCGAAACUAAAUGCUUGUAAAUCCAAAUCUCCAAAAUAUCAAAAGGUCGUCUACUUUCUCUUUUCAUGAAUUUCACAAAAUUUUGAAAAAUUUAUUCUCAAUCAUAAACUAUGCGCAGCUAAUUAAUCAGUAUAUCAGUAUACAACAAUACUUCCUCGUAAGCAAAUAAAUCUUACAAUCCUUCUUACAUGAUUUAAAAAAAAAAAAUACUUCUAUAAGUCUUCUAAAUACAAACAUAAACUGAACUCAACUGCUAAAACUAUGCCAAAAUACAAGCUUCAAUCAGUAAUACACGCGACUAAUUAUUAAAAACAUCUAGCUACAAACCUUAUGAAAGCUCAAUCCUUCCGAAGCAUUCUUAGAAUUAAUAAUUUCUACUAUCUGUGAAAAAUAAUUGACAAGGGGUCAGCUGUUAACUCAAUCCGUAGAAACAUUCAUAACGAACAAAAAGAAUUCUUUGUGCAAUAUUUUCAGAAAAUUCAUUUAACCUUUCAAAUGAAACAGAGUAAUUUUUCAAACACAGUCAGGAUUUAUAUAAAACAUAAACGUUUCAGACAAGCUUUUUGGAACGUAAAUUUUACUUCUUUGAACAGAAAGUUAUACAUUAGUUUGAUUUUAAAGGGAGGUUAUUGGCAAGUUAAAAUUGGCAGUUGUGGUAAAAGGGUAAUAGCAGUUAUAAAAUCUCUUUUAAAACAAAUUCAAAUCAGGUUUUAAAUUUUAGGAGUACUUAAUUCAAUAAAAUAUAGAAUAAAUAAAGCUUUCAAUGAAACAAAACUAAGUAAAUUCAUUUAAAGCAAAACAGGAUGCGAGCAUUACCUAAGGGUUCUUGACCAUACUAUGUUUACCCGCAGUCAGAUAUCUGGGACCUUGUUAUUUGGAGACAAGACUUGAUUGUGCCAUGUUUUCCACAGCCAGAUAUCUUUUACUUCAUUAUUUCCUAGACAUCUGUGGAUAACAGAACCCUAAGCCUAUUGAGAAUAAAUUCCGUAAUCCAAGACUCUUCAGUCCUUUCAUUUGUGGCUAAUUAGUUAUAAAAUUUGUGAAUUUCAUGCCCCACGCCCCUUGCAAAAUGUAUUUUAUAUCCUUAAGAUGCCGGUGGAUGAACUGAAAUAAUAAAAAAUGGAAAACAGACUUAAUGUUGAUAGCAUUUCUUAAGAAAAACUUGGGAUGUUUAUAAUUUUCUUAGAGCAUUUGCUGAACUUUCUGUGAUCGCAGUCGAGACGGGUCAACGCUACUUCCCUAAUUGCUCAGAAGUGGUUGAGAAGUUUAUGUUUUUCAACCCCGCUAAUUGCUCAGAAUUGGUUGAUGAGUUUUUGGAUUGUGAUUCGGCCGAUGCUUCCCUCCUAGAAAAGGGUACUCCGGAAGUGCAGAAACUCCAAAGGGCAUGCUUCAUGAAACUUAAAGUAGAGAUGCCGGAGGCAGUCUGCAAGGACAUGGCUUAUCACCAUCGCUGAGGGCUGCCAUCAUCCUGGUCGGCAUUUUACAAGUACAUGGCUGAGAGCAAUCGUUCAGGUAUGCCGGCAUCCUCGGCAUUGAGCAAUUAAGCAUCACCUUUCCCUAAAAGAUGUGUUUGACACCUGGGACACUAAAAGAGUUUAGUGAGCUCGAUUGGUACUUGUGGAGAUACCCAGAGCCUAUGUUACGGCUAUGUAUUGUCAAGUAGCAGAGAAAUUUUAAUGAAUGAUGGAUGAUUUUCUUGUGACUCUUUUGGUAACAAUCAUGUAACGAUUUCAGUAAUGUUAACAUUAUGGCAAUUUUCUUUUUCUUCAAGUAAUCUGGCAUUUAUCAAUUAGGUUGUAGAAUUUAUUAUAUUGUCUGGAGUCACACGAGGGAAAACCUUAGGUGUAACUGUGGUACCGUGUCAUAGUUGCAUUCAGUCGUUCGAUGUCAGUGGACUCUAUCAAUCCAAAUGCAUUCAAUGGCUGGAUGCAAUUGUGGCCGGUGCCACAGUUGCACCGUAGCCUGAUUCGUCACACGAACGCAUAACAUUGAUGGAAUGGAUCACGUUAUCAUGAAUGUAUAAUUAACAUCAGUUGCUGAACAAACUUUGCCUUUCAAUUUUGUAGACAUUACAAUCUCAAAUUUUCUAUUAUCAUUAAUGAGAUUUUAGGUAAUCUUUUUUUAAAAAAAAAACUAGAGAUUUCUUUUAUUUUUCCUUAAAAAAAUAAAGAAAAUUUUAGAAAGUAGUGAGAGAUGGAGAAUUAAAGCAAUUUUAUUCACAAAUGUAAUGUGCUUGGAGUAGCAAUACAAACUAACAAAUUAUAAUUUAUGAGAUUAGUUUACAAAAUCUUAUAUAUAAAAUUAUAUCCUCUAAAUAAAAAUAUUCUCACCUCUUUUGACUUAUCAUUUAUGAUGCGUUUGAGAUUGAGGUGCUGUAAUUUUUAAACUACAGUUGCUGUGAAAAAAAUGUUAUAAUUAUGAAACAAAAGUUAGUAAUAUUUAAUAAAUAUAAAUUUAAAUAGUAAUUUUGACAAAAUUAUUAAAGAUAAAAUAAAUUUUCUAUGAAAAAUCAUAUCAGCAUAGUUUUUAAGUUACAACAGUUAGUGUUUACCAAACACUUUAGUACUGUAAUUUAAAGUUGCCCAACCUCAAUUCCAAACACACCCUUAGAUGCCCUUUCUAGAAUCUCUCCAGCAAUAAACACAUUUUUAUAAAAUAAAACAAAUAUAUAUAUAUAUAUAUAUAUAAUUGUCAAGAGGAAUCUUACUAAAAUGGUCUCUCAUAAAUUUUUCUCUAAUUUGAGAGAUAGUGGGGAGUGGGGUUAAAGUGCAUCAACAUAGAAUUAAAUAAAAAUAAAUUUUAUUUUUUUAACUAUUUUAAUUAAAAGUAGCAGUUAUUCUUUUUAUUAUUGUUAUUCCAAUUAUCUCAAAAUCAAGUAACUGGGGAUCAAAUUAAGUAGUUCAUUAAAUUUUUUAAAUGACGUAUGGGAUGGUGUAUGGAGUUUUUAUACAUCUAUUUAAAUAGUAAAAUAUUUAAUUUUGCUUGUCGUAAAAUUUUAAUUUACGUGAGUUAAAAAAGAAAAAAAGAAAAAAGAAAUUGACUUAACAAUUAUAGAAAGACUAAAUAGAAAAUUGUAGUUGCGUGGGAAAACUCUGGGCAAAAGGGCUCCUGAUUUCCUUUCCCUGGCUUCGUGCGUUUCCUUUUGCCCUUUCGAGCACGAUUGCACGAAUUCGAAUCCAAUUCUUGAUAAUAAAGAUAUAAUAAGGCAAUCCCUAAGUUACGUUUAACGUAACUUACAGUCUGGCUAACCUGAACCGUUAGAUAUCUUUCAUUUCAAUCCAACGGAUGUUGUUAAAUUUAUCAAAAAUAGUAACAAAUGGCAAACCGGCUAAAUUGGUUAAUUCUAAACAAAAAAAUGUUCAAAAUGAAGGAGAAUGAUCGAGAUAAAUAAAAUCGAACUUUGACUGAAAACGAAGCAAUAUCAGUGUAAAGCUUUUGUUCCGAUUUUGAAUCGAGAUUGACAUAUAUCCAUUGAUGAUUGAUUGCUUUGUUGCCGUUGAAUUACAGAACGGCCACGAAAGCCAAAGAAGACGAGAAGAGUGGGAGGGGGAUGCAAUUGCAGGGGUACAAAGUAGAAGGAUUGUCGAUAGCAAUUUGGGGAAACGUCUCAAAUUUCUUCAACCAUUUCCCCAGGUACCGAAUCAAGCUCAUACCAUUCAAGUUACUUAUUGCGGAGGAAAGCAUCACCUCAUCAAUGUUUGAAGAUGCUCACAAAUAACGCAGACAAAGUUCAGAAACUGAAAAUCCAUCAUGUGCAACCAUCAACAGUAUUGAAGCCUCCGUCGCCAAACACAAUUUCUUCCUAGACGGAUUUUCAUCGCUUGCCUUCUCAAUAGCUAACAAGGCUUGGCUCUCCCAUUCCAUCCUCACACUACCCACGCUACCAUAAAGCAUCUUUAAGUGGACAAAGAAAGUACUUCAAAAUGCAAAGUAACUUAGACGAUCCAAGAUCUGGAGAAUAUUUAAACACAAAGACAAAGCCAAUCUGACCUCUUUUUCUGUUGCAAGUCUCAUAACCAAAUUCGAUUAGGAAGGAUGAUCAACUAGCCCAUGAACUAUCAAAGUCUCCACCAAUUCCCAAAUCCUCAAACUGAUGCAUGCUUCCAAUGCCAAAGAUGCCACAUCUCGACCCAUUAAAAAGCCAACCUUUUCAAUCAAACCCCGAGUAUAUCCACUAUCAAAUCUAUUAAUCCUAGUAGAAAUUCCAACUUUCACACUAAUUUUCUCGAGAUAUGAGUUCAAAAUCCCAAUAAAUGGAGGAUUGUGUUGGACGAGAAGAAACUCCUGUUGCUUAAAGUUCAUGGUGUGUUUCUAAUGGUUAAAACGGCGUCGUUACCUUUGUCACAACUGGUUAUAGAAGCUUUUAGUAACCGGCUGGUAACCGCUUAAAACGAUUUUAUUUUAUUGUUGUCAUGUACACCUGGCAUUUGCUUAUUGGUUAAGUAAUCAUAUCACAGGCUGUAACUUACGAUAAAUGUAACUUAGAGAGGUCCAAUAAUACUAAUAAUUAACAUUAAAAUAUUAAAAAAUAAGGAAAAAAAAUCCAAAUUUUUACUGGUAUAUAACGCAGAGCCAAAGCGAUGGCGAAACAUCAAAUUGUUUUUGUUUCAACCUACGCGCAACUUCCGGUGACAUAAUUUCUGUCUGUUUCAGGUACAUACCCAAAACUAAACUUUGCAUGUAUUAUUAUUGUAUUUUUGUUAUUCAUUCACAUAUCCUUCUUUUCUUUUCUUUUUUUCUUUUGCUGUAAGUUUUUAUGAGACACUCUCUUUCAGUUCUGUUUCUGGUUUUGUUUCAGUUUAACAUUAUUGGUUCCGUUCGGUUCUGUUCUGCUCUGCUCUCUGUUGUAUGUAUAUAUGUAUAUAUUUUUGGCCUCGAAUUGCUUUGAUCACCGGUUUUGUUAUUCAUUUAUCCUGAAUUUUAGAUACCCGUAAAGCUUGUUUGGCCAUGUGUUCACUUGAUUGUUACAUUCAGCUGUCAUUUUCAUGGUGGGUUUGUAAGAUAGUCUCUGACUAACAUAUGGCAUUGAUUAUGAAUGACGGUUUUGUGAGAUACAUCACACCGCCGUUAACUCUUUUUAAUGUGUACUUAUGUACUUACUUCAUUCAAAAGAUUAGUGUUUUUCUCUUUUUUUAAAAAAAAUGAAAUGCCCCUUUUCGCAUUUUAUAGGUGAAAGGAAGAAACAUAAUAUCGCAGAACUAGAAUAAAGGAGCCUAUUCCGGUACCUAUUGUCCAAGGAAGCUUCUGUAUAUUCUGUAGGAACUACCGAACUACCAUGGAAGUCAAAUCUUACCAGAGCCAGGCGGAGUCGUUGCUGAAGGAAUAUAUAUUAGCAGAUCCAUUUGUCCCGUACACUUCAAUUGCUGGUAGCAUUUUUGCAUGCAAGACGGUAUGUUUUUCAUCGUUACUGCAUGGUGUUAUUUACUAGAAAAUAUUUUGAAUGCGUAGUUUUUAUGUAAUUAGUUAUAAAUUUUUAUAUACCUUUUUUUUUUCAUAAGAAUGUGCUCCUUUUCAGGUCUAUGAUCUUGCCCAAUUGAUUAGUGUGCUGUUCACUUUAAAUCUGAUUCCAGUUUCUCCAGCAUACAGCGGGUUGAGUGGAGUAACAGGUGAUUGAAUAUUUUCAUUUAGUUCAAUUGUCAUUUCUUUUUCAAUCGGUAAAGUUUAAUCAUUUUUCUUAAAUUGACAACUUAUGCAGGGCCAUAUCAACCGUCCAUGCCAUUUUUGUUUCAGCUAUGUCUUUGUACUUUGUGUUUUGGUCGAAUAUAAGAGUUUGUACAUAGCACACUUGUUGUUUGUUUGUCCCUUCAUAGACAUUUCGAUAAACUGUUAUUUUUGUUUGUUGGAAUUGAAUAUUUUCCACAACUAGAACUCCGAAGCAUCUGGAAUGAUCCAUUUUAUCAUUCUCAAUACCUAUAAAAGAAGGACAUAGAAAACAGUUUCCAAAGCAAGUUGCCUGUGUUUUGAAUUUGUCUUUGGAAGCCACUAAUUGCUUGGAGCACACUGUUAGCUAGUCGUGGUUCCAUCCACUUUUUUGGAUAGACAAUUGUGCAUCCAUAUGAUCUGGACUAAACUAGUUUUUAAUAAAUAAUUGCCCAAGGAUUUAGUCUCAGUGUUACAGCCCAGUCUUUGUUGUCAAUACUCUUUCCCCUGUCGUGGAUGAGCGCCAUAACAGCUUCUUAAUGUGCAGUGGCUUUUGCACGGUUGUUUUUUUUCCUUCUGAAGCUGGAGUAGCUAUGGAUAUAGCAGAUGCAGAUGCCAUCAAUUUUUAUACUGGCCUUUCAGCAUCAAAAUCAAAAGGAUCAAGUGGGAACUUAAAGGAGGUUGAUUUCAAUGAAACACCCUCUAAGCAAGCCAAGAGACUCCAAUUAAGCCUGCAAGCUCUGCUUAAAACAGGUAUUUAUAUACCUUAUUAGUUUUUGUACCUUUACAAUUAGCGAUUUUUAUAUCAAACGAGAGAGGUUAAUCUUAGUACAUUGAUAUCUCAACAAAAUUUUAGAACCUUUGGAGCACUAGAGACAUUUUCUUAGAGCAUUUACUGAAGUUUCUAUGAUUGCAGUGGAGACAGGUCGACGCUACUUCCCUCAUUGCUCAGAAGUGGUUGAUAAGUUUUAGGAUUGUGAUUGGUCCGACGCUUCCCUCCUAGAAAAUGGUACUCCUGAAGAGCAGAAAUUCAAAAGGGCACGCUACAUGGUUGAGAAAAAUCGCUCAGAUUUGUCGUCAUCCUCGUCGUCGUCAUCUUCUCCAAAGGAAGGAGUAAAGUGUAAGGGUAGGAAAAUGUGUUGCUUAGCUGCCUGUCUUUUGUUAUUCAUAUCUAGGAAACUAAAAGAGUUUUAGUGAGUUUGAUUGUUACUUGUAGAGAGAUACUCUUCGAGCCUAUGUUAUGGCUAUGUUGUAUAAUAGCAGAGGAACUCCAAGCUUGCGUUGUUGUAUUUUCCCAGAUAUUUGGCAUGUAAUACACUAAAUGACAAAUAAUUUUCUAAUUUUAGAGGGGAAAGUUAUGUCAGUUAAUUAUUUAUUUAUUUUUUCUGUUUACAUAGCUUUUUUUUUCUCCAAAAAAAUCUUCAUAUCUCCAUCUGCAAUUUAAGUCAUUUGUAACUUCUUUCAGGGAGGAAGGAAAAGGGGAAAAAAAAAAAAAAAAAAACAUUUUACAGUACUGAUUUUCCUACAGAAAUUGGUUAAGUUGACAUUAAUGUUCUUAGUAACAGACGGAUAUGCAGAAUUUUCGUCGAAAUUGAAAUUAGAAAUGGAUGGAUAUGAAUGACAUAUAUUCAGAAUUUUUUAGUAGAAUGUUUAAAUAAAAAUUUUUAGCUCAUUACUCUCUAGAAGGAAAAUAAUUUUUUUAUUGUAAAUAUUAAAUAUUAAAUUUAUAAUAUAAUAAAUGUGUGACUUAAGGUGCACAAUACCUAUAUAGUAAUAAUAAUUGAGACAAGAAAAAUCAAAUUUUGUAAAUUACCAAAUUUCCCUUGGAAUUUGAUAUUCUAUAUCAACGUAGGUGUUGCAUCCACUGGGUUAGUACAACUGAAAGAAACUAACUAACGUAAAACAAAAUAUCAGAAAAAUAUGGCGAGCUUCUCAUUUUUUUUAAGUGAAAAAAAAAAAGAAAACUGAAAUUAAUUAUUUUUAUACUCAAAUUCUCAUGCUCGAAGGCCGCUGGAAUUGGCCAUUGUAAUUUUGUCAUCCUCGUUAUUCACUGGCCAUCGCAGCUUGCCUCCCUUAAAAUGAGAGUCGUUUUUUGGACGACGACAUAAUAAAAAUAGUAUUGAUUAAUACUAAUAAAUUUCUUUUUGAUUAUUUUGCAGUGUGAUAGUCUAGUGCGUGCCAGUGCCCAUCAUAUCACUUGAACAUGUGGUAAAAUUCGGCGAGUCUUUGUAAAAUAAUUUUUAAAUUGUGUAUUAACCAAAUAGCUCAACGAAGACUAUCGCUCAUUAUUUUAUUUUGUAUAUAUUUAUGAUAAUUGUUGAAAAGAAAAUUGUAAAGUGAGAUUAAUGAACAUUUAUGAAUGUGGAAAUUAACACAACCAGAAUUUAUGAUGAAAUAAUUUUAAGUCAAACAAGUGUAAGUUUGUAUAUAUAUUUUUUGAAUUGUCAUAUAUAUACAAGUUUGUCGCUAACAGUAAAUUAAAUUAUGAAUAUUUUAAUAAUUCAAAAUCUCAUUUAACCAUCAGUGUUUAUAAGGUGCGUUUGGCACAUUGUAUUGUAUUAUAUUGUAUUAUAUUAUUUUAAUGCAUGUGUAUUAUAUUAUAUUGUAUUACAUUAACAUUGUAUUAAUUUUUAAUAAAUAUAUAAUAUUACACUGUAUUAUAUUAAUUUUUUAAUAAAUACUUUAAAUUAUAUAUUUAGAAAAUAACAUUUAUUAGUUGUUAAAAAAUACUAAAUAUAAAAUUCUUAAAUUUUAGAAAUUUAAUAUUAUCUUUCUGGUAUAAACGUUGAAAAAAAAUCAUAAUUUUUCGUAAAGAUCGAAAUAAAUAAUUCAAUCAAAUAACCUUCAAAUAAUAUUAUAACAUAAAUAAAUAAUUAAAAUGUACAAGAUCAAGUUAAAAAUCAUUUUAAGAUAAUAAAAUAAAAAUUUAUACAUAGUAUAAAAUAAUAUAGUAGCGGUAGUAUAAUAACUAACAAAAUAGACUGUACUAAAUAAUUCAAGUAAUACAACAAUAUUUACAAGUACCGUUUUUGCUAUCUUUCUCUUUUAAAGGCCCCUUUUUUUUGUUUUAUUCUUAGAACUUCAUAGUUCUUUUGUUUUUUCUAUUUUCUUUUUCUUUGCCCCUUUUUUGUUUUCUUCAUAGUUCUUUUGGCUUCAUAAGUUUCUUUUAACUGAGUUAAUAGCGUUGUUAGGUUAAACUAAGUUUGGCUUCAUAAGAUUCAUAGUAGAGUGUAGAACUGGGUACAAUGUUGGGUUAGACAAGGUCAAAAGUCUUAUCAAGUAAUUGUUCUGCUUACUGAUCCAGCCAUUCGGGUGCUCGCCAGUCCUAGAUGAGAAAACUUUCAACGCGGCGAAUAAAUUGUUGUUGAUCUGCUUUAUAUAUUUUGACCUUUGUGAUUUGCGAAUACCCGGUUUGAUUCCAGUGUUUCCAACUUUGAAAUUCAAUUAAAAGUUGAGCUGUCAUUGAUUGAUGACAAGAUUGUGUUGUAUAUAUUUAUUUUUUUAAUUUAUCUAUCUAUCUAUUUAUUUUUUGUUUGGAAAUGUAACAAUUUAUAGCUGGCAAAGUAAUAGAGUUGUAUACUUACUUGUAUUUAAUUUAUUAUUAUUAAUUUUUUUUUUUAAUGACUCGGUAAUGUCAUUAUCCAUGGUGUUUUGUCAUUUCGAAAGUACUUGACCCUUUCACGCUAAGACACACUCCAGCGGCCGAAACUUUGAGCUUUCAGUUCUUGAUUUUAGCGUGAGGGGUAUCUUUGUCUUUUCAGUAGUCAACACACGGUCAACACACGGUCAACAAAACAGUCUACAAACAAUCGACCUGUGAACUUGGGUCAAAGCUUUCAUCUUUAAAUCACAUAGGUAGAUCAUGAUUCAAGCUUCAGUUAUAAGCCUUUCAUUGUGAUUGAUAGUAUUCUUUCUUUGAUAUAUAUAUAUAUAUAUAGAUUCAGUUUGAAUAUGGUUCUUGAUGGUAUCAUGGAAAAUGCGAACGAAAAGUCAGCAUCUUUGAGUUUUGUCUCAUCAUAUCCGACUUGUUGGUCCACUAAUCAAUCAACAGACACUUGUGAUCUUGAUGAUUUGAAUAUGGUUCUUGAUGGUAUCAUGGAAAAUGCGAACGAAAAGUCAGCAUCUUUGAGUUUUGUCUCAUCAAAUCCGACUUGUUGGUCCACUAAUCAAUCAACAGACACUUGUGAUCUUGAUGAUUUGAACUUAAGGAUGCAAAGCAGCAAUCCCAAAGAGACAUGGCAUGACGCUGAGAUUGUUGUUGAGGGCAAAUCAGUGGCGGUUAAUCGCAGCAUAUUGUCUGAGCGCAGUCAAUUUUUUCGUCGGCUUUUUAAUUUGAGAAAUGAUGGUUCUGUCAGUGAGGGGAAACCCAAGUAUCUUUUGACUGAUUUGGUGCCUCAUGGGAAGGUUGGAUAUGAAGCUUUCAAUGAUACCUUGCAUUAUAUUUACACUGGGAAGACAAAGGCACCUCCUCCAGAAGUGUCCACGUGUGUUGAUGAUGCUUGUGUUCAUGUUUCUUGCCCUCCUACUAUUAAUUAUGUUAUUGAGUUGAUGUAUGCUUCUGCUGCUCUUCAGAUGAAAAAACUCGUUAUUCGUUUAGAGGUAAUUGUGUUUCACUGCUAUUUGUAUUGCUUAAAUUUAUGCUUCUUGGUAUAGUUUUAACAUAUAUGGGAUUGAAAUCAAUUUCAGUUGUGAAGCAACUCCGGUGGUUCCCAAUAUUAGGCAUUGUAGUAGAUCCAAAAUUAGCUUGUUAAGAAGUGUAGAUACCGUAGAGCCCAAAACUUCAUCUUAUCUUGCAAGAGUCUGUUGUUUUAUUUUGAAAGAGACAAAAGUGAUGAUGAUGGGCAGCAAACUCUAGGAAUCAAUGCUUGCUGACACUGACCCCCAAGAAUCAAUGAGUCUGAAUUUGAUAAGUGCACCUAUCCUAUCACAAAAGCUUUUGCGUUGAGUUUCUAACCAAUUUUCAUUUGGGUAGGUGUCAGUUCAUGCUCUGGCUUGACUGUUCUGUUAUUUAGGUUGUUUUAUCCGUAUUUUCUUCACUCACUUGAUGGUUAGUUCUCUCAUGCUUUCAAGCUCUCAACAGUGAAUGCGAGAGAUUCUAUUUUUCCCGUCCAGUCUAUAACCUAGCAAAUCAUUAAUGCUGUAGAAUAACAUCUUGUGUAGCCGAGUUUAUGUCUCUGAACAUUGGUCCAUCGGCAUUUAGGUUCAAUAAGCAUGGCACUGAUUUUCCCCCUUAUUAUUAUUUUCCUCCACAGAUUAUCCCCUUUGAGUAUUUGAAUUUUGAAUAUAUUAUUCUGAAUCAAAACUCUAUCUGUCCGUGUAGCAUUUUUUAUAUGCUUUACGAUGUUUACCAAUAAUUACCCACUAUGGGGUAUUUGAAUUUUGAAUAUAUUAUUCUGAAUCAAAACUCUAUCUGUCCGUGUAGCUUUGGCUUCUGAACUUGGUUGAGAAGGCUCUUGUGGAAGAUGUAAUCCCAAUUCUCGUGGCUGCCUUGCAUUGCCAACUGAACCACCUCCGUUCUUUCUGCAUCCAGAGAAUUGCAAAGUCAAAUCUUGACAAUGUUUGUCUCGAGAAAGAGCUUCCUGAUGAAGUUUCAAGUGAAAUCAAAUCACUCCGUGUCAAAUCUAACCAGGAGUCUGAAGCUAAUAUAGCAGAAGUGGACCCUAUGCAUGCAAAAAUAGUCAGAAGAAUCCACAAGGCGCUGGACUCUGAUGACGUUGAACUGUUGAAGCUUCUUCUGGAUGUAUCUAAUGUCACUCUGGAUGAUGCUUACGCCCUGCACUAUGCUGCUGCCUACUGCAGCCCUAAGGUUUUCAAGGAAGUGCUCAAUAUGGACUUGGCUUGUCUCAAUCUUAAGGAUGCAAGAGGACGUACGGUGCUUCAUGUGGCUGCAAGGCGUAAUGAGCCAGAAGUGAUGGUGACUCUGCUGAGCAAGGGAGCAUGCGCAUCAGAAACUACAUCAGAUGGGCAAACAGCUGUAGCAAUCUGUCGGAGAAUGACAAGGCUAAAGGAUUAUCUUGAAGCUACAAAGCAGGGGCAGGGAACUAACAAAGACCGGUUAUGCAUUGAUGUCCUUGAGAGAGAGAUGAGAAGGAACUCCAUGUCUGAGAACUUGGCAAUGCCAUCAGAGGUGAUGGAUGAUGAUUUCCAAGCAAAGCUGGACUAUCUAGAAAAUACAGGUGAUAUUUCUUUACUGGUAUUAGUUCAUCACCUUCUCAGAGUUUGUGCAUAGCACACUUCUUUCUACUGUUUGUUUGUCCCUUCAUAUGGAAAAUAGAGGUGAUAUUCCUUUACUGGUAUUAGUAAAUCAUCUUCUCAAGAGUUUGUGAGUCCCUUCAUUUUAGCAUCUCAAACACACAUGGGCUCAUUGCUUGGGGCACACUGUUGGCCAGUCAUGUGAUUUGAUCCCCUUUUUUGGAAUGGAGAAUUCUGAAUCCAUCUGAUCUAGGCUUUGUGGUUUGCACUGAACUGGUUUUUGAUGAAUAAUUGUACAAGACUUUGUAAUAAAAAACUUUUUUUUUUUUCCCAAAAAGUAAUGAGGUACCAAAAAAUUUAUGCCUAUCCUGGAUGACUGCCAUAACAGCUUCUUAAUAUUUUGCAGUGGCUUUUGUACGGUUGUUUCCUUCUGAAGCGAGAGUAGCUAUGGAAAUAGCAGGUGCAGAUACCGCCACUGGCCUUUCAGCAUUAGGUCAGAAAGGACUAAGUGGGAACUUAAAGGAGAUUGAUUUGAAUGAAACGCCCUCUAUGCAAGCCAAGAGCCGCCAAUUGAGACUGCUAACUCUGCUUAAAACAGGUAUUUAUAUACUUUAUUAACUUUUGCACCUUUCUAUUUACUGAUUAUCUUUAUAAUUAACUAAUACAUGUAUCCAGGUUUCUCCUUCCAAUUGGAAUUUCUUUAUAAUGCUAUGUUAGGUGUAAUCAGAUGUAUCAAAAGAGAAAGGGUAAUUGUUAGUACAUUGAUAUCUCAACAAAAUGGUAGAACCUUUCUUUAUACCAGUUAAGACAUUUGUUGCAGGUAUGCCUACAUAAUCAGUGUCCUUCAAAACUUUCAAAGAGUUAGCAAUGCCUAACCCCUGAAACACUAAAUCUCACGGGAUCAACUCUUUACCUCUAGACCGAAGGUGUGACACCCAGACCCAAUUAGGGCUUAGAACACAUAUCGAAUCUGAGUGAAACUAAAUGCCUGUAAAUCCAAAUCUCCAAAAUAUCAAAAAGUCAUCUACUUUCUCUUUUCAUGUAUUUCACAAAAUUUUGAAAAAUUCAUUCUCAAUCAUAAACUAUGCACAGCUAAUUAUUCAGCAUAUCAGUAUAGAGCAAUACUUCCUCAUAAGCAAAUAAAUCUUACAAUCCUUCUUACAUGAUUUGAAACAAAUACUAAUAGAAGUCUUCUAGAUACAAACAUAAACAGAAUUCAACUGUUUAAAACUAUGCCAAAACACAAGCUUCAAUCAGUAAUACAUACGACUAAUUAUUAAAAACAUCUAGCCAGAAACCUUACGAAAGCUCAAUCCUUCCGAAGCAUUCUUCAAAUUAAUAAUUGCUACCAUCUGUGAAAAAUAAUUGAUAAGGAGUCAACUGUGAACUCAAUCAGUAGAAACAUUCGUAACGAACAAAAAGAAUUCUUUGUGCAAUAUUUUCAGAAAAUUCAUUUAACCUUUCAAAUGAAACAAAGUAAUUUUUCUAACGCAGUCAGGAUUUAUAUAAAACACAAACGUUUCAGACAGAAGCUGUGUGGAACGUAAAUUUUGCUUCUUUAAACAGAAAGUUAUAUAUUAGUUUGAUUCUAAAGGGAGGUUAUUGGGAAGUUAAAAUUGGCAGUUGUGGGAAAAGGGUAAUAGCAGUUAUAAAAUCUCUUUUAAAGCAAAUUCAAAUCAAGUUUCAAAUUUUAGGAGUACUUAAUUCAAUAAAAUAAGGAAUAAAUAAAGCUUUCAUUGAAACAAAACUAAGUAUAUUCAUUAAAGCAAAAAAGGAUGGGAGCAUUACAUAAGGGUUCUUAUGUUUACCCGCAGUCAGACAUCUGGGACCUUGUUAUUUGGAGACAGGACUUGAUUGUGCCAUGUUUUCCGCAGCUAGACAUCUGUGGAUAAGAGAACCCUAAGCCUAUUGAGAAUAAAUUCCGUAAUCCAAGACUCUUCAGUUCUUUCAUUUUUGGCUAAUUAGUUAUAAAAUUUGUGAAUUUCAUGCUCCAUGCCCGUUGCAAAAUGUAUUUUAUAUCCUUAAGUUGCCAGUUGUUGAACUGAAAUAACAAAAAAUGGAAAACUGACUUAAUGCCGAUAGCAUUUCUUAAGAAAAACUUGGGAUGUUUAUAAUUUUCUUAGAGCAUUUGCUGAACUUUCUGUGAUCGCAGUCGAGACAGGUCACCUCUACUUCCCUCAUUGCUCAGAAGUGGUUGUUAAGUUUAUUGAUUGCUACUCCCCUCAUUGCUCAGAAGUGGUUGAUGAGUUUUUGGAUUGUGAUUGGUCCGAUGCUUCCCUCCUAGAAAAGGGUACUCCUGAAGAGCAGAUACUCAGAAGGGCAUACUUCAUGAAACUUAAAGAAGACAUGCAGGAGGCACUCUGCAAGGACGUGGCUUAUCACCGUCAUUCAGGGCUGCCAUCAUCCUGGUCGGCAUUUUACAAGUACUUGGCGGCUGAGAGCAAUCGUUCAGGUAUGUCGAUUGGUAUAUUUGGCACCUGGGAAACUAAAAGAAUUUAGUGAGCUCGAUUGGUAUUUGUAGUUCUUUUUCCUCUAGUGAUUGGCAUGUAUCAAUUAGUUAAAUUAUUGUAUUGUCUCAUGUCCAGUGGGACACGCAAACGUUAGUAUGGAUCAAAAACUCAUUUCAUAUAAUAUUAGAGAAAAAGAAUUGUAUUACAAUUGGUAUGAGGCAUGCAUGUGUAUGUCAAUAUCAGCUGCUGAACAAACUUUGCCUUUUAAUUUUGUAGGCAUUACUAUCUCAAAUUUUCUAUUAUCAUAAAUGAGUUUUUUUUUCUUUUUUUUAAGAAAAUCAUAAAUGAGAUUAAGAUAAUCUUUUUAAAAAAAAAAAAAAAAAAGAAAACUGGAGAUUUUUUUUUCCUUAAAAAAAUGAAGAAAAGUUUAGAAAGUAUUGAGAGAUGGAGAAAUAAAGCAAUUAUAUUCAUAAAUAUAAUGUGUUUGGUGCAGUAACAGAAACUAAUAAAUUAUAAUUUAUGAGAUUAGUUUACAGACUCUUACAUAUGAAAUUAUAUCCCUUAAUUAAAAAUCUUCACACCUCUUUUUGCUUCUCAUUUAGAUGCCCUUUCUAGAACUUCUCCAACGGUAAACACAUUUUUAUUAAACAAAACAGAAAAAAUUAUAUAUAAUUGUUCAUAAGGACCAUUUCUUUUGUACAUAAUACAUAAUUGGCCAUUAAAGUUAUUUGAGAAGAAAAUUUACAUGAGAUGGGUACAUCACAUUAUCAGUAUUUUUGUCUAAUUUUGAACAUACGUUCCUUGUACGAGUUUUCCUAGAAUGGUCUCUCAUAAAUUUUUCUCCAAUUUGAGAGAUAGUGGGAAUUGGGUUAAAGUGCAUUUACAUAGAAUUAAUUUAAAAUAAAAUUUAUUUUUUAACUAUUUUAACUAAAAGUAGCUGUUAUUCUUUUUAUUAGUGUUAUUCCAAUUAUAUCAAAAUCAAGUGACUGGUGAUCAAAUUAAGUAGUUCAUUAAUUUUUUUAAGCGACGUAUGGUAUGGAGUUUUUAUAAAUCUAUUUAAAUAGUAUAAUAUUUAAUUUUGCUUGUCCUAAAAUUUUAGUUUACGUGGGUUAAAAAAGAAAAAAAGAAAAAAGAAAUUGACUUAUUAAUUAAUUAACAAUUAUACAAAGAAUAAAUAGAAAGUUAUAGUUGGCAAUGGCAUUAUUUUUCUCCUUGUUAAGUUUUUCUUUCCCACAUUAUCCCCCUUGAAGCAGCAUAUUGAAGGAAAGGAGCAUUCUUAUAUAUGCUUUAUGAUGUUCUUAAUGUAUUCUAACUCAAAACUCUUAUCUAUCCGUGCAGCGUCGCCUUCUGAACUUUGUUGAGAAGGCCCUUGUGGAAGAUGAAAUUCCAAUUCUUGUGGCUGCCUUCCAUUGCCAACUCAACCCGCUCCGCUCUCACCGUGUCCAGAGAGUAGUAAGGUCAAAUCUUGAUGAUGUCUGUCUCCUGAAAGAGCUUCCUGAUGAAGUUUCAUGUGAAAUCAAGUCACUCAGUGUCAAAUCUAGCCAGGAGUGUGAAGCUAAUAUAGCAGAAGUGGAUCCUAUGCAUGCAAAAAAGAGUCAGAAGAAUCCACAAGGCACUGGACUCUGAUGACGUUGAACUGUUGAAGCUUCUUCUGGAUGAAUCUAAUGUCACUUUAGAUGAUGCCUACGCUCUGCACUAUGCUGCUGCCUACUGAAACCCUAAGGUUUUUAAGGAAGUGCUCAAUAUGGGCUUGGCUGAUCUCAAUCUUAAGGAUGCAAGAGGUCAUACGGUGCUUCAUGUGGCUGCAAGGCGUAAGGAGCCAGGAGUGCUGGUGACUCUGCUAAGCAAGGGAGCAUGCGCCUCAGAAACUACAUCAGAUGGGCAAACAGCUGUAGCAAUCUGUCGGAGAAUGACAAGGCGAAAGGAUUAUAUUGAAGCUACAAAGCAGAGGCAGGAAACUAACAAAGACCGGUUAUGCAUUGAUGUCCUUGAGAGAGAGAUGAGAAGGAACCCCAUGUCUUGGAACGUGGCACUGUCACCAGAGGUGAUGGCUGAUGAUUUCCAAAUGAAGCUGAACUAUCUAGAAAAUAGAGGUGAUAUUUCUUUACUGGUAUUAGUUCAUCACCUUCUCAGAGUUCCUGCAUAGCACACUUCUUUCUACCGUUUGUUUGUCCCUUCAUCUUAGCAUCUCAGACAUUGCUGUAAACGGGAUAACCACACAGUCUACACUUGUGCUAUCAUCAAAGAAUUUUUCAUGAACUGUUAUUUUUGUUAUUUGGAAGUGAAUAUUUUCAGCAACUAGAACUCGGAAGCAUCCGGAAUGAUCCAUUUUUUUUUUUUUUUUAUGUCAAAACAUGAAGUAAUUAAAGGAGGUCAAACAACAAUAAACUCAUUCAUCUUGUCCAAAAUUGAAAAAGACUACAUAGUAAUCAUAAUUGAAAACAACUAAGCACAAAAACAAAUAACAUCCUUUUUCAAAAUUAUGUUCCCAUGAAUCUUGUCUCCACACAUUAAAGAAGACUAAAUCUAUAAUGAGGUGCUGAUUCACGCCCAAAAUUACCCUUCAACUCCUUAAGCAGAGGCAGCUGCUCCCUUCUUCCUUGGUGCUGCCUGAGUACCUUCUCUGAAGCCGCUCUUGAACCUGCGAGGGACAUGGCGCAGAUACCUCAUCCUGCCGGUUCCAGUGGUCUUUCUUCGGAUUGCCUUCACACUCCAGUUAUACGACUCUUCUGAAGAUGGAAGCUGCGACGGCCACAUCGCACACACAAAGUGUGCGUCUUGUUUCUCCUCUUACCAAAACUCCCUGUGCCCUUACCCAUUGAAGCGUAUGCGAAGUAGAGGAAAGCCUUCUGAUGAGUUCCGGAAUGAUCCAUUUUAUCAUUCUCAAUUCCUAUAAAAGAAUGUCAUAGAAAACAGUUUCCAAAGCAAGUUGCAUGUGUUUUGAAUUUGUCUUUGGAAGCCACUAAUUGCUUGGAGCACACUGUUAGCCAAUCGUGAUUCCAUCCACUUUCUUGGAUGGACAAUUGUGCAUCCAUAUGAUCUAGGCAUGUUGGUUUGGACUGAACUAGUUUUAAUAAAUAAUUGCCUUCAGGAUUUAGUCUGUGUGUUACAGUCCAGUCUUUGUUGUGAGUAGUUCUUUUUUCCCCCUCCCGAGGAAAGAAUUGAGAUAAAAAAUAAUUUAUUCCUGCCACGGAUGAGUGCCAUAACAGCUUCUUAAUGCUUUGCGGUGGCUUUUGCGCGGUUGUUGUUGCCUUCUGAAGCUAGAGUAGCUAUGGCUAUAGCAGAUGCAGAUGCCACCAAUUUUUAUGAUGGCCUUUCAGCAUCAAAAUCAAAAGGAUCAAUUGGGAACUUAAAGGAGGUUGAUUUGAAUGAAACACCCUCUAUGCAAGCCAAGAGACUCCAAUUAAGACUGCAAGCUUUGCUUAAAACAGGUAUUUAUAUACCUUAUUAGUUUUUGUAUGUUUAUAAUUACUGAUUUUUAUAUCAAAAGAGAGAGGUUAAUUUUUAGUACAUUGAUAUCUCAACAAAAUGGUAGAUCCUUUAUACCACUAAAGACAUUUUCUUAGUGCACUUACUGAGCUUUCUAUGAUUGCAGUUGAGACGGGCCGACGCUACUUCCCUCAUUGCUCAGAAGUGGUUGAUAAGUUUUUGGACUGUGAUUGGUCUGAUGCUUCCCUCCUAGAAAAUGGUACUCCUGAAGAGCAGAGACUCAAAAGGGCACGCUUCAUGGAACUUAAAGAAGACGUACAGAAGGCAUUUUACAAGGACAUGGCUGAGAAAAAUCGUUUAGGUUUGUCGUCAUCCUCGUCGUCGUCAUCUUCUCCAAAGGAAGGAGUAAAGUGUAAGGGUAGGAAAAGGUGAUGCUUAGCUACUUGUCUUUUAUUAUUCAUUGCUAGGAGACUAAGAGAGUUUUACUGAGUUUGAUUGUUACUUGUAGAGAGAUACUCUUAGAGCCUAUGUUAUGGCUUAUGUUGUAUAAUAGCAGAGGAACUUCAAGCUUGCAUUGUUGUAUUUUCCCAGGUAUUUGGCAUGUAAUAUAUACUAAAUGACAAAGAAUUUUCUAAUUUUAGAGGGAAAAAAUAUGUCAGUUAAUUAUUUUUUUAUUUUAUCUGUUUAAUUCAGUUUAUAAUAUAGCUUUUUUUAUAUAUAAAAAAAAAUCUCCAUAUCUUCAUCUGCAAACUCAGUCAUGUGCAACUUCUUUCGGGGAGAAAAGAAGGGGAAAAAAAAAGGGCAUUUGUACCUGUAUUUUACGGUACUGACCCUCAUACAGAAAUUGGUUAAGAUGACAUUAAUGCUCUUCGAAAUAAAUAGAUAUGCAGAAUUUUCAUCGAAAUUGAAAUUAGAAAUGGAUGGACACGAAUGAUAUAUAUGCAGAACUUUUUAACAGAAUUUUUAUGUAAAAAUUUGUAGCUAAUUACUCCCCCGAAGUAAAAUAAAUUUUCAAUUGUAGAUAAUUAAAUUUUAAAUUUAUAAUAUAAUAAAUGUGACUUAAGUCGCACAGCACCCAUAUAAUAAUAAUAAUUAAGAAAAGAAAAUUUAAAUUUUGUAAAUUAUCAAUUUUUUAAAAUUAAUUAUUUUUAUACCCAAAUUCUCAUGCUCGACGGCCGCUGGAAUUGGCUAUUGUAAUUUUGUCAUCCUCAUUAUUCACUAGCCAUUUUUGGACCACGACAUAAUAGAAAUAGCAUAGAUUAUACUAAUAAAUUUCCUUUAAUUAUUUUGUAGUGUGAUGAUCUAGUGAGUACCAGUGGCCAUCAUAGCACCUGAACAUGUAAAUUUCUGAUAUUUUUUGUAAAAUAGUAUUUAAAUUGUGUAUUAACUAGACAGCUCUAUGUAGACCACAACUCAUUAAAUCAUUACUUUACUUUGUAUAUAUUUAUGACAAUUGAUGAAGAAAAAUAUAAAGUGAGAUUAAUGAACAUUCAUGAAUGUGGGAAAUUAACACAACUAGGAUUUAUGAUGAAAUAAUUUUAAGUCAAACGAGUGUAAGUUUGUAUAUAUAUUUUUUGAAUUGUCAUAUAUGUACAAGUUUGUCACUAACAGUAAAUUAAAUUAUGAAUAUUUUAAUAAUUCAAAAUCUCAUUUAACCAUAAGUGUUUAUAUGGUGCGUUUGGCACAUUGUAUUGUAUUAUAUUAUUUUAAUGCAUGUGUAUUAUAUUAUAUUGUAUUAUAUUAAUAUUGUAUUAUAAUAAUACUAUACAAUGUUUGGUACUACAUUGUAUUAAUUUUUAAUAAAGAUAUAAUAUUACACUGUAUUAUAUUAAUUUUUUAAUAAGUACUUUAAAUUAUAAAUUUAGAAAAUAACAUUUAUUAGUCGUUAAAAAAUACUAAAUAUAAAAAACCAAGACACAGUGGCUCAUAAAUUGUUGUUGGUGAUUGAUCCCAGCCAUUCGGGUGCUCGCCAGUCCUAGAUGAGAAAACUUUCAACGCGGCGCAUAAAUUGCUGUUGAUCUGCUUUAUAUAUUUUGACGUUUGUGAUUUGUGAAUACAUGGUCUGAUUCCAGUGUUUACAAUUUUGAAAUUCAAUUAAAAGUUGAGCUGUGAAAUAGUGUGUUGUAUAACUUGAGAAGCAAAUGAAACAAACAGGAAAUGUGUUUUUUUGUUUUUUUAAUCUAUCUAUGUAACAAUUUAUAGCUGGCAAAGUAAUAGAGUUGUAUACUUCUACUAUUUAAUUAUUUAUUAUUAUUAUUAUUAAUUUUUUUGUAUCCAUGGUGUUUUGUCAUUUCGAAAGUACUUGACCCUUUCACGCUAAGGCACACUCCAGCAGCCGAAACUCUGAGCUUUCAGUUCUUGAUUUUAGCGUGAGGGGUAUCUUUGUCUUUUCAGUAGUCAACACACGGUCAACACACGGUCAACAAAACAGUCUACAAACAAUCGACCUGUGAACUUGGGUCAAAGCUUUCAUCUUUAAAUCACAUAGGUAGAUCAUGAUUCAAGCUUCAGUUAUAAGCCUUUCAUUGUGAUUGAUAGUAUUCUUUCUUUGAUAUAUAUAUAUAUAUAGAUUCAGUUUGAAUAUGGUUCUUGAUGGUAUCAUGGAAAAUGCGAACGAAAAGUCAGCAUCUUUGAGUUUUGUCUCAUCAUAUCUGACUUGUUGGUCCACUAAUCAAUCAACAGACACUUGUGAUCUUGAUAAUUUGAACUUAAGGGGGCAAAGCAGCAAUCCUGAAGAGACAUGGCAUGACGCUGAGAUUGUUGUUGAGGGCAAAUCAGUGGCGGUUAAUCGCAGCGUAUUGUCUGAGCUCAGUCAAUUUUUUCGUCGGCUUUUUAAUUUGAGAAAUGAUGGUUCUGUCAGUGGGGGGAAACCCAAGUAUCUUUUGACUGAUUUGGUGCCUCAUGGGAAGGUUGGAUAUGAAGCUUUCAAUGAUACCUUGCAUUAUAUUUACACUGGGAAGACAAAGGCACCUCCUCCAGAAGUGUCCACGUGUGUUGAUGAUGCUUGUGUUCAUGUUUCUUGCCCUCCUACUAUUAAUUAUGUUAUUGAGUUGAUGUAUGCUUCUGCUGCUCUUCAGAUGAAAAAACUCGUUAUUCGUUUAGAGGUAAUUGUGUUUCACUGCUAUUUGUAUUGCUUAAAUUUAUGCUUCUUGGUAUAGUUUUAACAUAUAUGGGAUUGAAAUCAAUUUCAGUUGUGAAGCAACUCCGGUGGUUCCCAAUAUUAGGCAUUGUAGUAGAUCCAAAAUUAGCUUGUUAAGAAGUGUAGAUACCGUAGAGCCCAAAACUUCAUCUUAUCUUGCAAGAGUCUGUUGUUUUAUUUUGAAAGAGACAAAAGUGAUGAUGAUGGGCAGCAAACUCUAGGAAUCAAUGCUUGCUGACACUGACCCCCAAGAAUCAAUGAGUCUGAAUUUGAUAAGUGCACCUAUCCUAUCACAAAAGCUUUUGCGUUGAGUUUCUAACCAAUUUUCAUUUGGGUAGGUGUCAGUUCAUGCUCUGGCUUGACUGUUCUGUUAUUUAGGUUGUUUUAUCCGUAUUUUCUUCACUCACUUGAUGGUUAGUUCUCUCAUGCUUUCAAGCUCUCAACAGUGAAUGCGAGAGAUUCUAUUUUUCCCGUCCAGUCUAUAACCUAGCAAAUCAUUAAUGCUGUAGAAUAACAUCUUGUGUAGCCGAGUUUAUGUCUCUGAACAUUGGUCCAUCGGCAUUUAGGUUCAAUAAGCAUGGCACUGAUUUUCCCCCUUAUUAUUAUUUUCCUCCACAGAUUAUCCCCUUUGAGUAUUUGAAUUUUGAAUAUAUUAUUCUGAAUCAAAACUCUAUCUGUCCGUGUAGCAUUUUUUAUAUGCUUUACGAUGUUUACCAAUAAUUACCCACUAUGGGGUAUUUGAAUUUUGAAUAUAUUAUUCUGAAUCAAAACUCUAUCUGUCCGUGUAGCUUUGGCUUCUGAACUUGGUUGAGAAGGCUCUUGUGGAAGAUGUAAUCCCAAUUCUCGUGGCUGCCUUGCAUUGCCAACUGAACCACCUCCGUUCUUUCUGCAUCCAGAGAAUUGCAAAGUCAAAUCUUGACAAUGUUUGUCUCGAGAAAGAGCUUCCUGAUGAAGUUUCAAGUGAAAUCAAAUCACUCCGUGUCAAAUCUAACCAGGAGUCUGAAGCUAAUAUAGCAGAAGUGGACCCUAUGCAUGCAAAAAUAGUCAGAAGAAUCCACAAGGCGCUGGACUCUGAUGACGUUGAACUGUUGAAGCUUCUUCUGGAUGUAUCUAAUGUCACUCUGGAUGAUGCUUACGCCCUGCACUAUGCUGCUGCCUACUGCAGCCCUAAGGUUUUCAAGGAAGUGCUCAAUAUGGACUUGGCUUGUCUCAAUCUUAAGGAUGCAAGAGGACGUACGGUGCUUCAUGUGGCUGCAAGGCGUAAUGAGCCAGAAGUGAUGGUGACUCUGCUGAGCAAGGGAGCAUGCGCAUCAGAAACUACAUCAGAUGGGCAAACAGCUGUAGCAAUCUGUCGGAGAAUGACAAGGCGAAAGGAUUAUCUUGAAGCUACAAAGCAGGGGCAGGGAACUAACAAAGACCGGUUAUGCAUUGAUGUCCUUGAGAGAGAGAUGAGAAGGAACUCCAUGUCUGAGAACUUGGCAAUGCCAACAGAGGUGAUGGAUGAUCAUUUCCAAGCGGAGCUGGACUAUCUAGAAAAUAGAGGUGAUAUUUCUUUACUGGUAUUAGUUCAUCACCUUCUCAGAGUUUGUGCAUAGCACACUUCUUUCUACUGUUUGUUUGUCCCUUCAUAUGGAAAAUAGAGGUGAUAUUCCUUUACUGGUAUUAGUAAAUCAUCUUCUCAAGAGUUUGUGAGUCCCUUCAUUUUAGCAUCUCAAACACACAUGGGCUCAUUGCUUGGGGCACACUGUUGGCCAGUCAUGUGAUUUGAUCCCCUUUUUUGGAAUAGAGAAUUAUGAAUCCAUCUGAUCUAGGCUUGUUGGUUUGCACCGAACUGGUUUUUGAUAAAUAAUUGUACAAGACUUUGUCAUCAAAAACUUUUUUUUUUGUUUUUUUGUUUUUUGUUUUCCAAAAGUAAUGAGGUACAAAAAUAUUUAUGCCUAUCCUGGAUGAGUGCCAUAACAGCUUCUUAAUAUUUUGCAGUGGCUUUUGUACGGUUUUUUCCUUCUGAAGCUAGAGUAGCUAUGGAAAUAGCAGGUGCAGAUACCGCCACUGGCCUUUCAGCAUUAGGUCAGAAAGGACUAAGUGGGAACUUAAAGGAGAUUGAUUUGAAUGAAACGCCCUCUAUGCAAGCCAAGAGACGCCAAUUGAGACUGCUAACUCUGCUCAAAACAGGUAUUUAUAUACUUUAUUAACUUUUGCACCCUUCUAUUUACUGAUUAUCUUUAUGAUUAACUAAUACAUGUAUCCAGGUUUCUCCUUCCAAUUGGAAUUUCUUUAUAGUGCUAUGUUAGGUGUAAUCAGAUGUAUCAAAAGAGAAAGGGUAAUUAUUAGUACAUUGAUAUCUCAACAAAAUGGCAGAACCUUUCUUUAUACCACAAAGACAUUUGUCGCAGGUAUGCCUACAUAAUCAGUGUCCUUCAAAACUUUCAAGGAGUUAGCAAUGCCUAACCCCUGAAACACUAAAUCUCACGGGAUCAACUCUUUACCUCUAGACCGAAGGUGUGACACCCAGACCCAAUUAGGGCUUAGAAAACAUAUCGAAUCUGAGUGAAACUAAAUGCCUAUAAAUCCAAAUCUCCAAAAUAUCAAAAAGUCAUCUAAUUUCUCUUUUCAUGUAUUUUACAAAAUUUUGAAAAAUUCAUUCUCAAUCAUAAACUAUGCACAACUAAUUAUUCAGCAUAUCAGCAUAGAGCAAUACUUCCUCAUAAGCAAAUAAAUCUUACAAUUCUUCUUGCAUGAUUUAAAAAAAAUACUAAUAGAGUCUUCUAGAUACAAACAUAAACAUAAUUCAACUGUUUAAAACUAUGCCAAAACACAAGCUUCAAUCAGUAAUACAUACGACUAAUUAUUAAAAACAUCUAGGCAGAAACCUUACGAAAGCUCAAUCCUUCCGAAGCAUUCUUCAAAUUAAUAAUUGCAACCAUCUGUGAAAAAUAAUUGACAAGGAGUCAGCUGUGAAUUCAAUCAGUAGAAACAUUCGUAACGAACAAAAAGAAUUCUUUGUGCAAUAUUUUCAGAAAAUUCAUUUAACCUUUCAAAUGAAACAGAGUAAUUUUUCUAACGCAUCAGGAUUUAUAUAAAACACAAACGUUUCAGACAGAAGCUGUGUGGAAUGUAAAUUUUGCUUCUUUAAACAGAAAGUUAUAUAUUAGUUUGAUUUUAAAGGGAGGUUAUUGGGAAGUUAAAAUUGGCAGUUGUGGGAAAAGGGUAAUAGCAGUUAUAAAAUCUGUUUUAAAGCAAAUUCAAAUCAAGUUUCAAAUUUUAGGAGUACUUAAUUCAAUAAAAUAAGGAAUAAAUAAAGCUUUCAUUGAAACAAAACUAAGUAAAUUCAUUUAAAGCAAAACAGGAUGCGAGCAUUACAUAAGGGUUCUUGGCCAUACCAUGGUUACCCGCAGUCAGACAUCUGGGACCUUGUUAUUUGGAGACAAGACUUGAUUGUGCCAUGUUUUCCGCAGCUAGACACCUAUGGAUAAGAGAAGCCUAAGCCUAUUGAGAAUAAAUUCUGUAAUCCAAGACUCUUCAGUUCUUUCAUUUGUGGCUAAUUAGUUAUAAAAUUUGUGAAUUACAUGCCCCAUGCCCCUUGCAAAAUGUUGUUUAUAUCCUUAAGAUGCCCGUGGAUGAACUGAAAUAAUAAAAUAUAGAAGACAGACUUAAUGCCGAUAGCAUUUCUUAAGAAAAACUUGGGAUGUUUAUAAUUUUCUUAGAGCAUUUGCUGAACUUUCUGUGAUUGCAGUCGAGACGGGUGACCGCUACUUCCCUCAUUGCUCACAAGUGGUUAAUGACUUUUUGGAUGCUUCCCUCCUAGAAAAGAGUACUCUUGAAGAGGAGAAACUUAAAUUAUACGUGCAGGAGGCACUCCGCAAGGACGUGGCUUAUCACCGUCGUUCAGGGCUGCCAUCAUCCUGGUCGGCAUUUUACAAGUACAUGGCUGAGAGCAAUCAGUCGGCAUUUUACAAGUACCUGGCUGAGAGCAAUCGUUCAGGAAUGUCGACAUCCUCGGCAGCGGAAAACUAAAGGAGUUGAGUGAGCUCUGCUCGAUUGGUUUUUGUAGUUUCUUUUUUUUUUUUCCUCAAGUGAUCUGGCAUGUAUCAAUUAGUUUGUAAAGUUAUUGUAUUGUCUCAAGUCCGGUAAGAUGCGCGAACGUAUAGCAUGGAUCACAAACUCAUUUCAUAGAUUAUUUUUUUGUAUAAUUAUAUAAUUUAUAGGCUUUGCUUAAAAAAUUAAAAAAGAAAAAAAGAAUUGUAUUACAAUUGGUAUGAGGCAUGCUUGUGUGUGUCAUAUCAGUUGCUGAACAAACUUUGCCUUUUAGUUUUGUAGGCACUACCAUCUCAAAUUCUUUGUUAUCAUGAAUGAGUAUUUUUUUUCUUUUUUUUCUUUUUUAACAAAUCAUAAAUGAGAUUAAGAUAAUCUUUUUUUAAAAAAGAAAAAAAAUGGAGAUUUCUUUUAUUUUUCCUUAAAAAACUGAAGACAAAUUUAGAAGGAAGUGAGAGACGGAGAAUUAAAGCAAUUUUAUUCACAAAUGUAAUGUAUUUGGUGCAGCAAUACAAACUAAUAAAUUAUAAUUUAUGAGACUAGUUUACAGAAUCUUAUAUAUAAAAUUAUAUCCUCUGAAUAAAAAUCUUCUCACCUCUUUUGACUUCUCAUCUAAUUUACAGAAUCUUAUAUAUAUAACACAUUUUUAUAAAACAAAACAGAAAAAAAAAUUAUAUAUAAUUGUCACAAGGACUAUUUCAUUUGCACAUAGUACGCAAUUGGUCACUAAAGUUAUUUGAGGAGAAAAUUUACAUGAGAUGGGUACAUCAUAUUAUCAGUAUUUUAGUUUAAAUUUGAACAUACUAGAAUGGUCUCUCAUAAAUUUUUCUCCAAUUUGAGAGAUGGUGGGGGAGUGGGGUUAAAGUGCAUCUACAUAGAAUAGAAUUAAUUAUAAUUAAAUUUACUUUUUAAAACUAUUUUAACUAGAAGUAGUAGUAAUUCUUUUUAUUAUUGUUAUUCCAAUUAUAUCAAAAUCUCGUGACUCGUGAUCAAAUUAAGUGCUUCAUUAAAUUGUUUUAGGUGACGUACGGUAUGGAGUUGUUAUAAAUCUAUAUAGAUAGUAAAAUAUUUAAUUUUGCUUGUCGUAAACUUUUAAUUUGCAUGGGUUAAAAAAGAAAAAAAGAAAAAAGAAAUUGACUUAUUAAUUAAUUAACAAUUAUAGAAAGACUAAAUAGAAAAUUAUUGAAGUUGCGUGAGAAAGCUCUCGGGAAAAGGGGCUCCAGAUUUCCUUUCCCUGGCUUCGUGCGUUUCCUGUUUGCCCUUUCGAGCACGACAUUCGAAUCCAAUACUUAAUAAUAAAGAUAUAAUAUUAUUAUAAUACUAAUAAUUAACAUUAAAAUAUUAAAAAUAGGGAAAAAAAAAUCCAAAUUUUUACUGGUAUGUAACGCAGGGCCAAAACGAUAGCGAAACAUCAAAUUGUUUUUAUUUCAACCUUCGCGCAACUUCCGGUGACAUAAUUUUUCUCUGUUUCAGGUACAUACAUACCCAAAACUAGACUUUGCAUGUAUCAUUCUUGUAUUUUUGUAAUUCAUUCACAUAUUCUUCUUUUCUUUUCUUUUUCUUUUCUUUUUUGCUGUAUUUUUUUUAUGAAACACUCUGUUUCAGUUCUGUUUCUGGUUUUGUUUCAGUUUGAUAUUAUUGGUUCCGUUCGGUUCUACUCUGUUCUCUGUUGUAUGUAUAUAUGUAUGUAUUUUUGGCCUUGAAUUGCUUUGAUCACCGGUUUUGUUAUUCUUUUAUCGUGAAUUUUAGACACCCGUUAAACUUGUUUGGCCAUGUAUUCACUUGAUUGUUACAUUCAGCUGCCAUCUUCAUGGUGGGUUUGUAAGAUAGUCUCUGACUAACAUAUGGCAUUGAUUAUGAAUGAUGGUUUUGUGAGAUACAUCAUACAGACGUUAACUUGUAUUAACAUGUACUUCCUUUAUUUAAAAGAUUAUUGUUUUUCUGGCUUUUUUUUUUUUGUUUGAAAUGCCCCUUUUUGCAUUUUAUAGGUGAAAGGAAAAAAACAUAAUAUCGCAGCACUAGAACAAAGGAGCCUAUUCUGGUACCUAUUGUCCAAGGAAGCUUCUGUAUAUUCGGUAGGCACUACCAUGGAAGUGAAAUCUUACCAGAGCCAGGUGGAGUCAUUGCUGAAGGAAUAUAUAUUAGCAGAUCCAUUUAUCCCGUACACUUCAAUUGUUGGUAGCAUUUUUGCUUGCAAGAUGGUAUGUUUUUCAUCGUUACUGCAUGGUGGUAUUUACUAGAAAAUAUUUUGAAUGCAUAGUUUUUAUUUAAUUAGUUAUAAAUUUUUAUACCCUUUUUUUCAUAAGAAUGCGUUCCUUUUCAGGUGUAUGAUCUUGCCCAAUUGAUUAGUGCUGUUCACUUUAAAAGUUAUUCCAGUUUCUCUAACGUACAGCGGGUUGAGUGGAGUAACAGGUGAUUGAAUAUUUUCAUUUAGUUCAAUUGACAUUUCUUUUUCAAUCGGUAAAGUUUAAUCAUUUCUCUUAAAUUGACAACUUAAGCAGGGCCAUAGCAACCGUCCAUGCCAUUUUUAUUACAGCUAUGUCUUUGUACUUCGUGUUUUGGUCGGAUCUCUUUUCGGACAACCAACUUGCUAGCCUUAUUACAUUCCGUAGCUCUUUUCUGUCUACAUUCACAUUGGGGGUGAGUUCACCAUUUCCUGUUAGUUUUUAGUUAAAUUACAAAUUUUACCAGGUUUUAAGUUCUGGCAUUCCCAUCUGUUAUCUUGCCCUGAGAAUAUAUAUAGGAUAUUGUCUUAUUGAAGCCUGAAUCUUCCCAGUAGUGGAAAGUAUAAAUAACAAUUUGAAAUUAUUUUAGCCAUCAAUGUAACAGCUGGCAAAUUUCUUCUAGCUUGUUUCUUAAAUCUAAGGUUAAUUUUCCCGUGGUGACAGACAAACCAGUCAUGGUUUAUCUAGAUAUUUUAAUACAUGAUUUCAGUAUCAGGUAAAGAAGGAAUCCGUAUCUAUUUCUUUCCAGUUGGUGUUGAUAAAAAGGAAAAGUCAUAGUACUCUCCUUUUCAUUCCUUGUGAUUCCAUUUUACUUAGUAAUAUGAUUAGAAAUGAGUGGAAAUAGGUUGUGGAGGGCUGCAUUAUUAUGGCUUCUUUCAAUAGAACACUAAAUAUUCCCUAUUCAAGGGAAACUUUUUGCAAGGGAAAUUUUCUAAAGGAUAAUAAACUUUUUUUCUUUUCAAAAGAGAAAGGGUAAUUAUUAGUACAUUGAUAUCUCAACAAAAUGGUAGAACCUUUCUUUAUACCACUAAGACAUUUGUCGCAGGUAUGCCUACAUAAUCAGUGUCCUUCAAAACUUUCAAGGAGUUAGCAAUGCCGAACCCCUGAAACACUAAGGUGGCGUUUGUUUUUUAACUUAAUGACUUAAAGUGAAUUAACUUAAUUAAUUAAGUUAAUUAGAGGUGUUUGUUUUUAUAACUUAAUGAGACUUUUUAGAUGAUUUUGACUUAAGAAAAUAAGCCAAUUUUUUUAGCUUUUUACUUAAUGGAGAAAUCUGAAUUAAGUCAAUUACUUGCUAAUGUCAAAACUAUCCAUGUUUUAUAAUUUAUUUUUCAUGUCUAUCCCAAAAUUCACCCAUAGACAUUUAUCCCACAUAAAAAUAUCCAUAUUUUUUAUUUCUUAUAUUAUAUACGAUAAAAUUUAAAAUUUAUGGUAUUUUAUAUAUUAAAAUUUCAAAAUAAUUAUGUAUUCACUUGAAUAUAGUUUUACUUAUAAAUGUUAAAAUAUUGUGGUAUUUAAUAUAUUAUUUAUUUGGCAUUCAAAUUUAAUAAGGAUACAAAUGUAAAAGUACAUAUUUUCAACUUUUUAAGUUGAAAAAAACAAACAACUUAAUACUUAUUUUCCGAGAUUCAGACGAAAAAAACAAACAUAUUAUUCAGAUUCAGACAUUCAGAUCUAUUAAAAAUUCAGUCUAAUUUAAGUCUAUUUAGAUUUUAGAUAAAAAAACAAACGCCACCUAAAUCUCAUAGGAUCAACUCUUUACCUCUAGACCGAAGGUGUGACACCCAGACCCAAUUAGGGCUUAGAAAACAUAUCGAAUCUGAGUGAAACUAAAUGCCUGUAAAUCCAAAUCUCCAAAAUAUCAAAAAGUCAUCUAAUUUCUCUUUUCAUGUAUUUCACAAAAUUUUGAAAAAUUCAUUCUCAAUCAUAAACUAUGCACAACUAAUUAUUCAGCAUAUCAGCAUAGAGCAAUACUUCCUCAUAAGCAAAUAAAUCUUACAAUCCUUCUUCCAUGAUUUAAAAAAAAUACUAAUAGAAGUCUUCUAGAUACAAACAUAAACAUAAUUCAACUGUUUAAAACUAUGCCAAAACACAAGCUUCAAUCAGUAAUACAUACGACUAAUUAUUAAAAACAUCUAGGCAGAAACCUUACGAAAGCUCAAUCCUUCCGAAGCAUUCUUCAAAUUAAUAAUUGCAACCAUCUGUGAAAAAUAAUUGACAAGGAGUCAGCUGUGAAUUCAAUCAGUAGAAACAUUCGUAACGAACAAAAAGAAUUCUUUGUGCAAUAUUUUCAGAAAAUUCAUUUAACCUUUCAAAUGAAACAGAGUAAUUUUUCUAACGCAUCAGGAUUUAUAUAAAACACAAACGUUUCAGACAGAAGCUGUGUGGAAUGUAAAUUUUGCUUCUUUAAACAGAAAGUUAUAUAUUAGUUUGAUUUUAAAGGGAGGUUAUUGGGAAGUUAAAAUUGGCAGUUGUGGGAAAAGGGUAAUAGCAGUUAUAAAAUCUGUUUUAAAGCAAAUUCAAAUCAAGUUUCAAAUUUUAGGAGUACUUAAUUCAAUAAAAUAAGGAAUAAAUAAAGCUUUCAUUGAAACAAAACUAAGUAAAUUCAUUUAAAGCAAAACAGGAUGCGAGCAUUACAUAAGGGUUCUUGGCCAUACCAUGGUUACCCGCAGUCAGACAUCUGGGACCUUGUUAUUUGGAGACAAGACUUGAUUGUGCCAUGUUUUCCGCAGCUAGACACCUAUGGAUAAGAGAAGCCUAAGCCUAUUGAGAAUAAAUUCUGUAAUCCAAGACUCUUCAGUUCUUUCAUUUGUGGCUAAUUAGUUAUAAAAUUUGUGAAUUACAUGCCCCAUGCCCCUUGCAAAAUGUUGUUUAUAUCCUUAAGAUGCCCGUGGAUGAACUGAAAUAAUAAAAUAUAGAAGACAGACUUAAUGCCGAUAGCAUUUCUUAAGAAAAACUUGGGAUGUUUAUAAUUUUCUUAGAGCAUUUGCUGAACUUUCUGUGAUUGCAGUCGAGACGGGUGACCGCUACUUCCCUCAUUGCUCACAAGUGGUUAAUGACUUUUUGGAUGCUUCCCUCCUAGAAAAGAGUACUCUUGAAGAGCAGAAACUUAAAGUAGACAUGCAAGAGGCACUCCCCAAGGACGUGGCUUAUCACCGUCGUUCAGGGCUGCCAUCAUCCUGGUCGGCAUUUUACAAGUACAUGGCUGAGAGCAAUCAGUCGGCAUUUUACAAGUACCUGGCUGAGAGCAAUCGUUCAGGAAGAUAUUUGACAUUUGGAAAACUAAAGGAGUUGAGUGAGCUCGAUUGGUAUUUGUAGUUUCUUUUUUUUUUUUUUGCCUCAAGUGAUCUGGCAUGUAUCAAUUAGUUUGUAAAGUUAUUGUAUUGUCUCAAGUCCGGUGAGAUGCGCGAACGUAUAGCAUGGAUCACAAACUCAUUUCAUAGAAUAUUUUUGUGUAUAAUUAUAUAAUUUAUAGGCUAUGCUUAAAAAAUUAGAAAAAGGGAAUUGUAUUGCAGUUGGUAUGAGGCAUGCAUGCGUAUGUCAUAUCAGUUGCUGAACAAACUUUGCCUUUUAAUUUUGUAGGCAUUACUAUCUCAAAUUUUCUAUUAUCAUAAAUGAGUUUUUUUUUUUUUUAACAAAUCAUAAACGAGAUUAAGAUAAUCUUUUUUAAAAAAAAAAGAAGACAAAUUUAGAAAGUAGUGAGAGAUGGAGAAAUAAAGUAAUUAUAUUCAUAAAUAUAAUGUUUUUGGUGCAGCGACACAAACUAAUAAAUUAUAGUUUAUGAGAUUAGUUUACAAAAUCUUACACUCUCUAGACUUCUCAUUUAGGUGCCUUUUCUGGAACCUCUCCAGCCAUAAACACAUUUUUAUUAAACAAAACAGAAAAAAAAAAUUAUAUAUAGCUGUUCAUAAGGACUAUUUCUUUUGUACAGAAUACACAAUUGGCCACUAAAAUUAGUUGAGGAGAAAAUUUACACGAGAUGAGUACAUUACAUUAUCAGUAUUUUUGUCUAAUUUGAACGCACGUUUGUUUUAGGAAUCUUACUAGAAUGGUCUCUCAUAAAUUUUUCUCCAAUUUGAGAGAGAGUGGGGACUAGGUUAAAGUGCAUAUACGUAGAAUUAAUUAAAAUUAAAUUUAUUUUUUAAAACUAUUUUAACUAGAAGUAGUAGCAAUUCUUUUUAUUAUUGUUAUUCCAAUUAUAUCAAAAUCUCGUGACUCGUGAUCAAAUUAAGUAGUUCAUUAAAUUUUUUUAGGUGACGUACGGUAUGGAGUUUUUAUAAAGCUAUAUAAAUAGCAAAAUAUUUAAUUUUGUUUGUCGUAAACUUUUAAUUUGCCUGGGUUAAAAAAAAGAAAAAAAAAUGAAAAAAGAAAUUGACUUAUGAAUUAAUUAACAAUUAUAGAAAGAAUAAAUAGAAAACUAUAGUUGCGUGAGAAAACUCUCGCGAAAAGGGGCUCCAGAUUUCCUUUCCCUGGCUUCGUGCGUUUCCUGUUUGCCCUUUCGAGCACGAAUUCGAAUCCAAUACUUAAUAAUAAGGAUAUAAUAUUAUUAUAAUACUAAUAAUUAACAUUAAAAUAUUAAAAAUAAGGAAAAAAAAUCCAAAUUUUUAGUGGUAUAUAAGAUAACGCAGGGCCAAAGCGAUAGCGAAACAUCAAAUUGUUUUUAUUUCAACCUUCGCGCAACUUCCGGUGACAUAAUUUUUCUCUGUUUCAGGUACAUACAUACCCAAAACUAAACUUUGCAUGUAUCAAUCUUGUAUUUUUGUUAUUCAUUCACACAUCCUUCUUUUCUUUCUUUUCUCUUUUGCUGUAAUUUUUUAUGAAACACUCUUCUGUUUCAGUUCUGUUUCUGGUUUUGUUUCAGUUUAAUAUUAUUGGUUCCGUUCGGGUCUGUUCUGCUCUGUUCUCUGUUGUAUGUAUAUGUGUAUAUGUUUUUGGCCUCGAAUUGCUUUGAUCACCGGUUUUGUUAUUCAUUUAUCGUGAAUUUUAGAUACCCGUUAAACUUGUUUGGCCAUGUAUUCACUUGAUUGUUACAUUCAGCUGCCAUUUUCAUGGUGGGUUUGUAAGAUAGUCUCUGACUAGCAUACGGCAUUGAUUAUGAAUGAUGGUUUUGUGAGAUACAUCAUACAGACGUUAACUUGUAUUAACAUUGUUGUGCGCGGAAUGCGGAAUCAAGCGCACCAAAUAAUUAUAGAAAAAUAAAAGACACAAGAAUUACAUGGUUCAGUAAUUAAACCUACAUCCACGGAGGCAAGAAAGAAUAAUUGUAUUAUUAACAAUUAAUAGAGUAUAAAUAUUUGAGUAACGAAUCUCACUUCCCAGAAACUCAAAUAUACCCAGUACUCUCACACUCUGCAGGAAAGAUAAAUUCCCCAGACACACUUCUCUCACUUCUCUCACUUCUCUCAAAAGCUUAAAAACUUAUAAGCUUAACAAUUUUGGGAUGAUAUGGAAUGAAGAAAUGUUCUCUAUUUAUAGGCUUGAAGCUAGUACUAUUCCACCUAACCCAAUCACUAUUCCACCUAACCCAUGCAAAUAUGUCAAUGGUGUCCAUUUGGCAAAUUUGACAAAUUUGCCAACUUUUCAUUUUUUCUUCAAUUGUUUGGUAGCUCUUUGAAAAAUUGCAUGCUUUCUUGAAUUUGCAUGCCACGUGCAUGAUUUUUCAACAAUUCUCCACCUCGGCGAAAAUUUGUCCAAAUCUAAGCCGACUACCAAUGAACCAUCAUCCCUAAGGUGGCUGCAUCUCUGUGACUGCUUACGUACCCAAAAUUUGGGAUCAAGCCAACUGUAGUUCAAAAUUCCCGAAGGACAUAUCUUAACACAAGCGAAGGAUUUGAAUUAGUUUCAAGCAAUGUUGAAACUUAACUCCAGAAACUACCUUCGUCAACAUAUCUUAUGGAUUAUCUUUUGUAUCGAUCUUCUUCAACAACACAUCACCACCUUCGAUAAUCUCCCUCACAUAAUGAUAUUUCACAUCUAUGUGCUUCGUCCGAGCGUGAUAUGUUUGAUUCUUCGCUAGGAAUAUCGCACUUUGGUUAUCACAAAAGACCACAAUGUUUUCUUGGAUUACUCUCAAAUCACCUAACAAGCCUUUCAACCAGAUAGCUUCUUUUACAGCUUCAGUUGCUGCCAUAUACUCUGCUUCCGUAGUGGACAAAGCAAUUGUCGAUUGUAGAAUCGACCUCCAGCUAAUCGAUCCUCCACCCAAUGUGAAUACGUAGCCCAUUGUUGAUCUUCGCUUGUCAAGGUCUCCAGCGAAAUCAGAAUCACAAUACCCAACACAUUGUUGACCACAAUCCUUCUUGAACAAUAACCCAACAUCAAUUGUCCCAUACAGAUAUUGGAGAAUCCACUUUACCGCAAGCCAGUGAUUUUUACCCGGAUUGUGCAUGUAUCUACUAACCAUGCUCACUGCUUGAGAUAUAUCGGGCCUUGUGCAUACCAUAGCAUACAUAAGACUACCCACAACACUAGCAUAUGGAACACGAGCCAUGUAAUCGCACUCCUCUUGAGAUCUAGGACAUGAAGAAGAGCUUAAUUUGAAAUGAGGAGCUAGAGGUGUACAUACCGGUUUAGUUUUGUCAUCCAUACCAAAUCUUUCUAGCACUUUCUUCAAAUAAGACUUUUGAGUCAACCAUACGCUCCCAUUCUUCUUGUCUCUACGAAUCUCCAUCCCAAGUAUUCUCUGUGCAUCACUCAAGUCUUUCAUCUCGAACUCAGAAGCCAACUGCUUUUUUAAUCUUUUGAUCUCAUCUCCAUUCUUUGAAGCUAUAAGCAUAUCGUCGACAUAGAGUAACAAAUAGAUGAAAGCUCCAUCUAGUAGUUUUCUAAAGUAAACACAAUGAUCGUGUUCACUUCUAGUGAAUUCUGCCCUUGUAUAAAUUGAUCAAAUCUUUUGUACCACUGCCUUGGCGAUUGCUUCAGUCCGUACAAAGAUUUAAUCAACCUACAUACAUGAUUCUCCUUUCCAGCAACUCUGAAACCACAAGGCUGAAUCAUAUACAUUUCUUCCUCCAAAUCUCCAUAUAAGAACACCGUCUUAACAUCCAAUUGAGCCAACUCUAACUCAUAUUCUGCAACUAAGGCAAGUAGGAUACGAAUGGAAGUAUGUUUUACAACUGAAGAGAAAACUUCAUUGUAGUCAAUAUCUUCCUUCUGAGCAAAACAUUUUGCCACGAGCUUUGCCUUGUAUCGAGGAGUUGAUUGAUUUAGAGAUCCUUGUUUUUUGGUGUAGACCUAUUUAUUACCAAUAACCUUUUUCCCCUUUGGUAACUUUACAAGUUCCCAAGUCUGGUUUUGAUGGAGAGAUUUCAUCUCUUCCUCCAUGGCUAACUUCCACUGAUCACUUGCACUGAUGCGUAAUGCUUCACCGAAAGUGUUGGGGAUGUCAUCAUCAAUAACUGGAAGUGCAUAGGCUACCACCAUAUCUUUAGUAACCUAUCCGAAUUUCUUUAUCUCUCUUCUUGGCCUCCUUGUUGCUAUAAAAUCAUCAUUAUCUACAUCAUCAAUUGUUUCUUCAUUUUGUGGGACAUCAGAAGAAACAACCUCUUCUUCAACUCUAGGUGUCACCUCCAUAAUUGAACUGAAACAACCCGCCCCGAACCCCCAGGGCGAGUCUAUCUAAACUCGUAUAAUCAAAUCGAUAUUAUUUAUGAUAUCUAAGAAUUCUAUUAAAAAUUCGGCAGAAUCUCCCUUAUAAAUAAAACAUCCCCAAACCUGCAAUUUACAAAACCAUACUCCCAAAAAUAAUUCAAUAUCCAUCCAACUCUCAUAACCAACUUCUCAAGUUAACAUAUCAAAUUUCAUCAAAAUCAUUCUAAUAUUAAAAUACAUGGGUUAUCCUUAAUUACAAAAUAUAAUAAAUCAAAAUUGUUAAAUCUACGACUCUUAGCACCAUCACGUGGCCACAAUUUCAAAACUAACAUUCGUUACUGGGUCAACUGAUGUACCUGCAAAUCUCCUGUGGGGGGAAAAAUAUAAUAAAAACGGGGUGAGUAUAAAACUCAGUGAGCUCAGUGAUUGGAUAAUAGUUUUUGGAAAAAUAAAUAAAUUUAUUUAAAAUGACUUAAUCUUUCCCAAAUCAAUUUCUCAAAUCAAUUUCAUCAAAAUAUCAUAAGAACUUACAUAAACUUAUUUAAUUCAAAUCAAUCACUGAAAUUCUAUAUUACAUAAAUCUACAUAGAAUCGAUGGAAUCAUAAUACUUAUCAUAUCAAAUACUGAAUACCAAAAACUAUCAUCAAACAAGUACCCAGAGGAAUGAUCUCAUCAUAUCCGGACCUCGACGGACGGGCAAUCAGGGAACCAUCAUGCCCCGGAGCUACAACAGAUAGAUGGGGAAAAUCUCAUCUCAUAUCUCAUGUAUCUCAACAUCUGUAUCUUUGUAAUCAUCAUACUGCAUGCAUAAGCCCCCAAAAGGCAAAAGCGCCCAAACACACGGUCCAAAGCCUCUAUGUGUGUUCAGACGGGCCCCAAAGGCGUCUAUCUCAUCUCAUCUGUAUCUCUGUAUUCAUCUCAUAUUAUCUGUAUCUCUGUAUCUAGAGGGGAAGGGUACUGUCCAAUGAUUUUCCAAACAACAUUUAUACUCAUGUACAUAAACAUAUAAUCACAUCUGAAAUCUCAUUUUCUUUCUAUGCAACAUAUCUCAAAUCUGCUCAAUUCUAAUAUCAUGCAUAAAAUCACUAAUCAAACUCAUUCUUAGUAACAAUAAAUAUCAACACAUAGAUAAAAAUCAAUUUUCUAGAAAAUCAUUAAAUCGAAGCAUCAAAUACUUAUUUAUCAAAACAUAAUGCACUGUAUCAUAAAAUCAGCAUAUACUAUGAAAAUAGAUUUUGCAUAUUCCACUCACAGUGAUGAUGUCCAGACUCGGUAUCAACAACGUUUGCGGUUUGAUUCUCGUUCGCAGAUCCUCCUAAUCAAGGAAACGCCAUAAUCAUUCUCCGUAAACUUGAAAUACAACUAAUUUUAUAUAAUAAAUCUGGAAACGAAUAUCUAUCAAAUACCCCCAACAUCAUUAUUUUACCAAAUUAUCCUCAGAAUCUUCAAUUACUAAAUGGUCCUCAAUUUAGAUCACAUAAAUAACCACAAUGUCAGAAAUUACGAAAUUACCCUCGGAGCAUAAAUUUACCAAAAUGUCCUUAACGACUUAAAUUACCGAAUUACCCUCGAAAUCUCAAAUUACCUCACUGCCCUAACUUAAAAUUACCAAAUUAUCCACUGAUUCCAUAAAUUAUAAAUUCACCCUAAAGUUUUAUGAAUUUACCGAAUUGCCCCUGCCGGUAAACGGUGACCGGACUUCAGUCAACGACGACGGGAAGCUUAGGUCUGAUAGUUUAGACCUCGGUGAGUCCAAUGGUGGUGGCCGUGAGUCCCCACGAGCGGUGCCGGCGGCGGAUCAAGCUUCCUAGGCCGUGAGCUUUCAAAGUGGCUGAUCGGCGGUAAUCCGGCCGUUUCGGGUGACGAGGUUGGUCGGAAAAUGAUGCUGGUAACGUGAGGAGUAGAAACCAACUGGAAGUGUGCCCAAACUCUGGCAAAAUCGACGGCGGCGAAAACGGGCCUUGGCCGCGAGUUUUCGAGCUUAAUCGCCAGCGUUUUGGUCGGUUUCCGGUGACGAGGACGGCGGGGUUAUGACGGUCGGCUUCCAAGCUUCAGAUCGGUACCAAGCUCGGCCGGUGAGGUGGCCAGAAUCGGGAGAUCCGUCCGGGUCAAUGUCGCGAGUCGGGUCGGGUUUGCGGGUCAAAAAUCGGGUCAAACACUCACUCUCUCUCUCUCUCGUGCCUCCUCUCUCUCCUUCCUUUCUAAAAAUAGUUUCCCCCCCUUUCCAUAUAAAAAAAAAACCGACUUCUUCUUCCUUUUUUUUUUCUUAAGCUUAAUACAAAUUAAACUAAUACCGGACCCGUGACGAAAAUAAAAUCCAACUAUUCGAACUUUUAAUCGCACUCAAAUUAUCUCGAUUUAAUGUCGUGACAAAUUUUAAAAUUAAUAACGAAGAGGAAAAAUUAAAUCAUACACUUAAUUAAGAAAAAUCAAAGUGCAUAUGUUACAUGAACCCUUAUUUAAUGUAGAACUAACUGGUACAUAUGGAGUUGCAUCAAACUCCACCCACUGUAAUACCUCUUUGGUCUUAUUCUCCACCUGUUGAGAAUUUGAAGCUUUCAUCAUUGAAGCUUCAUCAAAUGUGACAUCUCUUUUACACACAAACUUUUUGUCUUCGAGAUCCCAAAGCUUAAAGCUCUUUACUCCACCUUUGAAUCCUACAAAGAUAGCUUUACUAGCACGAGGAUCCACUUUACCAUCUUUGACAUGAUAAUAAGCUGAACACUCGAAUAUACGAAGGGAAUCAUAGUCUUGUGCAUGCUUUCCAGACCACAUUUUCAUAGGAGUUUUACCUCCAAUUGUAGCAGAAGGCAACCGGUUUACCAAGUGACUUGCGUAACUCACAGCUUCAACCCAAAACUUUUUAUCUAAACCAGCAUUAGAUAACAUACACCGUACUUUCUCCAGUAAAGUACGAUUCAUACGCUCAGCCACACCGUUCUGUUGCGGAGUAUGUCUCACCGUGAAAUAUCUUUUAAUACCCUCGUUCUGGCAUACUUGCAAGAAUGGAUCAGAAGUAUAUUCACCCCUAUUAUCAGAUCGUAAUACUUUGAUCUUUCUGCCAGUUUGAGUCUCCACCAAUUUCUUCCAUUUCACGAAAAUCUCUAGAACUUCAUCCUUUGCUCGCAUGGUGUACACCCACACACGUCUAGAGAAAUCAUCAACAAAUGUAACAAAAUAAUGGCUUCCACCAAUUGAUGCAGUCUUGGUUGGUCCCCAUACAUCACUAUGAACAUAUUCAAGGAUCUCACGAGUAUCGUGAUUAACUGUACCAAACUUGACCCUUGUUUUCUUGCCUACUACACAAUGCUCACAGAAAUUUAAUUUACAGGUUUUGGUACCUUUUAAGAGUCAGUGCCUCAUCAGAGUUUGCAAAGAUUUCUCGCCAGCAUCUCCCGAUCGUAAAUGCCAUAGCUUGGUGGUGUCACUGUGCGCCUCAACAAUAUUUGCUUCAUCAGUUGUACCUCCCUUUAUAUAGUACAAACUGUGACGUCGAACCCCUUGUAGACUCACCAUAGCCCCAUGUGUAAACUUCAUUGUGCCAUCUUCAAUGGUAACCUUGUAGCCUUUAGCUUCCAAAGCACCCACAUAAAUUAGAUUUUUCUUUAAAGCUGGAACAAAUCUAACCUCUUUGAGUUCUCUGACCAUUCCAUCAAACAUUUUGAGCCGAAUUGUUCCUAUCCCCAUUGUGCGACAAGGUUGAUCAUUCCCCAUCACAACUGCACCGGAUUCCAGAUCAUGAAAAUCCGUAAACCAUUCCUUAAUAGGACACAAAUGAUAGGUUGCUCCAAUAUCAAGUAUCCACUCGCUCGAACUAGCCACGUAUGCUGCAGGAGUAAUACUUAGUGAAUAAUCAAAGUCCUCAUCUUUCCGUGCCAUAUUUAUUGCUGCUGGUUUCUUCCCAUCUCUCUUUUGAGCCUUUGGACAAGCUUUCCUCCAAUGGCCCUUUUCAUGACAAAAGGCACACUCGUCUCGAGCUAUAUUUCUACUUCUCGAUUUGGAUCGAGAAUUCUUUCCACCACGCUUUUUCUUUUUCUCCAUCGCCCAAUCUCUGCUCACCAAAGCUUCAGACGAUGCUCGUUCAGAAUUUUUAUUAUUAUUCCGAAUCUCCAAGUUAGUCAAUGCUGUGCAAACAUCUUUGAAGAUGAUCACACUUUUCUCAUAUAUCAAGGUAGUCACAAAAUGGCUAUAUUCCUCUGGUAGUGAGUGUAACAGAAUCAUAGCCUUGACUUCAUCCUUAAUAUCUUCAUCAAGAUUCUUCAAAUCAGCAAGUAACUUUUCAAAUCUUGAGACAUGAUCGUAAAUUGACACCCCAUGCUUCAUUCGAAAGCCAUAUACUUGGCUCAUUGCAUGAAGGCGAUUUUUAGGACUUUUUAGCAAGUACUUCUCCUCCAAUGUACGCCACAAAGUCAUCGCACACUCCUCAUCCUUCACCAAGUAUUUCACCUCCUUAGUCAAACAAGAUCUGAUAUGACCACAUGCUUUUUUAUUCAUACAAUCCCAAAUUUCUUCAUCAUACAAGUGUCUUUUAUUUUUCAGAACAACAUCCAGAUCGAUUUGAAUAAGGGCGUCCAUAACUUCGCGCCUCCACAUGCCGAAGUUGAUUUUCCCAUCAAACUUUUCAACAUCGAUUUUCUGGCCUCCUAUAACAGGCGUUGAAUAGCGAUUUGACAAAUCUCGCCUCCCACCUGAAGUGUCUCCUGAAAUAGUCUCGGUAGAUCUCUCCCCAAUUCUGGAAGUUUCACCUUCUACCAUUUUCUCAACGAACUAUUUCCACUUGAAAAACAGUCUCUAUGAUGUUAAUUUCGCGUGAAUAAAUGCACUAGGAAAGUUCCCAGGAGACUGGACGGGAACUCAGUCCUAAUUAAAAACCAGAAUCCUUAGACUCUUAUCGCCUUUGUUGACAGAACUUUUCUAGACAUGCAAAAAUACACACUACUUACAAUAGACUGUCUCCCAAGUACAAAUGGUCGUCUCCACCGUAUUCGUGAACAGUACCAUAUACGUGAAUAGUACCGUAUACGUAAACAAUACCGUAUCCCCCAAGUACGAACCGUCGGCUCUGAUACCACUUGUUCUACCCGGAAUGCGGAAUCAAGCACACCAAAUAAUUAUAGAAAAAUAAAGGACACAAGAAUUACGUGGUUCAGUAAUUAAACCUACAUCCACGGAGGCAAAAAAUAAUAAUUGUAUUAUUAAUAAUUAAUAUAGUACAAAUAUUUGAGUAACGAAUCUCACUUCCCAGAAACUCAAAUAUACCCAGUACUCUCACACUCUGCAGGAAAGAUAAAUUCCCCAGACAUACUUCUCUCACUUCUCUCAAAAGCUUAGAAACUUAUAAGCUUAACAAUUUUGGGAUGAUAUGGAAUGAAGAAAUGCUCUCUAUUUAUAGGCUUGAAGCUAGUACUAUUCCACCUAACCCAAGUACUAUUUCACCUAACCCAAGCACUAUUCCACCUAACCCAUGCAAAUAUGUCAAUGGUGUCCAUUUGGCAAAUUUGAGAAAUUUACCAACUUUUUAUUUUUUCUUCAAUUGUUUGGUAGCUCUUUGAAAAAUUGCAUGCUUUCUUGAAUUUGCAUGCCACGUGCAUGAUUUUUCAACAAACAUGUACUUCCUUCAUUUAAAAGAUUAGUGUUUCUCUCUCUCUCAAUUUUUUUAAGAAAAAAAAUGAAAUGCCCCUUUUCGCAUUUUCCAGUUUCUCCAACAUACAGCGGGUCGAUGUGGAGUAACAGAUGAUUGAAUAUUUUCAUUUUAGUUCAAUUGUCAUUUCUUUUUUAAUCGGUAAAGUUUAAUCAUUUCUCUUAAAUCGACAACUUAUGCAGGGCCAUAUCAACCGUCCAUGACAUUUUUAUUACAGCGAUGUCUUUGUACUUUGUGUUUUGGUCGGAUCUCAGAGUUUGUGCAUAGCACACUUGGUUCUACUGUUUGUUUGUCCCUUCACAGGCAUUUCGAUAAACUGUUAUUUUUGUUCUUUGGAAGUGAAUAUUUUCAGCAACUAGAACUCCGAAGCAUCUUGAAUGAUCCAUUUUAUGAUUCUCAAUACCUAUAAAAGAAUGUCAUAGAAAACAGUUUCCAAAGCAAGUUGCAUGUGUUUUGAAUUUGUCUUUGCAAGCCACUAGUUGCUUGGAGCACACUGUUAGCCUAUCGUGAUCCCAACCACUUUUUUGGAUAGACAAUUGUGCAUCCAUAUGAUCUGGACUAAACUAGUUUCUAAUAAAUAAUUGCCCAAGGAUUUAGUCUCAGUGUUACAGCCUAGUCUUUGUUGUCAAUACUCUUUCCCCUGUCGUGGAUGAGCGCCAUAACAGCUUCUUAAUGUUUUCCAGUGGCUUUUGCACGGUUGUUGUUUCCUUCUGAAGCUAGAGUAGCUACGGAUAGAGCGGAUGCAGAUGCCACCAAUUUUUAUGAUGGCCUUUCAGCAUCAAAAUCAAAAGGAUCAAGUGGGAACUUAAAGGAGGUUUAUUAGAAUGAAACACCCUCUAUGCAAGCCAAGAGACUCCAAUUAAGACUGCAAGCUCUGCUUAAAACAGGUAUUUAUCUCAACAAAAUGUUAGAACCUUUGCACCACUGGAGACAUUUUCUUCGAGCAUUUACCGGACUUUCUAUGAUUGCAGUGUAGACGGGUCGACGCUACUUCCCUCGUACUCGUUGCUCGGAAGUGGUUGAUAAGUUUCUGGAUUGUGAUUGGUCCGAUGCUUCCUUCCUCGAAAAGGGUACUCCUGAAGAGCAGAAACUCAAAAGGACACGCUUCAUGGAACUCAAAGAAGACGUGAAGAAGGCAUUUUACAAGGACAUGGCUGAGAAAAAUCGUUCAGGUUUGUCGUCAUCCACGUCAUCGUCAUCUUCUCCAAAGGAAGGAGUAAAGUGUAAGGGUAGGAAAAGGUGAUGCUUAGCUGCUUGUCUUUGUAUUCAUUUAUAGGAAACUAAGAGAGUUUUACUGAGUUUGAUUGUUACUUGUGGAGAGAUACUCUUAGAGCCUAUGUUAUGGCUAUGUUGUAAAAUAGCAGAGGAACUUCAAGCUUGCAUUGUUGUAUUUUCCCAGGUAUUUGGAAUGUAAUAUACUAAAUGACAGAAUUUUCUAAUUUUAGAGGGGAAAAAUAUGUCAGUGAAUUAUUUGUUUAUUUUAUCUGUUUAAAUCACUUUAUAAUAUAGCUUUUUUUUUCAAAAAAAAAAAAUCUCCAUAUCUUCAUCUGAAAACUCGAGUCAUGUGUAACUUCUUUCAGGGAGAAAAAGGGGGGAAAGAAAAGGCAUUUGUACCUGUAUUUUACAGUACUGACUCUCAUACAGAAAUUGGUUGAGAUGACAUUAAUGUUCUUCGAAAUAGAUGAAUAUGCAGAAUUUUCAUCGAAAUUGAAAUUAGAAAUGGAUGGAUAUGAAUUAUAUAUAUGUAGAACUUUUUAACAGAAUUUUUAUCUAAAAAUUUGUUGCUCAUUACCCUCCCGAAGAAAUAUAAAAUUUUCAAUUGUAGAUAUUAAAUUUUAAAUUUAUAAUAUAAUAAAUGUGACUUGAGGUGCACAUCACCCAUAUAAUAAUAAUUAAGAAAAGAAAAUACAAAAUUUGUAAAUUACCAAUUUUUUAAAUUUAAUUAAUUUUAUACCCAAAUUCUCAUGCUCAACGGCCGCUAGAAUUGGCUAUUGUAAUUUUGCCAUCCUCAUUAUUCACUGGCCAUUUUUGGACCACAACAUAAUAAAAAUAGCAUUGAUUAAUACUAAUAAAUUUCUUUUGAUUAUUUUGUUGUGUGAUGAUCUAGUGAGUACAAGUGUCCAUCAUAGCACCUGAACUGCUGAACAUGUGGUAACAUUCUGCGAUUCUCUAUAAAAUAGUAUUUAAAUUGUGUAUUAACUAGACAGUUCUAUAUAGACAAUUGUCCACUAAAUCAUUACUUUAUUUUGUAUAUAUUUAUGAUAAUUGUUGAAGAAAAAUGUAAAGUGAGAUUAAUGAACAUUAAUGAAUGUGGGAAAUUAACACAACUAGGAUUUAUGAUGAAAUAAUUUUAUGUCAAAUGAGUGAGUGAAUGGAUGUUAAAAAACUUGUAAUAUAUAUUUUUUGAAUUGUUAUAUAAACAAGUUCAUCACUAACAAUAAAUUGAAUUAUGAAUUGUUUAAUAAUUCAAAAUCUCAUUCACCCUUCAGUGUUUAUAGUAUUUUUUAGAAUACAAAAUUGUAAACAACCUCACCCUUAAAUGAUAUAAUGAUAAAAUAAUUUUAUGUCAAAUGAGUGUAAGUGAAUGGAUGUUAAAAAACUUGUAACAUAUAUUUUCUGAAUUGUUAUAUAUGCAAGUUUGUCACUAACAGGAAAUUGAAUUAUUAAUAUUUUAAUAAUUCAAAAUCUCAUUCAACCAUCGGUGUUUAUAAUUUUUUUGAGAGUACAAAAUUAUAAACAACCUCAUCUUUAAUAAUAUAAUGUUAAACCUUUUCAAAAAUUUAUUCCAUUAUAGUUGUCUUAGUCAGUUAUACUUAUUCCAAAUUGAAGAUAAAAAUAGUACUUCAUAUGUCAUACAUUACUUAAAGAAAUUUUUUUAUCAACUUAUGAGCUAGAGAAAGAAUGCAAUAAAUUACGUCUAAAAUUGUAAAAUUAAUCAAUCACUAAAUAAAUAUAAUGUUAUAUGUGUAUGUGUAUAUAUUACACAAACUCUGAAUCUCAUGAGCUAUCUUCGGAUGAUGUAUCAUACUCAAAAAUCUAUUUUUGCUAAUGAUUAUACUAACAUUUAAAGGUCUCUCUAAGCUACAUUGUAAUUCCAAUUCUUGUGGCUGCCUUCCAUUGCCAACUGAACCAGCUCCGCUCUCCCUGCAUCCAGAGAGUGGUAAGGUAAAAUCUUGAUAAUGUCUGUCUCGAGAAAGAGCUUCCUGAUGAAGUUUCAAGUGAAAUCAAAUCACUCCGUGUCAAAUCUAACCAGGAGUGUGAAGCGAAUAUAGCAGAAGUGGAUCCUAUGCAUGCAACAAGAGUCAGAGGAAUCCACGAGGCACUGGACUCUUAUGACUUUGAACUGUUGAAGCUUCUUCUGGAUGAAUCUAAUGUCACUUUGGAUGAUGCUUAUGCUCUGCACUAUGCUGCUGCCUACUGCAGCCCUAAGGUUUUUAAGGAAGUGCUCAAUAUGGACUCGGCUGGUCUCAAUCUUAAGGAUGCAAGAGGACAUACGGUGCUUCAUGUGGCUGCAAGGCGUAAGGAGCCAGCAGUGCUGGUGACUCUGCUGAGCAAGGGAGGAUGCGCAUCAGAAACUACAUCAGAUGGGCAAACAGCUGUGGCAAUCUGUCGGAGAAUGACAAGGAGAAAGGAUUAUAUUGAAGCUACAAAGCAAGGGCAGGAAACUAACAAAGACCGGUUAUGCAUUGAUGUCCUUGAGAGAGAGAUGAGAAGGAACUCCAUGUCUGGGAACUUGGCACUGUCAUCAGAGGUGAUGGCUGAUGAUUUCCAAAUGAAGCUGAACUAUCUGGAAAAUAGAGGUGAUAUUUCUUUACUGGUAUUAGUUCAUCACCUUCUCAGAGUUUGUGCUAUGCACACUUCUUUCUACUGUUUGUUUGUUCCUUCAUCUUAGCAUCUCAAACAUUGCUGUAAAUGGGAUAACUACACAGUCUACACUUGUGCUAGCAUCAUGACUUUUUGAUGAACUGUUAUUUUUGUUAUUUGGAAGUGAAUAUUUUCAGCAACUAGAACUCCGAAGCAUCUGGAAUGAUCCAUUUUAUCAUUCUCGGUACCUAUAGCAGAAUGUAAUGGAAAACAGUUUCCAGAACAAAUCGCAUUUGUUUUUGGAAGCCAGUAAUUGCUUGUGGCAAACUGUUAGCCAGCCAUAAUUCCAUCCACUAUCUUGGAUAGGCAAUUGUGUAUCCGUAUGUUCUGGGCAUGGGGGUUUCGACUGAACUAGUUUUAAUAAAUAAUUGCACAAUGAUUUAGUCUCAGUGUUACAGCCCAGUCUUUGUUGUCAAUACUCCCCCCCCCCCCCCCCCCCCCCCAAAAAAAAAAAAAAAAUUGAGUUACGAAUAAAUUUUUCCUAUUAUGUAGGAGGGCCAUAAAAGUUUUUAAAUUUUAUCCAGUUUUUUUUGAGCGGUGGCUGUUUCCUUCUGAAGCUAUAAUAGCUAUGGACAUAGCAGAUGCAGAUGCCACCAAUUUUUGUACUGGCCUUUCAGCAUCAAAAUCAAAAGGAUCAAGUGGGAACUUAAAGGAGGUUGAUUUGAAUGAAACACCCUCUAUGCAAGCCAAGAGACUGUAGGCUCUGCUUAAAACAGGUAUUUAUAUACCUUAUUAGUUUUUGUAUCCAAAGAGAGAGGUUAAUUUUUAUUACAUUGAUAUCUCAACAAAAUGGUCUUUUCUUAGAGCAUUUACUGAACUUUCUAUGAUUGCAGUCGAGACGGGUCGACGCUACUUCCCUCACUCCUCCAAAGUCAUUGAGGAGUUUAUGAAUUGUGAUUGGUCUGAUGCUUCUCUUCUGGAAUUUGGUACUCCGGAAGCGCAGAAACUUAAAAGGGCUUGCUUCCACGUGCGGAAGGCAUUUUGCCAGGACAUGGCUUCUGACAAUCGUUCAGGGCCGUCAUCAUCGUCAUCGGCAUUCUUCGUUCCUUAAAAAAAUCAAGAAAAAUUUAGAAAGUAGUGAGAGAUGGAGAAAUAGAGUGAUUAUAUUCACAAAUAUAAUGUGUUUAGUGCAACAAUACAAACUAAUAAAUAAUAAUUUAUGAGAUUAGUUUAUAGAAUCUUACAUAUAAAAUUAUAUCCUCUGAAUAAAAAUCUUCACAGCUCUUUUGACUUCUCAUUUAGAUGCCCUUUCUAAGAUCACUCCAUUUUCUAGGAUCACUCCAUUUUAAUAGGAAGAAUUAGCGUAUCUCCACUUUUCUCCCCCGCCGUUUGUAUACCGUUUGUUACUGUUAAUGGACGAAGCUACAAGUCUUCUCUUUCAUCAAAUCGAUCCAUCACAAAUACAAGUCUGCUGCACCCCACCAAAAACACACAUACUCCAUCUCUAAAUACUUUGAAGAUAAACAAAUCAACCGUAAUCCUGCAACUUUAUCUCAGAGAAUCGGAUAAGAAAAGAACAGGCAAUGAAUCAACGGUAUUGGCGCCGAGUGAGUGUCGCCUGCGGUCGGCGUUAGAGGCGACUGUCACUCAAUCGCGUACAAGGUUAGUCUUUGAAAAAACUCUUUGCAUGUUAGAAAUCAGUGAUUAGGCAUUAUUUUGAUAUUUAAAAAUGAAAAUGGGUUUAUUAGUUUGUCGAAGAAUCUGCUUUGUUGCCGGUGUUGUUUGUCGAUUAAAAUGAAAAUGGGUUUGUUGAUGUGUUGAAGAAGUUGCUCUACUGCUGGUGGUUUUUUUAUUAAUUAAAAUGAAAAUGGGUUUGUUAAUUUAUUUAAGCAGCUGCUGGCAUUGAUGAACUUAUGAGCUAAUAGUAUUGUUUGAUCAAGCUUGUGUUCUUAAUAGUGGAGUUGAUAUUCUUAAAAUGAAUUUAUGAUUAUGAGAAUAUGAAAAUUGAACGGCAUCGUAGAGAUCUGGAUUAAUCACCAUCGCGUAUGUUUCUAAAUAAAGGAAUGAGCAGCAAUCGAUUUGAAAGUUAAGACUUUAGGAAUAUGUAUGUGCAACUGAAUGAAUUAUCAGUUGCUAUCUUGUAAGUCAAUACUAGCAUAUUCCUUAAUGGCAAGUGAAGCUAUUUUAUGUGUAUUGCUGCCUAUCAAAAUGUUUAUGUUUGAAGCUAUCUCCUUUUAGGAAAUUGAAUGCUUCUGUGAGUUCUCUGAUAAGGGCUAUACAACCAGCUCUAACAGAUUCCUUCAUGUGCAUUAAUUAGCUUAAUGAUUUAUUGACCUAUAUCCAAUGUCUAUUCUCCUUUUCUGUAGCUGUCUAGCUUUAUGAGGGUGUGAAGUGAACUUUUGUUUUAUGUUUCAGGACUUGGGAUUAGAGUGUAUAACAUUCAAUAUCUUUUUAUCAAAGAACUGAUAUAUGUUAAUGUAGUGCGAUCUGGUCUUUAUUAGCUUCUUGAUUUGCCAGGAUGUUUGACAACCAUCUUUGACUACGAUUGCCAACAUAUAAGCUGCUACAUAUUGUGUCUCAGGAAUCACAACAAAUUAUUAUCAUAAUAUGGUGAUUUUGAAUCCAAAACUUGGUAGUGUCAAGAAAAUAGACCCCAUGUUUAUUUAUCUUCAUGUUUUGUAUGCGGCUGCAAUAGACUAUUAUAAGUUACUUUUAGUUUUAUCAAGUUUUUUUUCCCCUUAAAUUUCAGUUAUUUCAGCGGCUUCUUUUAAGUGAGUUAAUAGUGUUGUUAGGUUAAACUAAGUUUGGCUUCAUAAGAUUCAUAGUAGAGUGUAAAACUGGGUACAAUUUUGGGUUAAGACAAGUCAAAAGUCUUCUCAAGUAAUUGUUCUGCUUACUGAUUUGGUAAUUGCAACAUUGCUAAAUAGUUCAAUUUGUCCUUUUUUUUUGUUGAAUUUAUUGUAUGUCAUAUUACUUCAUUUAAUUAUUUUCUCAGAUCUUGUAGGUGAAAAUUUCAGCUUCAAAGGCCAAGCUAAUCAUCCAGCAAUUCAGUGAAACCAAGACACAGUGGCUCAUAAAUUGUUGUUGGCGAUCCAGCCAUUCGGGUGCUUGCCAGUCCUAGACGAGAGAACUUUCAACGCGGCGCAUAAAUUGUUGUUGAUCUGUUUUAUAUAUUUUGACCUUUGUGAUUUGUGAAUACAUGGUUUGAUUCCAGUGUUUACAACUUUGAUACUGUGUAUAACUUGAGAAGCAAAUGAAACAAAUAGGAAAUGUGUUUUUAUUUUUUUUAUUCUAUCUAUCUAUUUAUUUUUUGUUUGGAAAUGUAACAAUUUAUAGCUGGCAAAGUAAUAGAGUUGUAUACUUGUAUUUAAUUUAUUAUUAUUAAUUUUAAUGAAUCGGUAAUGUCAUUGUCCAUGGUGUUUUGUCAUUUCGAAAGUACUUAACCCUUCCACGCCAAGGCACAUCACAGCAGCCGAAAAUUUGAGCUUUCAGUUCUUGAUUUUAGCGUGAGGGGUAUCUUUGUCUUUUCAGUAGUCAACAUACGGUCAACAAAACAGUCUACAAACAAUCGGGGGUAAAAUCGGAUAUACGGUGAUACUUUCUAUCAUAGUGGCGAUACGCCAAACCUCAGGGGAGGAAACUGUAAAUUACCCCUUCGCGACCUGUGAACUUGGGUCAAAGCUUUCAUCUUUAAAGCUAAUAGGUAGAUCGCGAUUCAAGCUUCAGUUAUAACUUAUAAGCAUUUCAUUGUGAUUGAUAGUAUUCUCUCUUGAUAUAUAUAUAUAUAUAUUCACUUAAGCCGCUUACCAAUCCUUCUAAAAGCUUAAGCUGUUAGGCGAAGCACUACUUUAUACUUAAAAACACCCGAACCACGAGUAACGUCUACACAUUUAGUGCCACAUCACCCACGUGCGUGGGAUAGAGCCACCACAAGGGUGCGGGCCCCUAACACACGUAGUCUGGAUAUACCUUAAGCCCUGGUUUUAUAUAUAUAUAUAUAUAUAUAUAUAUAUAUAGAUUCAGUUUGAAUAUGGUUCUUGAUGGUAUCAUGGAAAAUGCGAACGAAAAGUCAGCAUCUUUGAGUUUUGUCUCAUCAUAUCUGACUUGUUGGUCCACUAAUCAAUCAACAGGCACUUGUGAUCUUGAUAAUUUGAACUUAAGGAUGCAAAGCACCAAUCCCGAAGAGACAUGGCUUGAAGCUGAGAUUGUUGUUGAGGGCAAAUCAGUGGCGGUUAAUCGCAGCGUAUUGUCUGAGCUCAGUCAAUUUUUUCGUCGGCUUUUUAAUUUGAGAAAUGAUGGUUCUGUCAGUGAGGGGAAACCCAAGUAUCUUUUGACUGAUUUGGUGCCUCAUGGGAAGGUUGGGUAUGAAGCUUUCAAUGAUAUCCUGCAUCGUCUUUACACUGGGAAGCUUAAGGCACCUCCUCCAGAAGUGUCCGCGUGUGUUGAUGAUGCUUGUUCUCAUGAUGCUUGCCCUCCUGCUAUUAAUUAUGCUAUUGAGUUGAUGUAUGCUUCCGCUGCUUUUCAGAUGAAAGAACUCGUUUUUCUUUUGCAGGUAAUUGUGCUUCCCUGCUAUUUGUAUUGCUUAAAUUUAUGCUUCUUGGUAUAGUUUUAACAUAUAUGGGAUUGAAAUCAAUUUCAGUUGUGAAGCAACUUCGGUGGUUCCCAAUAUUAGGCAUUGUAGUAGAUCCAAAAUUAGCUUGUUAAGAAGUGUAGAUACCGUAGAGCCCAAAACUUAGUCUUAUCUUGCAAGAGUCUGUUGUUUUAUUUUGAAAGAGACAAAAGUGAUGAUGAUGGGCAGCGAACUAAAGGAAUCAAUGCUUGCUGACACUGACUCCCAAGAAUGAUAAAAACUAACCAAAAAGGUAUAUAGAUUACAUGAGUCUGAAUUUGAUAAGUGCACCUAUCCUAUCACAAAAGCUUUUGCGUUGAGUUUCUAACCAAUGAAAAUUGUCACUUCUGUCUGUAGGCUUCAUAGAUUUGUUCAAGCCUUCAAGGAUGUCUGGCUGUUACUUACCGUCCAACAAUGGUGCUACAUUUCUAGUGAAUGAUAUGUUAUUCUACAUCUGUAAAUUGCAACUUUGACAAACUUCGCCUUUCCUUUGUUGAUUCACUCGUCUCACUUUUAUUAAAUUGCCCGAUUAUGAAAUGGUCUAUUGGAGACUAGCAUUGGAAGGUUUCUUCUGGAAAAAAUUUUACUUGACCACCAAUUUUCAUUUGGGUGGGUGUCAGUUCAUGCUCUGGCUUGACUGUUCUGUUAUUUAGGUUGUUUUAUCCGUAUUUUCUUCACUCACUUGAUGGUUAGUUCUCUCAUGCUUUCAAGCUCUCAACAGUGAAUGCGAGAGAUUCUCUUUUUUCCCGUCCAGGCUAUAACCUAGCAAAUUGUUAAUGCUGUAGAAUAACAUCUUGUGCAGGCGAGCUUAUGUCUCUGAACAUUGGUCCAUCGGCAUUAAGGUUUAAUAAGCAUGACACUGAACUUCCCCCUCAUUAUUAUUUUCCUGCACAGAUUAUCCUCUUUAAGUAUUUGAAUUUUGAAUAUCUUAUUCUGAAUCAAAACCCUAUCUGUGCUUGUAGCAUUUUAUAUAUGCUUUAUGAUGUUUACCAAUAAUUACCCACUAUGGGGUAUUUGAAUUUUGAAUAUAUUAUUCUGAAUCAAAACUCUAUCUGUCCGUGUAUCUUUGGCUUCGGAGCAUGGUUGAGAAGGCUCUCGUGGAAGAUGUAAUCCCAAUUCUCGUGGCUGCCUUGCAUUGCCAACUGAACCAACUCCGUUCUGUCUGCAUCCAGAGAAUUGCAAAGUCAAAUCUUGACAAUGUUUGUCUCGAGAAAGAGCUUCCUGAUGAAGUUUCAAGUGAAAUCAAAUCACUCCGUGUCAAAUCUAACCAGGAGUCUGAAGCUAACACAAAAGAAGUGGAUCCUUUGCGUGAAAAAACAGUCAGAAGAAUCCACAAGGCUCUGGACACUGAUGAUUUUGAACUGUUGACGCUUCUUCUGGAUGUAUCUAAUGUCACUCUGGAUGAUGCUUACGCUCUGCACUAUGCUGCUGCCUACUGCAACCCUAAGGUUUUUAAGGAAGUGCUCAAUAUGGACUUGGCUGGUCUCAAUCUUAAGGAUGCAAGAGGACGUACGGUGCUUCAUGUGGCUGCAAGGCGUAAUGAGCCAGAAGUGAUGGUGACUCUGCUGAGCAAGGGAGCAUGCGCAUCAGAAACUACAUCAGAUUGGCAAACAGCUGUAGCAAUCUGUCGGAGAGUGACAAGGCGAAAGGAUUGUAUUGAAGCUACAAAGCAGGGGCAGGAAACUAACAAAGACCAGUUAUGCAUUGACGUCCUUGAGAGAGAGAUGAGAAGGCACUCCAUGUCUGAGAACUUGGCAAUGUCAUCAGAGGUGAUGGAUGAUGAUUUCCAAAGGAAGCUGAACUACCUGGAAAAAAAAGGUGAUAUUUCUUUACUGGUAUUAGUUCAUCACCUUCUCAGAGUUUGUGCAUAGCACACUUCUUUCUACUGUUUGUUUGUCCCUUCAUAUGGAAAAUAGAGGUGAUAUUCCUUUACUGGUAUUAGUAAAUCAUCUUCUCAAGAGUUUGUGAGUCCCUUCAUUUUAACAUCUCAAACACACAUGCGCUCAUUGCUUGGGGCACACUGUUGGCCAGUCAUGUGAUUUGAUCCCCUUUUUUGGAAUGGAGAAUUCUGAAUCCAUCUGAUCUAGGCUUCGUGGUUUGCACUGAACUGGUUUUUGAUGAAUAAUUGCACAAGACUUUGUCAUCAAAACUUUCUUGUUUUUUGCCCCAAAAGUAAUGAGGUACAAAAAAAUUUAUGCCUAUCCUGGAUGAGUGCCAUAACAGCUUCUUAAUAUUUUGCAGUGGCAUUUGUACGGUUGUUUCCUUCAGAAGCUAGAGUAGCUAUGGAAAUAGCAGGUGCAGAUACCGCGACUGGCCUUUCAGCAUUAGGUCAGAAAGGACGCCAAUUGAGACUGCUAACUUUGCUUAAAACAGGUAUUUAUAUACUUUAUUAACUUUUGCACCUUUCUAUUUACUGAUUAUCUUUAUAAUUAACUAAUACAUGUAUCCAGGUUUCUCCUUCCAAUUGGAAUUUCUUUAUAGUGCUCUGUUAGGUGUAAUCAGAUGUAUCAAAAGAGAACGGGUAAUUGUUAGUACAUUGAUGUCUCAACAAAAUGGUAGAACCUUUCUUUAUACCACUAAGACAUUUGUUGCAGGUAUGCCUACAUAAUCAGUGUCCUUCAAAACUUUCAAAGAGUUAGCAAUGUCUAACCCCUGAAACACUAAAUCUCACGGGAUCAACUCUUUACCUCUAGACCGAAGGUGUGACACCCAGACCCAAUUAGGGCUUAGAACACGUAUCGAAUCUGAGUGAAACUAAACGCCUGUAAAUCCAAAUCUCCAAAAUAUCAAAAAGUCAUCUACUUUCUCUUUUCAUGUAUUUCACAAAAUUUUGAAAAAUUCAUUCUCAAUCAAAAACUAUGCACAGCUAAUUAUUCAGCAUAUCAGCAUAGAGCAAUACUUCCUCAUAAGCAAAUAAAUCUUACAAUCCUUCUUACAUGAUUUGAAAAAAAUACUAAUAGAAGUCUUCUAGAUACAAACAUAAACAGGAUUCAACUGUUUAAAACUAUGCCAAAACACAAGCUUCAAUCAGUAAUACAUACAACUAAUUAUUAAAGACAUCUAGCCAGAAACCUUACGAAAGCUCAAUCCUUCCGAAGCAUUCUUCAAAUUAAUAAUUGCUACCAUCUGUGAAAAAUAAUUGAUAAGGAGUCAGCUGUGAACUCAAUCAGUAGAAACAUUCGUAACGAACAAAAAGAAUUCUUUGUGCAAUAUUUUCAGAAAAUUCAUUUAACCUUUCAAAUAAAACAGAGUAAUUUUUCUAAGGCAGUCAGGAUUUAUAUAAAACAUAAACGUUUCAGACAGAAGCUUUUUGGAAUGUAAAUUUUGCUUCUUUAAACAGUAAGUUAUACAUUAGUUUGAUUUUAAAGGGAGGUUAUUGGGAAGUUAAAAUUGGCAGUUGUGGGAAAAGGGUAAUAGCAGUUAUAAAAUCUCUUUUAAAGCAAAUUCAAAUCAGGUUUCAAAUUUUAGGAGUACUUAAUUCAAUAAAAUAAGGAAUAAAUAAAGCUUUCAUUGAAACAAAACUAAGUAAAUUCAUUUAAAGCAAAAAAAGGAUGCGAGCAUUACGAUGGGUUCUUAUGUUUACCCGCAGUCAGACAUCUGGGACCUUGUUAUUUGGAGACAAGACUUGAUUGUGCCAUGUUUUCUGCAGCUAGACAUCUGUGGAUAAGAGAACCCUAAGCCUAUUGAGAAUAAAUUCCGUAAUCCAAGACUCUUCAGUUCUUUCAUUUGUGGCUAAUUAUUUAUAAAAUUUGCGAAUUUCAUGCCCCAUGCCCCUUGCAAAAUGUAUUUUAUAUCCUUAAGUUGCCAGUUGUUGAACUGAAAUAAUAAAAAGUGGAAAACAGACUUAAUGCCGAUAGCAUUUCUUAAGAAAAACUUGGGAUGUUUAUAAUUUUCUUAGAGCAUUUGCUGAACUUUAUGUGAUUGCAGUCGAGACGGGUGACCGCUACUUCCCUCAUUGCUCACAAGUGGUUGAUGACUUUUUGGGUGUUUAUGACUUUUUGGGUGUUAAUGACUUUUUGGAUGCGUCCCUCCUAGAAAAGAGUACUCUUGAAGAGCAGAAACUUAAAAUAGACAUGCAGAAGGCACUCUGCAUGGACGUGGCUUAUCACCGUCGUUUAGGGCUGCCAUCAUCCUGGCCGGCAUUUUACCAGUACAUGGCUGGGAGCAAUCAGUCGGCAUUUUACAAGUACGUGGCUGAGAGCAAUCGUUCAGGAAUGUCGACAUCCUCGGCAGCGAGCAAUUAAGCAUAACCUUUCCCUAAAAGCUAUAUUUGACUCCUGGAAAACUAAAGGAGUUGAGUGAGCUCGAUUGGUAUUUGUAGUUUCUUUU
This 94520-nucleotide long non-coding RNA is filed under the name Citrus x clementina. RNAcentral's name for it is "Citrus clementina (C. clementina) long non-coding RNA (CCLE_LNC003519)". Lineage: Eukaryota; Viridiplantae; Streptophyta; Magnoliopsida; Sapindales; Rutaceae. The record is from RNAcentral.